This 89032-nucleotide long non-coding RNA is filed under the name Citrus maxima (pomelo). RNAcentral's name for it is "long non-coding RNA (CMAX_LNC002199)". Lineage: Eukaryota; Viridiplantae; Streptophyta; Magnoliopsida; Sapindales; Rutaceae. The record is from RNAcentral.
ACCAACUUUGAUUUCAGACACUGAACUCCUAUCUGAAUUCUCACACCAUGUCCAAAACAUAGCUAGAAUCAAUAAUGGAAGCUUUGGUUGUUGCCCGAAGAGUGUUAUAUCAGCACAGCAGAAGUGGCAACUUGAGUUCCUCAAACAACCUGAUGACUUUUACUUCAAUCGGCUGAAAGAUGAGAUUUUGAAAUCCAGACUUGUGAUCAGAGACUUGGUCAAUGCUGACCAUGUUGAUGAAAUAUCAAUUGUUGAUAAUGCCACCACUGCUACAGCCAUUGUGUUGCAGAGUGUUGCUUGGGAAUUUUUGCAAGGGAAGUUUAACAAAGGUGAUGCUGUUGUCAUGCUUCAAUAUGCUUAUGGCGCUGUGAAAAAAUCUCUGGAAGCAUAUGUUACGCGUGCAGGUGGGUAUGUUAUUGAAGCUUGGUUUCUAUUUCCUGUUAAUUCUGAUGGUGAGAUUGUCAGUGAGUUUCGGAAAGCUUUAGAAAGAGGGAAAGCCAAUGGUAGGAAAGUCAGAUUGGCUAUGAUUGAUCAUGUGACGUCUAUUCCUAGUGUUCCGAUUCCGGUUAAAGAAUUGAUCAAGAUUUGUCGGGAAGAGGGUGUCGAUAAAGUAUUUGUUGAUGGUGCACAGGGGAUUGGGUGUGUUGAUGUUGACAUGAAAGAAAUUGGGGCUGAUUUUUACACUGGUACUUUGAACAAGUGGGUUUUUUGCCCGCCUGGGGCAGCGUUUUUGUAUUGUAGGAAAUCAAAUGAAAUUGAUGAUUUGCAUCACCCUGUGGUGUCUCAUGAGUAUGGAAAUGGGUUGGCUAUCGAGAGUGCUUGGAUUGGAACUAGGGAUUAUAGUGCCCAACUGGUGGUUCCUCAAGCUUUGGAGUUUGUUAACAGAUUUGAAGGGGGAAUUGAAGGAAUCAAGAAGAGGAAUCAUAAAGCUGUUGUUGAGAUGGGGGAGAUGUUGGCAAAAGCAUGGGGAACCCAUCUUGGGUCUCCUCCGGAGAUGUGUUCAAGCAUGAUCAUGGUUGGCUUGCCUGCUAUUUUGGGUAUUUCUAGUGAUUCCAUUGCUUUAAAGUUGAGAACCCACUUGAGGAAUAAUUUUUCUGUUGAAGUACCUAUCUAUUAUAGGGUACCGGGUGAUGGAGUGGUUAACCCAGUUACAGGAUACGCUCGAAUUUCUCAUCAUGUUUACAACAAGCCAGAUGAAUACUACAAGUUCAGAGAUGCAGUUAAUCAACUUGUUAAUGAUAAGUUCACUUGUGCACUUCUCGCAUGGUAAAGAGGUAUGUUUUAGAUUCACUGAUUGUAACAUUCUGUUAGCUAUUUUAGGUGGGAUCUAUUUUUAUAUGCCUGUUGGUUUUUGGUAAUUCAUUUCUCUUGGAUAACUGCAAUUAUGAGGCAGCAACCUAUGGUGAAUGUUAAACUAUGUAGAGUUAUUAUUUUUGAGGAUAUCGUGAUAAAGAACCUGCACAAGUUGUCAUAAAACCUGCACAAGUUGAGACAUUUUGAACUGCAAAUAGUAUCUUUUCAUUUGCCGGACAGAUUUACUCAUGGUCAAAUGCUAUGACUGUCCGAGCAAAGAUCAGGCCGUCAGAGACUUUUUGAGCAAUUAGCAAUAUUAUUGCUUUCAUUGAUUUGGAACCAAGAAUGAGGGUAAAUUAUUAUUGGCAAAAUUGUGAGCACUUUCUAUCGUUUUAGGUCAUUAUCAUUGUUCUGUGUUGACUCGUAUGUUCCAGGUCUUCUGUCAAGCAAUUUUUAGCAAGGUUCUUAGAAAUUCCUUAAACAAAGAAGAUAAUGAUUCUGUGAUCCAACUAUUUGCAGUACUUGUGAAACUAUUUUCUUAUUAUGUCAUAAGUUGUUUCUAACAUAUAGACUUGUCUGUUUCUCUGUAGUUGAAUGAUGUGCAGUAGCAAUCUUCCGCCAACUUACGAAUAAGGGCAAUUUGUCUCUCCCUGGAAGGCAUAAAUAUAUGUAUGUAUAAUACUAUAAUGUAAUGUAUCAGAGAAAUAAGAAGAGCAGAAAGAGUUUUCUUUUGCUUAUUUGCUGGGGCUCCAUGAGAGUUAUUCCUGUACAUGUUCAAAUAUCCAUUCUAGGAGGCAAACUAAUGGGAUCAUCUCACGGAACUCAGCAAGUGAUUAUUAUUAAGUGUAACUCUUGGGAUUAGGAUUCUCCUCUAAUCUUAAGCUUCUCUAAUCUUCUUUUAAUGAUUUGAUUUUGAUCCCUGUGUAAUUUUUAAAGAUUUUAUUUAUUUAUUUCUUAAUAAAUCUCAUUCAAGAUAGUUCUUGAUACAUUUUUACUUUUAGCUCAUAUGUUAUUUAACCAACGGUAAACAUAAAGCAUCUGUUCUCUAAAUUUAGUCAAUAUAAUCAGGCAUGAAGUGACCUUGCUUAUUGUCCAUUAGAGAAUUAAUUUGGGCGCUUAAUUUUUAUCAAUUGAAUCCGAUAAUACCCGUUCAUGCUAAAUUAAAUUCAUUAUAGUAAUUUUUUAAAAAAACUUAAUUUUAUUUUUUAUUUUUUAAGAUAAAGGGUGGGUAAAAUUUAAAUUUAUUUUUUAAUCCCUUCUUAAGACUCAAACUUAAAUGGCUAGUUAGAUAAAACUAUUUGAAGAAAGAGAAACAGCAUGUGAGAUCUUAAAACAAAUUGUUUGAAGAUAGAGAAAUAGCAUGUGAAUAGAGGUGGGCAUGGUUCGGUCCGGUUUGGUUCAGAUCGAAAUUAAGCGGUUAUUUUAUAAAAAGAACCAAAUAAGAACUGAAAUCAAUAAAAAUUUCGGAUCGGGCCUAUUUUGAAUUUCUAAAUUUUUAACCCAUUAGGUCUCAUGAAUAUAAUAAUUUUUUUCAACAAUUAAUUUAUCCUAAUUUCAUUACAAAUAUUAACAAUAAAUACAAAGUAUUCAAAACACAUUUUAUCACUAAUAUCUUACUAACUACUAAUAAGGUACUUAUAAAAUAUAAAAUAUUAAGAUUUCAAAAUACAUAAUCAAACUUCAAUACUCCAUCUACAUAAACAUAAUGUUGUAAAAACAAAUAAAAAUAACAAAAAUUAAAACUUACAACACAAAAUAAAAAGAAAAUUUGGAAACAAACACCAACAACAGUUUUUAAAUAUAUAUAUAUAUACCCGUAAUCGUGUGUGUGCAUGCCUAUUUUAGUUAUCUUACGCAACCAAUUUAAAUUUAAUAUGUGUCUAUUUAAAUAAAAUUUCAAGAAUAACCCGGUUUUUCGGUUCAGCUGAGUAAACCAAAUACCGAACCUGCAUUUCGUUUUUUUUCUACAAACCAUAUAUUUCGGUUAUUUUUUAAAAUUAAAACCGGUCCGAACGGAAUGGUUCGGAUCAGUUCAGUUCGGUUUUCUUUAAUGCACGGUUUUUUUGCCCAUCCCUACAUGUGAGAGUGAGACCCUAAAAAAAAUAAAUUCAAGUCAAACACUACAGAAGUGCUUUAGAGCAUAGACUCACCUGUACAAUGUGAUAAUGAUAUGGUCUAUUUUGUUUGCUUGAAGAUGAUGCCAAAUUGAGGCUGGUGAAAGUUGUGUGAAAAUCACCUUUAUCAGUAGGUGACAACUAAAGAAGGAAACUAGUUCCAUGUACAUUGUAGGUGACAACUAGGGAUGGACAAUCAAUUCAAUUACUAGCUAGAAUUUGAAGAAUGAUGGAUGAUAGCAACAAAAAUGACAAUUUGAGAUUGAGUGAUUGAAUCGACUUAUUUCAUUUUUCAAUAUAGGUAUUUUAUCAUUACAAACUAAAGAUGUAAAAUAGACCAGUCCGACGUGACACAAAUCUAGCAUAAAAAAAUUGACUUGCUAGCAUGACACGAGUGUUUAAAUGAAUCUACUCCAACCUCACAUUUUAAAUUUAUGUGUGAUUUGUUUGCUAUUAUUAUUGGAGAACUAUAGCUUAAAAAAGCCACGGACGUAAAAGAUGAGUGUUUCAACAAAACAUGAAUACUAAUGAGUCAAUGUUGUGCAGAGCCUGGAUCAACCCUUUAAAAAUUAAGCCCAACACGACGGUCUAUCAUCCAAGCUAUUCAAAACAUUUCUUCUACUGCAAAUUAUUAUUUAUUCAUGCAACUUCAAUUCCUCUAAUGCUUAGAGAAAGAACAGUCGAAAAUAACUAGCUAAUUAAUUAAAGCAGUAAGGCUCUUAAUUAAUAUAUUGAAUGUUGCUUCGCCGAUGUUUGAACUUUUCUCCCCUUUUAACACACUAUUGAAAAUAACUAACUGAACAUAAAUAAAAGAAAUCACAAUUUCAUUAUUUUUUACUUGAACAAAAUUUCUAUGAUUAUGUACAAUUUCAAUAUUUACAGCGUGUUGGCGCCUUUUGCAUUAGGAUAUAAUUAAGGUGUGUAGCUUUUUUAGCACACUUUUUUUUAAUUGGUUCAAGAAUAGUCUCCAUUUGUUUUUCUUUCGUUUUGAUUGUAGCAGUAUAGAAGAAAGACGCACCAUAAAGUAUAAUAACCAAAAAAAAAAGGAAAAAAAAAGAAAAAAAAAACAAUUAGAUUAGAGGUACCCAAAACACUAAAAACUCACCAAAAUUAUGUGUAAGUCACACAAAAGACCUGUUGCGCCAUUCACCAAAUUUUUUAACCUUUUUGAGUUGGUAAUUAAGCAAAUACUGGAAACAGAACGAAAACGAAGAAUCAAUAUGACAUGAACGGCCUAACUCGUCUGUCGGAUUUGAGAUAGAUCGCGUCGAAACUCAACGUAGUACUUAUCUCAUGCUCAUAUCUAAAAGCUUAUAUCAUAAAUUUAACCCAGGACUAUACAUAAAAUUGGUUUCGGUCUCUACCAUAAAUAUAAAAUAGCAUCUAUACCUCAUUCGAAAACAUAUUCAAAAUUUUCACAGUUCGAAUUUCAUUGUACAUACAUACACUUUAAAUCUAUACAUAUAAACAUAAACGUGCCCAAAAUGUAAGUUAUGUAGCAAUGUGUGUUACGUCCCAACCUUAACUAAUUGGAAACUAAACUGCACGAAAUCUUAUGGAAACCUAGGAGAAAUGGGUAAAUAAGAAAAUAAUGAGCUAGAGUUCAAUGAGUGGAUAUAAUUGAUAAGUGCAUAUUUUCUCUAUAUUUUACAAUUAAUUUCUCCAACUUUUUCUUGUUUUGGUGUUAAAUACUCUAAUUAUUUUAGUUUAUUUUAUUAUGUUAAUUUUUGUCUUACUUUUUAUAAUAUUUUAUUAUUGUAGAUUUUAUCCUUAAUUUAAUAUUUGCUAGUUAAUUAUAUUAUUUUAUUUGAUAGGGAAUUAAUUGGAGAUUAUGGAUAAAAAUGGCAUGAAGAAUUUCAAUUUGGGAAACAAUCAAGAUUAAAUUGGAAAUCAAUUGAAAGACAAGGGAAAAUAAACUCAAGAAGCCGUGGCCAACAAGAAUUUGAAGAGCAAAAGUUGCAAGUCAAUUUCGUCAAGCUUCGAAUGGACAUGCAUUAUUGGAAAAUAAACUAUUUACUUUGGCAAUUGCAUGUGCAUGGCAAUAAAAAAAGGGAAUGAAAAUCCUAAAUGUGAUUCUAAGUGCUUGCACGUACAUGGAUUCACUUGACCAAUUUAAAAAGAUUGUAUGUAUGUCUUGCCAAAGUUAGGAUGCACGUGCAUGGCAUUAAAUUAUGGAAAGCAAAGUGAAAAAAAAAAAGGAAACGGCGAUAUUUAAGCAUGCACAUGAAUUGCCAAAGAAAAGGUCGGUGGCGUAUGCAGAAUAAAAAGCCAACGUUUGGCUUUCGAAAAAAGGACAAUCGGCAGCCAAGAGGAAUUGAAGAGAAAGCAGCGGCAAGAAGAACGAAAAAAAAAUAGAGGAGGUGGCCUCUUGAAUUAAUCUCUAUGUCUCUUUUUAUUAAUUUUUUUUAUUUCUAAUUUAAUUAUGUUAGGCUAGAUUUUUUAUUUGGUUAAGGGUGAAUUCAGAACCCCAAACAUGUCAUAUGAUUAAUGUUCAAUUUCUAUCAUUCAAUUUAUUUAAUUGAGAUUGUUUAUGUUCUUCCAUAAUUAAUGUUUAUGAUUUUAUUCUUAUCUUAUUUGAGUGGCCAAUUAGAUAGGAUUUGAAUAAAUUCUAUUGCUAGAUUAAAAUUCUUGAUCCGUAAUUGUCUUGAUGUUUUAAUCAUUAGUAGCAUGUUAGAAUCAAUUAUUUCAAUUGGAGAACAUAACCUAGGUUAAAUAAUCCGAUCUUGUAUGUUUAUUACCUAGAUCAAUCUAAUAUCUUUCUCUACUUAAUACUUCUAUUAUCUUAAAUUUAAAGAACUUGUUUUAAAUUAUUUAAUGGUUAGAGAUUAGGUGAAGAGCUUGUUUUGCCUAACGAUACUCUAAGAAAAGAUUGAGACUAACUGAGCUUAUUGUUGUCUACGGUUGAUAGUUUCAAUAGAAAUUGAUGAUAUAAUUGAUAUAUUAUGUGCAUGUUUGGUGGUGACGAAUGAUUUUUUAACCACGGUUUUCAUCAUUAUUAUUUCUUUCUCCUUUAAUUGGAGUUUUUAUUAAAUUAUUGUUUUUGUAAUUUUAAUUUCUUUAUUUCUUGCUAUUUAUUUAAAAAUUCAUAAAACACCCCUUUUUAUUUAUAAUUGGAAUUUUCUUUAGUUAAAUUAAUUUAUAUUAUUAUUACUACUAUUAUUUUAUUUUAAAUCCUGCUUUAGAGUUGAUAAUAAAUACAACUAGUAUAGUCUUUGUGGAAUCGAUCCUUACUCGCUCUAUACUAGUUAUUAAUAUUAGUAGUAAGGUUUUAAAUUUUGUGCACCUUAACGACACUACCAAAUUUUUGGCGCCGUUGCCAAGGAUUAGCAUCUAGUUUCUUUAUUAUCACUCAUUUUAUUUUAUUAUUUUUACUUUUUUUUUCAUUUUAUUUGUUUAUUUUAAUUAGUUAUUUUCUGUUCUAUAUUUAGAUUUUUAUGGGUAUAGAGGACAUUCGAUUGAAACUCGAUCAUCUCAGAGCAACCUCAUCACAUUCAGAACUCGAUUUUUCCAUCCACAUUUCAUUCCUGAAGACAGAGCCAGGCAGCCUAGAACCUGAACCAAUAGCUCAGAACAACAAUCUAACACUUAAAGAGUUGGUAGCUCCUAACUUGGACCAGCAACCAUUAUGCAUUGAGAAUCCAAAUCCUCAGGUUAACUUUGAACUCAAGUCUAGGAUGAUUCAUCUUCUUCCUACUUUUCAUGAUUUUGAAGGAGAGGACCCAAAUAAGCACUUGAAGGAGUUCCAUGUGGUAUGUUCCACAAUGAAACCAGCUGGAGCUUCUGAAGAGCAAGUUAAGCUAAUGGCCUUCCCAUUUUCUUUGGCGGAUUCAACCAAGGAAUGGCUGUACUAUCUUCCCUCUGGUACUGUCACCACAUGGAAUGAGAUGCGUCAGGUAUAUUUGGAGAAAUACUUCUCAGCAUCAAAAGCUGGCAGCAUUUGAAAAGAAAUUUGUGGAAUCCGACAAUAUAAUGGAGAGUCACUCUACGACUACUGAGAACAAUUCAAAAAGCUAUGUGCUACCUGCCCCCACCAUCAGAUAAGUGAUUAACUCCUUAUUCAAUACUUUUAUGAGGGUUUACUUCCUAUGGAUAUGAGUAUGAUUGAUGUCGUUAGUGGAGGAACACUUGUGGAUAAGACACCAGAAGCAGCCCGAAAUAUCAUUGCUAACAUGACUGCUAAUUCCCAACAGUUCAACACUAGGAACGAUCUAUUGCCGCCACCUAAGUGAGUCAAUGGGGUAAGUACUACUUCCCUAGAACAACAAGUUUCAAAUCUUACUUCUUUGGUACAACAGUUAGCCUUAGGGCAACGGGUGAGACCGUGUGGCGUAUGUUCCAUGGUCGGGCAUGUGACUGAUAUGUGCCUUGUUCUCUAAAAGGGUCCCAUGAGCAGGCCAACAACGCAGUUGAGGGGUUCCUAAGCCAACCAAGACAAAUGUAUGAUCCAUACUCUAAUUUUUACAUUGAAGGGUGGAAUGAUCACCCUAAUAUUAUGUAUGGGAACCAACAACAAGGCAUUCCUAAUGUGGCACCAUCUCGACCACUGAGCUACCCUCAACAGCGGGUGCAACAGCCUUACCAAGUCUGGCCACCUUCACCUCCUCAAAGUCAAGGUACAUCUUUCGAAGAUCUUGUAAAAGCUCUCGCUACUAACCCUAUGCAGUUCCAAUAGACUACCUAGACACAACUCCAACACUUAGAGAAUCAAAUUGGCCAACUGGCCACAUCUAUGAGUAGGAUAGAGGCUAGAGUUUCAGGAAAAUUACCUUCUUAACUAGAAAUUAAUCCGAAGGAGAAUGCUAGUGCUAUGUCUCUUAGGUGUAGAAAGCAGUUGGAACCAUUAUUAGCCAAGCCAUCAAAGAUGUCUACAACAUCAUCGCACUUUGUGACCAAUCCCUCUCUUGAGACUAUUCCUUUAAUAAGGAAAGACGAUUCCUAUUCUACAUUGCCAGUUGACCCAUCUGGCCAGGUAAAUACCACCCACCUCGAAUUAAGACCCUUUCUAUUCCUCCACCAUUUCCUAGCUGGUUUAAAUAAUCCAAAAAAGAUGAACAAAAAAAGGAGAUCGUUGAGACCUUUCAUAAAGUAGAGGUAAAUAUUCAUCUACUUGCUGCUAUUAAAUAGGUGCCGUGUUAUGUAAAAUUUUUGAAGGAAUUAUGCAGCAACAAAUGAAAGAUGAACGACAAUGAAAAUGUAAGUGUAGGAGAAAAUGUAUUUGCUGUACUUCAAAGAAAACUUUCUCCUAAGUGCAAGGAUCUAGGUACUUUUACUAUCCCCUGCACUAUUGGCAAUACCAGAUUUGAAAGAUGUAUGCUAUAUUUAAGGGCCUCAAUUAAUGUUAUGCCAUAUUCGAUUUAUAACUCCUUGAAUUUAGGUCCAAUGGAAGAAACUGCUAUAAUUAUUCAAUUGGCUGAUAGAUCUAAUGCUUACCCAAAGGGGGUUGUGGAAGAUGUUCUUGUGCAGGUCAAUGAAUUGGUCUUUCCAGUUUUUUUUUAUAUCCUUGAAAUAGAGGAUGAGUCAUUGCCCAAUCCUACUCCUAUUCUGUUGGGGCGACCAUUCCUUAAGACAGCCCGAAGCAAGAUUUAUGUUCAUGAUCGAACCCUCACAAUGGAAUUCGAUGGUGAAAUGAUCUGUUUCAAUAUCUUUGAGGCAAUAAUGUAUCCUAGUAAUGUACAUUCUGUCUUUGCCAUAGAUGAUAUUAAUACUUUGGUGCAUGAUUUCUUUGAGUUAUCCGGUAAUGAUAGUUUUGAAACUGCCAUAAUAAAAAAUCUUACGAAAGAUGAUUCUAAGGAACAAAUAAAUUUGAUAAAGUUGGAUGAUGAGGUAGAGAAAGCUAUGAGGAUCUUAGAUGGAGCAACCCCAUUACGUACCAGUGGGUAUAAUGUUUCUUACCUUGAAUUGCCUUUUUCCAAUGAGAAACUUUUACCUUUAGUUAUGCGGGCACCUACCUUAGAACUUAAGCCACUCCUAGAGCACCUGUAAUAUAUUUACUUGGGUGAGAAUGAAACACUUCUUGUCAUAAUUGCUAAAACCCUCACUUCAAUUCAAUAAGAAAAGCUAAUUAGGGUGCUUCGGGAUCACAAGACGGUGAUUGGUUGGACCAUUGCCGACAUUAAAGGAAUUAGUCCUUACAUGUGUAUGCAUCAUAUUUUACAACACCGCCUUAAUCCACUAAUGAUGAAAAUCAUAAAAAAGGAGAUAUUGAAACUCUUUAAUGUGGGGAUUAUAUAUACCAUUUCUGAUAGUAAAUGGGUGAGUCCUGUGCAGGUAGUUCCAAAAAAAUCGAGCAUCAUAGUGGUCAAGAAUGAAGAAAACGAGCUUGUGCCAACUAAAGUCCAAAUUGGGAGGAGGGUUUGCAUUGACUACCGUAAACUGAAUGUGAUUAGUAUUAAAAAUUGUUUAAUUAUCAAGCGAUAAUAAUGUUAUUUUGUGCUUAUGUUAUAAUUUAUAUUUAUGUUUAUGCAAUAUAUUAGAAAUUAUUAAUUAUGUAUUAAAUAUAUCUAAUUUUGUGUGUUUAUUAGGUAAAAUAUUAAUUUCACGUAAUUCGAGGCUCCAAAUAGAUAAACGAAUGUCAAAUUUGGAUUUUGGAGUUCCGAAAACCUUCAGAUGAGUCAAGAUCAGCUUAUAAUUGGACUUGUGUAAAUAGAGUUGACUUUUUUCUGUUGACCGAGUAUUGAUUGAAUGAUAAAAUAAGCUUACAAUAGAUGAGUGCAUGGGAUAGCUAGCAAUUUUGACUAAAUCUCAACCGUUCAUGAUUCAAUGGCCAUGAUUAUGCCACGUGGUAAUGAUUGGUGAAGCAAGUUGUAGGAUCCGAAUCUUUGUAUUCGGGUCAACCCAAUCCAUCUAAACCUGCCAAAUCUCAAUUGUUCUUUGGCCAAAUCAGACGAGUCAAAUGAUGCCACGUGUAAUGUUGACUUUUGAAGUUUGAUCAGCCGUUGGAUCUUGAUCUAAUGGUUGUGAGGAGCGCAUGCAUGAAGCUUAUGAUGGACCGCAAAACACUAAAUUAUGAAUUUAUUUUUCUAUAAAUAAAACAUCAUUUUUAUGUUUUUAAUCAUCUCUCUACGUCUCUUUUCUUCUCAAAGUCUCUCAAUCUCUCUGUAAUCUUAUUUUCCAGGUGUGUUUUUAAUAUUUUGUAUAAUUAUUUUUAUAAAUAAAUUUAGUUUUAUUUUCAAUUUUAGUUGUUCUUAUUACUUUUAAUUAUAAGUAAUUUAAUUUUAAUAAUUCUUUUUAUUUCAAUUAUACUUAACUAAAUAAUAAUAGUUAGGGUAAGGUGAAACUCUUAGGAAUUUGCCUGUAAUGACUAAUUUUCGGGCUUUAUCUAUAAAAACUCAACUCCAACUUCAAUUUUAAGAUUCUAGCAAGCAUAAACAAGUUUGAAACAACAUAUUUUGAGCUUCCAAUUCGCAAAUUAUCAUAGAUUAAAUCUUCAUUGUGCUAUCAUUUGUAUAUUCACUCUAAAAGAGAGUUGUUUCUUGUAAUUUUCAUUUCUUUAUCAAAUUUGUGAGCGUUUGAGUGUGAGAAACACUUGAGUUAAGAGAUUGAGGGAUAAUCUCUUGUUGUAAAGGUUCAUUGACACCUUAGAAGUAAGGAUGGCAAAAUUAGGGUCCGGGUUCGGGUUUGGCCUUCCCGGUUCCGGACCUAGAUACUAAAAUUCUAUACCAGAUCUAGAUUUAAACCCGAUUUUUGUGACACUGGGUCUGGUACGAGUUAAACCCGGAAUAAUCCGGGUUUCCGGAUUGUGAAUUUUCAACCCGGAUCACAUACAAAUAAAAAAAUAAAAAAAUCAAAUACACUUUACAAAUUUGCAAAACCAUAUUCGACACAAAUCAAAUACAAAGCAAUAAACCAUUAUGAUUUUAAAUAUCAAAACAAUAAACCAUUUACAAAUACAAAUCCAUGACAUGACAUUCACAAAAUACAAAUUCAUGUCUACAACUCAAAAUCGUGAUUCACGAAUUUGGUUCACAAACUUCAACAAUCGGUGUUCGGCGAAGUAACGAACAACGGUGGCUGAUGAUAUGAUGAUGAUGAACACAUCACAGCCGCAAGCAUGAUUCGCAAAAGGCGAAUCAACGGCGGCUAAAACUAAGAUCGCGAUGGACAAACAACGGCCAAACAGAGGUUGGUGAUGAUAAUGAAGGUGAACACAGUGAAGCAAAGUGAUGAGGAGUGACGACGAUGAGUUGAUGAAGAGAAGAACUGAAGAGGGACGAACAUGGUGAUUUGAUGAAGAGAAAAGAAAGAGGUGAAGAAAGGCGGCUGUGAAAGGGUGAAAUGGAUUUAAGGCAUCAACAUUCUUUCCCCUUUUUUAUAUUAAAAUAUAAUUUAAAGAUUAUGCUAAAAUAAAGAUAUCCGGGUUCGGGUUCCGCAUAUGCGGGUUUAUGCGAACCCGGAAAUGUCUGGGUCGGUAAAAUCGUAUCUGGAUACUGGAUUAUUUCAAUCCGGUAUGGGUUAAACCUAGCCCGAAUUAUUUGGGUUAGACUGGGUCUUGGCCGGGUCCGGGUUAAAUUGCUAUCCCUACUUGGAAGUCAAUUGUAAACAUUUGAAACCUUGAGAGGCUUGGUUAGUGAAGUUCUCAAGCUUGGUUUGGUUGAAGGCGUGGACGUAUGCGAGGAUUGCCGAACCACGUAAAAAUCUUUGUGCUUCCUCUCUCUUCCCUUACUCUUUUAUUUUUUAGUAUUAUUAAAUUUAUUAUUUUUGAUUUUAGUAUUGUUAAAUUUAUUAUUUUUUAUUUCAUUAAGGCAUUAUAUUAAAUUGUUGUGCGAUUUAUUUAGCUUAAGUUUUAAAAACCCAAUUCACCCCCCUCUUGGGUUGUAUAACUAGUAUUUCAUUUGGCAUCAGAGCUUGGUUCUCUUAUUCGGACUUAACCGUCUAGAGUAAAAGAUACAUGACAACGCAAAAUGACUUAACCUUUAGGGAAGGACAGUCUACAACUAGACCACCGUUCUUUGACGGUAAUGACUACCCAUAUUGGAAAACUAGGAUGAGAAUUUAUUUACAAGCUUUAGAUUAUGAAAUUUGGGAAGUUGUUUGUGAUGGUCCAUUUAUGCCUAUGACUAAAAAUGAAAUAGGAGAUGAUAUUCCAAAACCUUCAAGUCAAUGGAGUGAGUUAGAAAAGAAAAAAAUAUCUUUAAACUCCAAGGCAAUGAAUGCUUUGUUUUGUGUUCUAAAUAAAAAAGAGUUUCAUAGGGUGUCAAGUUGUGAGAGUGCUAAAGAAAUAUCAACUGAAGGAAUUUAUGUCGAUUCUCAAAAGAUCGAAGCAGUUGGAAAUUGAGAACGACCUACAAAUGUCACAGAGGUUUGGAGUUUCCUUGGAUUGGCUAGUUAUUAUCGCAGAUUUAUGGAGGGAUUCUCCAAGAAUGCUAUUCUUUUGACACGAUUAACCAAAAAGAAUGUUAAGUUCCAAUGGGAUGAUCACUGUGAAAAGAGUUUUCAAGAACUUAAGACAUGUCUUACUUCAACACCAGUUCUUACACUUCCUUCUAGUAAUGAAGGGUUUGUAGUAUACAAUGAUGCCUCUAGGCAAGGAUUGGGUUGUGUGCUAAUUAAACAUGGGAAAGUAGUGGCUUACGCUUCUAGACAACUUAAAAAGCAUGGUCAAAACUACCCAACACAUGAUUUAGAGCUAGCAGCAGUGGUGUUUGCACUUGAGACAUAGAGGCAUUAUUUAUACGGGGUAACGUGUCAGAUUUUCACUGAUCAUAAGAGCCUGAAGUAUUUAUUUACUCAGAAAGAGUUAAAUUUGAGACAAAGGAGAUGGAUCGAGCUGAUUAAGGACUACGAUUGCACUAUUGAUUAUGAUUCGGGCAAAGCGAAUGUGGUAGUUGAUGCGCUAAGUAGGAAGUCCUCCAACUCUAUAGCUCAAUUGUGAGUUGCAUAUAUGCUUUUGUUGAUCGAGCUGAGAUCUUUGGGAGUUGAGUUGGAAGCUAAUAAUUGCAGAGCUCUAAUAGCUAAUUUUCGAGUUAGGCCGACUUUGAUUGACAAAGUCCAUCAGAUGCAAGAUUAGGAUCCGCAGCUAAUAAAGUUAAGAAAAGAUGUGCAAAAAGACUUGCGAACCGAUUUUACAGUGAGAGAUGAUGGAGUUUUAGUGAUGGGUAAUCGACUUUGUGUACCCGAUAUUGAGGAGUUGAAAAAGGAGAUCAUGGAAGAAGCUCAUUGUUCAGCUUAUGCAAUGCAUCAUGGUAGUACGAAGAUGUAUCGUACCUUGAAGAAUCAUUACUAGUGGCAAGGUAUGAAGAAAGAGAUAGCAGAAUAUAUAUCUCAGUGUUUAGUUUGUCAGCAGAUUAAGGCUGAACAUUAGAGACUUGCAGGGUUUUCGCAGCUGCUUCCUAUCCUUGAGUGGAAGUGGGAGCACAUCACCAUGGACUUUGUAGCAGGACUUCCACGUACCCAGAGUGUGGUCAUGAUAGUGUUUGAGUGGUUGUUGAUCGACUGACAAAAUCUGCUCACUUUUUACUAUUCAAGACUGUUGUGCAAAUUUUAUUGAACUUGCAAGUGCACGAAUCUAUUGUAGAAUAGACUAAUGGUGACGAGUGUCGAUCCCACGAGGAGGUAGAUUUUAAUUGUGUGUAGAAUUAAUUUUGUAAAUGGGUGGUUGAAUUUCUGGUGAAAUUGAUUUGGAAUAUUCUAAAACUUAAAUUAAAAUGGCUAGAAUAAAUUGAAGAUAGAUCUAUUAAAAUGAAGCACUUGGGUAUCCGGAUCCGUAUCAACAUGCACCAUGAGCUAAAUAUUCCUUAUUAAUGCCAAUUAAAUCAUGAGGGGGGAAUCCACACCUCAUGAACCACUCUAUAAUCAAUAUGGUGCUAAGGGCUUAUCGUGCCAAAUAAUAAUAACCUUGUACUAGGGGGCCGGUGAAACCAAGGAGGUACUAGACAAGAUUAGUAUUAUUUGUCGACGAGAAGUCAAAACAUCCACAAAAAUUAGAGGGGAAGAGAAAGUAAAUUUACCAAAUAAAGCCCAUGACACAUGUUGAGACUUCAUCUUCAACCCAAGCUUGAAAGAAAAUUAGCUAUUCAUAAUUGAACUAGGGGCAAAAUGGGAAUUUAUUAAAAUACACAGAAAAUACAAGAUGGAGAAGGAAUUACAGAAAAUGGAGUCCAAAAAUGGAUUCAGAGAUAUCAAAUUAGGCGGGGAAGGCCCCAUUUUUAUAGAUACAUUGAGUAAAUCAUGGCCAUCAGAUUAAAAACAGUUUGGACGCUCAAGAUUGCGCCACGUCAUCAGUCAACAGUACGCGGUUUGACCACGUGGGUGAACAGUAACAUGAUUUGACCCGGCUUUGAACAGUAAUGCGGUUUGGUUGAAAAUAAUCCUGUGUAAUGCAUGUACCGUACACGCAAGUUUUGGUUCACUAAUAUGCUGCCAUGUCACCAUCAACAGUUCAUAAGAAUUUUAGACCAAUAGGAUCAUGGCACCUCAUCAGUCAAUGCCACAUCAUCGGUCAAUGCCACGUCAUCGAUCUGUCUAUGUGAACAAUGUCAUGAACAGUAGCGUAGACAGUACCGUACAUGUGAAUAGUACCGUACAUGUGAACAGUGCCAUUUUUCCUUUUAUGCUCCUUCUAAGGUUUUCGACCGUCUUAAGUUCAAAAGUGAUGUCUGUUUUGCCGUUUGAUCUCUCGUUUAUUGUGAAAUGACUAUGAUACCCCUAAAAUACACAAAAUACUUAAUUAAAAUAAAACACACAUAAUUAAAUUAAAAGAACCUUAAAUACACAAAAGUAAGGGUGUUAGUAAAACUUGAAGUGUAAAAUGACGAUUUUCUCCUUUAUAAAUAUACAUUUUCUAACACUCAACAAAGACCACUUAUUCAAUGGACAAGUUGGGAAGUAUUUAUGUGGCUGAGAUAGUUCGACUUCACGGAGUGCUCGUGUUAAUUGUCUUAGAUAGAGAUUCCCGAUUUACUUCUAAAUUCUAGACCAACUUGCAAAAGAUAUUAGGCACCAAGUUAAAUUUUAGUACAACUUUUCAUCCAUAGACUGAUGGUUAGUCAGACCGUACUAUUCAAACCCUGGAGGAUAUGUUGCAAGCUUGUGUUUUGGAGUUUAAGGGUAGUUGGGACAUUUAUUUACCCUUGAUGGAGUUUGCUUAGAAUAACAGUUAUCAAGCUGACAUCGAGAUAGCACUUUAUGAGGCUUUGUAUGGCAGGAAAUGUAGAACUCCAGUAUGUUGGGAUGAAGUUGGCGAGCGGAGAUUAUUUGGUCCCGAAUUAGUUCAGAAUACUAAUGAGAAUAUACAACUUAUUCGAGAUAUAUUAAAGGUAGCCCAAAAAAAACAAAAGAGCUAUGCAAAUAUGCGUAGGAGGGAACUUGAAUUCAAAGUGGGUGAUAAGGUUUUCAUACGGAUAUCUCAUUGGAAAGAGGUACUUCGAUUUGGGAAGCACGAAAAGCUAAGCCCACGUUACAUUGGAGCAUAUGAGAUCGUGGAGCAUAUUGGUCCGUUGGCGUACCGAUUAGCUCUACCACCUGAGUUAUCCAGAAUCCACGAUGUGUUUCAUGUCUCGAUGCUCUGAAAGUACAUGUAUGAUCCCAGUCAUGUGUUAUCAUGACAACCAAUAGAGUUGAAGGAAGACUUGACUUAUGAAGAGGAGCCAGUGGAAAUACUGGAACAGAAGCACCAAGUUUCGCGUUCUAAAACCAUUCCGUUAGUAAAAGUGUUAUGGAUGAAUCACACAAGGGAAGAGGCUACUUGGGAACGCGAAGACUUAAUGCGAGCCCAAUACCCUCACCUAUUCUCAUCAGAUGUGUAAAUUUCGAGGAUGAAAUUUUUAUAAGGGGGAGGAUUGUAACAUAUGCACUUUAAUUUUCCGAAUUAAGUGUAUUAUUUCCUUUUUCCCCAUCGACAUUAAUUUUAAAUUUAUCGGACUUGUUCUGAAUUAUUAUGGUGAAGUUGAUACAACACGAUUAUCCGACAUUAUGAGUGGUGAUUGUUAAAUGUUAUGCGUUUAUUAAAUAAAUCGUGUUUGGAUUAUUUUAAAUUUGUCAUGACAUAAAAUUGAAACAAUUCGAACAUGAUUCAAUGGCUAUGUAGUCGGAUUUUUAUUUCAACAUGGGUUCGGCGUUAGCAUAAUUGGUAGUAAGCUAAAAAAAAAAUGGAAGCUAGUUUCUAUAAAUAGAAAGAGGGGAGUUGGUUUCCAAAAAGGGAAAGAGAAGGGGCGAGAGAGAAGGAGAAAUUGACAUGUUUGACCCGACCCCACCCUCCAAACCGACCCGCCCUAACUCUCAUUUUCGGCCACCGUUCCGGUCAAGCUUAGAACUGAUAUGAAGUUGGAGCGACGCCGGUCAUAUCCCUGCUGUCAACGUCGCCGAAAAACAGCCAGAACGCCGGCGAUGGAAGCUCGAAAGACCGCGACUCGACCUGUUUUUGUUGCCGUCGAUUUCGCCGGAUUUAGGCAGCGUUACCACUUAGAUCUGGAUUCUCAGCUCACCCUCAUCGUUUUCCAACCAACCCCGCCAUCUGAAACUACCAUUUCGGCCAUGAACAACCGCCGGAAAGCUCGCGACUUGGGAAGCUCGAUCUGCCGCCGUUGCCGUGCGUGGGUGGUCACCACUGGCACCAUUGCACUCAUCGAGGUCAGAACUAUCAAACAUGAGCUUUCUGUCGCCGUUGACUGAAUUUCGGUCACCGUUGACCGGCAAUGGCAAUUCAAUAAUUUCGCAAACUUUGGGGAUUAUUUCGUAAUUUCUGAACUUGGUGGAUAAUUUGGUAAUUCCAGAUUAGGGUAGUGAGGCAACUUAAGAUUUAGGGGUAAUUUGGUAAUUUAUGUUCUUGAGGGCAUUUUGGUAAUUUUGCAUUCUAAGGGUAAUUUCGUAAAUCCAAAAUUUGUGGUUAAUUUUGUGAUCUGAAUUGAGAGCAAUUAGGUAAUUUAGGAUUUUGAGGAUAAUUUGAUAAAUUAUGGUUCUGACGGCAAUUCAGUAAAUUUCCAUGUCAAGGUCAUUUUGGUAAUUUUUGGAUAUAAGGGUAAUUUUGAAAGUUUAUGUAUCCCGAAGUUUUGUUUCGAGCUUUAUUUUGUAUUGUUAGUCGUAUUUCAUGUUACAAAUAAUAACUAUGUCGUUUACUUGAUUAGGAGGACCCGCGAACGAGAAUCAACCCACGGACAUUGUUGAUACCGAGUCUGGACAUCGUCACUGUGAGUGGAAUAUACAAAACCUACUUUCAUAGUAUAUUCUGAUUAUACGAUAAAGUAUAGCAUGUUUUAAUAAUAAGUAUUUGAUGCAUCGAUUUAAUGAUUUUCUAGAAAAUGGACUUUUAUUUACGUGUCGAUAUUUAUUAUUAUCAAGAAUGAGUUUGAUUAAUGAUUUUAUUAUCGUUUUUGAGUAAAUGCAUGGUAAUAAUUUUAAAGAGAAUAAAGUGGAUUUGAAGUAUGUUACGUGGAAAUAAAAUGAGAUUUUAGAUGUUUAUGAAUAUGUAUAUAAAAGGUUAUUUGCAAAAUCAUUGGACAAUACCCUUCCCCUCCAGAUACAGUGAUACAUGUGAUAUGAGAUGAGAAGCCUUUGGGGCUCGUCUGAACACACAUAGAGGCUUUGGGCCAUGUGUUUGGGCGUUUUUACCUUUUGAGGGCAUAUGGAUGCAGUGUGAUGAUUACAAAGAUACAUAUAUUGAGAUACAGAUGGGAUAUGAUGAUACAUAUGGGAUACGGUGAUACAGAUGAAAUGAAAGGCCUUUGAGGCCUGUCUGAGUACACAUAGAGGCUUUGGGUCGUGUGUCUGGGCGCUUUGUCCUUUGGGGACUAGAUUAUGCAUGCAAAAAUAUGAUGAGAUAUGAGAUGACAUUUCCCCGUCUAUCCGUUGUUGCUCCGGGGCAUGAUAGUUCCCUGAUUGCCUGUUCGUUGAGGUCCGGAUAUGAUGAGAUUAUUUCCCUGGGUACUUGUUUGAUGAUAGUUUUGGUAUUCAGUAUUUGAUAUUAUAAGUAUUAUGAUUUCAUUGAUUUUAUACAGAUUUAUGUAAUAUUGUAAUUUCAGUGCAUGAUUUGAAUUAAAUAAGUUUAUGUAAGUUCUUAUGAUAUUUUGAUGAAAUUGAUUUGGGAAAGAUUAAAUCAUUUUUAAAUAAAUUUAUUUUUCAAAAAAUACUAUUCACUCAUUGAGCUUAUUGAGUUUUAUACUCACUUCGUUUUUAUUAUAUUUUUCCCCUCCACAGGAGAUUUGCAAGCACAUUAGUCAACCCAACAAUGAUAUUUAGAUUUGAAAUUAUGGCCACGUGAUGGUGUUAGGAAACAUAUAUGUUUUGUAGAGAUAUUUUGAAUUGUAUAAUUUAUUACUUAUUUGUGAUUAAUGAUAAAUUAUUGUAUUCUUGACAUUAUAUGUUUAAAGGAUACUGGUAUUUGGUUGAGGAAGUUGGUUGUGGAGAUUGGUUGAAUAUUAUAUCAUUUUUAGGAGUGUUAAUUUUAUAAAUUACAGGUUUGGGGAUGUCAUAAUUAUAUAGGAAACUCUGCCGAAUUUUUGGUAGAAUUCUUAGAUAUUAGAAUUAUUAUUAAUUCGGUUAGGCGAGAUUAGAUAGACUCGUCCUAUGGCUUCGGGGCGGGUCGUUUCAGAUGCAAUAUAGAAAGGUAAUUGGUUGUACUUUCAGACAGCUCAAGCAACUGCAUUAUCCAACACAUGAUUUAGAGCUUGCAGUAGUGGUGUUUGAUUUAAAGACUUAGAGAAAUUAUUUAUAUGGAGUUACUUGUGAGAUAAUCAUUAAAACUUGAAGUACUUAUACACACAUAAGGAAUUAAAUAUGAGAUAACGUAGGUGGGUUGAGUUGAUUGCAAAUUAUGACUAUAUUAUUGAUUGCCAUCCAUGCAAGGUGAAUUUGGUGGCUGAUGCUCUCAUUAGGAGGUCUUCCAAUUCAAUAUCCCACCUUAAAGUGUUGUAUCUUCUAUUGUUGAUCAAUUUGAUAUCUUUGGGUAUGAACUUAGCAGUGGGUGAGAAUAGAGCACUUUUGACACAUUUUUAGGUUUGGCAUGUUCUGAUUGGCUAGAUUUGAGAGAUGCAUGACCAAAAUCAGAAAUUGAUCAAAAUGAAAGAAGAUGUGAAGAACGGAAUACAAAUGGACUUUUCACAUAGAAAUGAUGGUACUUUAGUGGUAGUAGACUUUGUGUGUCGAAUAAUUUAGAUUUUAAAAACUAGAUUUUAGAAUAAGCACAUAAUUCAGUAUAUGCUAUGCACCCAAAUAACACGAAGAUACAUCAUGUUUUGAGGGAGCACUAUUGAUGGCAGGGGAUAAAGAGAAACAUAGCAAAGUGUGUGGCACACUAUUUAAUUUGUUAGCAAGUUAAGGUAGAACAUCAGGGACCUAUGGGAGAAUCUCAAUCGCUUGAUAUUCCUGAGUGGAAAUAGGAGCAUGUUACCAUGGAUUUUAUAAUAGGACUUCCUCACGAAGUCUGCUCACUUUUUAUCUUACAAAAGUAAAUACUCUUAUAAUAUGUGUUGUGCAAAUUUUAUUGAACUCGCAAGUGCACGAAUCUAUUGUAGAAUAGAUCAAUGAUGACGAGUGUCGAUCCCACGAGGAGGUGGAUUUUAAUUGUGUAGAAUUAAUUUUCUAUGAGGGUGGUUGGAUUUCUGGUGAAAUUGAUUUGGAAUAUUCUAAAAUUGGAAUUGAAAUGGCGAGAAUAAAUUGAAGAGAAAUCCAUUGAAAUGACGUACUUGGGUAUAUGGAUCCGUAUCAACAUGCACCAUGGGCUAAAUAUUCCUUAUUAAUGCCAAUUCAAUCAUGAGGGGGGUUUCCACACCUCAUGAACCACGCUCUAAUCAAUAUGGUGCUAAGGGCUUAUCGUGCCAAAUAAUAAUAACCUUGUACUAGAGAGCCGGUGUAACCAAGGCGGUAUCUAGACAAGAUUAUUAUUAUUUGUCGAUGAAAAGUCAAAUCAUCCACAAAAAUUAGAGGGGAAAAGAAAAUAAAUUUACUAAAUAAAGCCCAUGACACAUGUUGACCCAAGCUUGAACUAGAGGCAAAAUGAGAAUUUAUUAAAAUAUGUAGAAAAUACAAGAUGGAGAAGGAAUUACAGAAAAUGGAUCCUAAAAAUGGAUUCAGAGCUAUCAAAUUAGGGGGGGGGGGGGAGGCCCCAUUUUUAUAGAUACAUUGAGUAAAUCAUGGCCAUCGGAUUAAAAACAGUUUGGACGCUCAGGAUUGCGCCACGUCAUCAGUCAACAAUAAGUUGUUUGACCACUUGGUUUGAACAGUAACACGAUUUGACCUGGCUUGAACAGUAACGCGGUUUGGUUGAAAAUAAUCCUGUGUAAUGCAUGUACCGUACGCGAGAUUUUUGGUCCACUGAUAUGCUGCCACGUCACCAUCAACAGUACAUAAGAAUUUUAGUCUAACAGGAUCGUGACACCUCAUCAGUUAAUGCCAUAUCAUCGGUCAAUACCACGUCAUCGAUUCGUCUAUGUGAACAAUGUCGUGAACAAUAACGUAGACAGUACCGUACAUGUGAAUAGUGCCAUUUUUCCUUUUAUGCUCUUCCUAAGAUUUUCGACCGUCCUGAGUUCAAAAGUGAUGUCCGUUUUGCCAUAUGAUCUCUCGUUUAUUGUGAAAUGACCAUGAUACUCCUAAAAUACAUAAAAUACUUAAUUAUAAUACAACACACAUAAUUAAAUGACAAGAAACUUAAAUACAUAAAAGUAUGAAUGUUAGUGGAACAUGAAGUGUAAAAUGACAAUUUUCUCCUUUAUAAAUAUACAUUUUUUAACACUCAACAAUAUGAUGGUGAAUUUGUAUGUAAAGGAAAUAGUAUGUUUGCUUGAAGCCCUUGUGUCUAUUUGUUUCAAAUAGAGACUUACGGUUUACUUCCAAGUUUUGGCCUUGUUUACAGCAAGCUAUGGGUUCUAGAUUAAAUUUUAGUAUAACUUUCAUCCGUAGAUAGACAAACAAUCAGUAAAGAUUAUUCAGCUUUUGAAAGAUAUGCUUCAAGCAUGUAUUAUGCAGUUUCAAGGUAAUUAGGAUACAUGCCUACCUUUUAUGGAGUUUGCUUAUAAUAAUAGUUAUCAGUCUAAUAUGAGUAACACUAGUAAGUGUACAUUUAAUAAAGGUCAAAAUUAUCAAUUUUUUACUUAUAGUGUUGAUAACACUAACAAUUUCAUUACAUUAAUAAAUCCUUAACCUAUUAUUAAAAUUAAUAAUUCUUAUUUGUUUUUAAUUAUAUUUUUUGUACUUCGUAGGUAAUUCCCUAAAAUCAUAAUGCUUGGAUUUAAAAAAUGGACGUAAAAUUUGGAUUCCAAAAACUCAAAAGCCAUUGGAGAUUUUCUAGCCCUUUGAUAUGGCAUUAUUACUGAAUGAUUUAGAUCAUUCCAUGCGUCCAAGCUCACAAACACCAUGUUAUACUAGAUUUUGCACACCAAAUUUGGUAGAUAAACUAUCUUGACAAAUUAACUCAACCAUAUUAACAAAUGAGCAAAAGGAAGGUCCCGCUUUGACUUCAAUCAUAACCAUUGAUUUUGUUAAAUCCAACGAUCCAUAUGGUUGCAAAUUUUAAACCCUUGGAUUGUACUACUAAAUCUCAUCUAAAUGGUUAUGAUUGUAAGAUCAACAAAAUAUUGUAAACACCCAUACUUGAUCAUUUAAAAUUUGCCUAUAAAAAGGUAAGAGCUCUCACAAUUGAGGAUGUGCUAGAUUUUGGGAAAAAAAAGAAAAGGGGAGAGAAUUGUGUGGUGGAUUUUUGGGGUGAGCAUUUUGGGUGUAAAUAUAGAGUGAAUUUAGGAAAAAAUUCUCUUUCCUUUCCCUUUGUUUUUAAAUUUUCUUGUAUUGGACUUUACAAAGUUUAUUAAAUAAAAUGAGUGUUUUCCUUUUAAACAAGAGUGGCUAAAUUUUCUAAGCUGAGGUGAAAGGUGAAGCUCAAGGAUUCAAAUCAUGGAAUUAAUUACUCUUUCAAGUGAGUUUUAAGUCUAUUUAUUUGUUAUAUGUUUAUAAUUUAUACUUUUUUCUUUAUUGAUUACUUUCAUGUCAUGUUAAUUUGUAGAUCUAGAUCUCCUUGAAUCUAUAUAGAAUUUUAACAUAAUGUCAACGCUCCAAUAUAGCUGUGACAAAUUAGGUUCUUGAUCUCAUAUUUAUCUAUACAAAUAGUUUAUUAUGAAAUAAAUGGCAUUAUAAUUAACUAGCAAAAGAAAUGCAAAAUAUAAAUAUGAGAGAGUAUUAUGACCAUAAUUUGAAAACUGAGAGUGGAUCUCGUAACCUUAUGAUUUUUCUAGAUCGGUCUUUAUUAAUUUUUUUUUGUAAUUAAUUUUUGUUUAAUAAUUAAUUACUAGAUUUAUAAAUUUCUUGUGAUUCGAUCCCAGACUCAUUAGAUUAUAUUAUAACUAGACACUCUUAUACUUGGGAGUAAUUAACAAUUUUGGAUUGUACUAUAGUAUUCAGAUGGCACCAUUUGAAGUUUUGUGUGGAAGAAAAUGCAGGACUCGAAUAUGUUGUCAUGAAGGUGGGGAGAGGCAGUUGUUAGGUCUAAAAAUCAUCUAGAGUACUGAUGAGAAGAUUAAUGUCGUCAGAGAAAAGUUAAAGGCAAUAUAAGAUAGAAAGAAGAGUUAUAUAGAUAAGCAUCAGAACCACUUGAGUUUACAAUGGGUGAUAGGGAAUGACGUUCUUCGAUUUGGAAAACAUGGGAGUCGAGCCCUUAGUAUAUAGGCCUAUACGAGAUUAUAUAGUGUGUUGGUCUAGUUGCUUACCGUUUAGCUUUACCUCUAGAGUUUUUACAAAUGCAUGAUGUUUUUCAUGUUUCUAUGGUUCAGAAGUGUUUCUAUGUUUUAGAACCAAUCUAAAUGACAACAGAUUUGAUUUAUGAAGUGAAACUAGUUCAGAUACUUGAUUGGAAACAACAUGCGGUACAUAAUAAGACGAUCUCACUAGUUAAAGUGAUAUGGAAGAGUCACAUUGCAGAGGAGAGCACUUCAGAGCAUGAGGAAUAGAUUCGGUCAUAGUACCCAUAUUUAUUUCAACCAAGUAUGUAAAUUUUGAGGAAGAAAUUUUUAUAAAUAUGGAGGAAUUGUAGCACACGUGCAUGCAAUGGAUAAAGCUAAAUGUAGCUUGUUAAAUUGGAAGCAGUCAGCUGCAUACUUCACUUGCUUGCUUGAACCGGUGCUUAUAUAUAUAUUUAAAAAUUGAGAGUUGCUUGCUUAGAUUUGGUGGCUAUUCGGUGGCUAUGUAAAGUGUAAAAUAUUGACAACAACUUCAUUGUAUCAAAUUGCAACCAAAAGCAAAGUAAAGACAGAGAGGAAAUUAAAAGAAAACGAGAGAAAGAAAGAAAUGAAAAGGAAAAGAGGUAGAGAAAGAAAAAAAAAGUGAAGAGAAGAAAAAAAGAAAAAGAAGAAGAAAAGAGUAGCUGAGAAUCAACGAAAAGAAAAAAAAAUUAGAAAAUUACAAGAACUGAAAUUGAAUAAUUAGAAUUAUAUUUGUUGGACUAAUGGGUAACAAAUUUAUGAAAUUUAAGCAAUUAUGAUUUAGUUUACGUUAUACAUAUAAGUUUUUAUAUCAUUUCUAAUAAUUAACUUUUGAACCCUGAAUUUUAGGAGAAAUCCAAGAACUCAAGAACCCACGAGAGUCCUAACGAAUCUCGAAGUGAAAUAGGAUCAGCUAUUGGAUAUUAUUAUUACUAUUAUAUAUUUUGUGAAGAAUUUAUAUUUGACAGUAUGAUUUAGUACAUGUUAUGAUUAUAUAUACGACAUUAUAUGAUCAAUUGAGUCAUGAUAUGUGAUUUCCAAUCACCAUAUGUGUACCCUUCUUCAUAGGCUCUAUGCAUGCGUAUUGAAAGUUAGAUUACUCUGCCUAUGUGAUAUAAUUAAAUUCCUCCGCGUAUUGAGAAGCUUUUCCUCUACUUUGCUCACAUGAUGAUGAUCUCAACGAGUAUUAUAGUUGUUUUCUUCGAUGCUAGUUGGUGCAAGUGUCAUGUAUUUAUGUAUGAAUUUCAUAUUUUCCUACGUAUUAUAUUCAGUGUGGAGUUAUGUCAUAUGAUUAUGUAUAAACAUUAGUAUACUACUUUAUUUUUACAUAUAUAAUUAUGUCCACUCACUAAGUGGCAAUCUCACUAUUUCCCUAGUACCCUAUGUCUCCUAAGUUUCCAUAGGAUUCCAUGUAGUUAAGUUUUUAACAUGUGAGGUUAGGCUACGAGAUGCAUUGCUGCAUAACUUGCAUUAUGAGCACGUUUAUGUUUAUGUGUAUAUAUUUGAGGUGUAUAUUUGUACAACGACAUGUGACCUGUGCAAGUUUUAAAUAUAUUUUCAGAUAAGGCACAUAUGUUAUUUUAUGAUUAUGGUAGAGGCUCCAGACCAAUUUUAUAUAUUUAUGAAUAAGUUUAUGACAUUAUUUUUACAAAAAUUUAAAAUAUACUACUAAAAGGGUAGUUUUUCACUUUCCUUCCUAAUGUAGAGUAUAUUUGUAAUUUGAUGGGGAGGAUCAGUUUAUUAGUGAAAAUCUCCCCAUAGAAUUUCAAAAAAAGCAUUUUUUUUUAUGGAGAGGUUAUUUAAACCUUCUAAAUCAAUUAUUAAAUCCAUUUACUAAAUGAAUUCACUCUUGAAGUUCCAAAUUUUCUAUUAAUCAAUCUAAAUACUCAAUAAAACCUUACUAAACAAAAUUAUUAUUAAACUAGUUUUUUUUUUACUUAAGAGAUUCAUGAUUAAAAUCAUAUGCAUAUAAAACCUUUAAUCGAACAAAUAUUUCUCUCUUGUCUUAUACAAGCAAAAUUUUAACCUCUUAUUUUAUAUCAAAUUAACUCCACUUCAUUAUUUUCAAGCUCUCUUUUGUUUCCUUAUUCUUCUUUUUCCUUUUUUUUUUCCAACAUAAAUGUCAAACUUUGCCUUAAUUUUAACAAAUAUGAAACUAAAUAUGGUAAUAACAACAUACAAAAAAUUAUUAAAAGAAAAAGCAGCAACAAAUACUUCUUUUGUUUUCUAUUUUUAUAUGAAUCUUGACCAUCAAGGCAUAUGAAAAAGAGAGUUCCACUAACAGUAGAAUUCCAAGUAACAUGUGAUUAAAAUUUGAUGUGCUUAGAGGGAUUUAAUGUUGAAGAAAGUGUGCAGAGAAUAAAACUCUUAUUGUUUAAUUUCUUCUUGUAUGACAAUAAUAGUAAGUUGUGUGAUAGGUAUUUUAAUAAUAAAUAGAUUUAUCAAAAAGUGGGUUUCUUGAGUACUUUGAUAGGUUCAAAUAGUCCCUUUUUUCUGAAUUAUAAAUAUUUUCCAUGCUUGAGAUGUUGCCACUUCUUCUAUAGAAGAAACUUUGCUUAAUUAUCAUCAUGACCCGUAUUUUGAAGCAUUGAAAUCGCUUGAUCCAUCUGUUAUUAUUAAUUCAUUAUUACCAUGAUCAUUUUAUGUUGUUAGUUGACUUUUAACUCUUAAAAUUAAGGGUGAGUUUGGUAAUGCUUUAGAUUUUAAAAUAAUUAAUAUUAAUUGUGUUGUAGAAUGAUCAACUGUGAAGAGAAUCAGUUAAAUAUUUAGUAAAAUUUAUAUUUAAAAGUGCUAUGAAUUUUAAAAGUAGUCAUAUGUGUUUGGUAAAUCUUAUUGUUAAACUGUUGUACAAUAAUCGACUAUGAAGAGAAUGUUAAAUAUUUGGUAAAAUUUAUAUUUAAAAGUGAUGUAAAUUUUAAAAGUAGUCAUAUGUGUUCGGUAAAUCUUACUGUUAAAUUGUUGUAAGAAUAUAAUUGACUCAAAAUUGAACGUAAUAUUGAAUAUAAUUUAUUUAAACAUAUAUAUAAAACAUUUCUUUUAUUGUGUGCAUAUAAUAAUUAACAAUUAAAAUAAUUUUUUAUAUUAUUAAUUUUAUUUUUUAUUUAGUCAUCUCAAUAUAAUCAGUUAUAAUACUCUUUAAAAUCAAUCAUUUUAUUUUCUAAUUAAAAAGGAUAAUUUUGAAUUUUUAUAACAUAUAUGAGGAUAUUUAUGAAAUUGUAUUAAGUAUAAUAGUGAUUCCCAAAAUCAGAUUCUGAAAAGCUAAUCUUUUCCUACUUUUCAAAAAUCUGAUGUAGAAAGGAGAUGAUUUUGUUAAAAAUGAUUUCUAAAAGGAUUUACCAAAUGCCAAAUUAAAUUUUAAUUUUUCAAAAUCACUUUUAAACUUCUCAAAAGCAAAAUCCCAAACCGACCCUAUGUCAAUUAGAGUCUUUGUAUUGUACAAAUUUUUUCCUUAAAUUAUUAGCCAUUUUUUAUGCAUAAAAUUUUUUCGUUUGUAAUAUUUUAUUUAGUUUAAGUCACAAAUUGUCUCUUAAGUGUAACAUAGCUGGUGAUACAAUUAGCUAAGUUCGAGUAAUAAUAAAAGUAAUGGUUAAUGUUUACUGGUAAGAUUUCUCAUCGUCUUUAAAAGGGAAAAAAAAUUAUAAUAAAAGAUUAGAGAACAUGAUAUCAUCUCUGCUUUGACAAAAUAGUGAAGUGUAUGCCAAUGCCACAAGGAUUCAAUAAAUUAAUAAGUGGCCAGGCAUUAUCCUACUGUUUUAAGCUUUUUGUUUUUCUAAAUAGAAUGUAUCAUUGAUGAAGAAGAACAAUUGUUGUUUGUAUAAGCAUCAGUUUGCUGUCAAAUGUGAUUGAAAAUGUUGCUAAUCAUCAUUAAGAAGGCUCUCUGUGUAUAAGCACGCUUAUUUUAGUUUUUGUAACUGUAAAUGUAACAAGAAACGACUGACUUCCUUCCUUCCCCAAGUUUGUCUUAUGUUAAAAUGCAUCCGUUACUUUUCAUCUUUUUGCCUUUUUCUGCAAUUUUAUCCCUUGUAAUUAAAUUGAAACCGCAAAAUGACUUUCUUUUGUCCUUUUCAGUGGUUUCAAAAUUUGCAUACACUCAAUCUAAUGCAAACAGAAAAUAUUUACGACUCUAUGCCCUUGCAGGUCCUAGAGUUACUGUUCGUACAAGUCCUCGAUGGGCAGCCUGCGGUGCUAAUUCUGUGAGUUCAACCACCGCGCUGUUUGUUCGCCUCUGUAUUCCUGGAUGUGAACCUCAGAAUAAAGCUGCUUAUGAUAGGGGAAAGUAGUGAUUAGCUAGCACAUGGACGUUGCACGUUGCUUUCCUAAAUGCUCUAUUAAUACUCCUUACGCUUUAUUGAGCAGUGACCUUAUUACCACUAGAUGCGCAGGAGUAGGUUUGUGCAGUGCCACUUUGUCCACAAACGGAUAUUCUCUCUAAUAUAGUCAUAUAUGGCGUCCUAAAAACCAUAUAUAAAUAUCUCUCUUAUAUUAUAUAUGGUUUUUAGGACGCUAUAUAUGACUAUAUUUGAAAAAACAUUAUCCGCUCAUAUAUUAUAUAUGGGUUUUAGGUCAUGUACAAGAAUUUAUUCUCUUGGAUAUCUCUCGCUCAUAUAUUAUAUAUAUAUGGUUUUUUGGACACCUGAUAUGACUAUAUUUUAAAAAAGGGAAAUUAUCAUUACACUACUUUUAUUUUGCCUUAUGUUCAUCCAACCACUACAAAAUUUUAACAUGUAUUUUGUACCACUUUUUUUUUUUUUACAUUUUUAUCAACUAGCCACUUUUACAUUAACACUAUUAAAUAAUUUUAAUAAAAUGAUAAUUUUACCCCCAAAUAAAUUAAAAGACCAUUUUAUUUUAUAAAAACUUUAAAAAUUAAAAAAAUAUAAUGAUAAAAUAUCCCUAAAUUUAAUAAAAAUAAAUCCCAAAAUUAGAAUUUUUAUUUUUAAUAUAAAAUUAUAAUCAUAAAAAUAAUUACAAAAUUUUGGGAUUUAAUAAAAAUCCCAUAAAUUAUUAAAAUUUUAGUAUUUAUUCUUUUAAGAAAUAAAUUCAGUUAUUUUAAUUUUUUUUUACAAAAUUAUAUUUUUUUAAUAAAUAAAUUCAUUUAUUUAUAUUAAAAUUUUGUAAAAUUAUAAUUUUUUAAAAAAAUAAUUAUUAAAAUUUUGUAAAAUCUAAAUUUAGUAAAAAUCAGUUGAGCACCUCUAUUUGGGAUUUAUUUUUUAUUAAAUUUAGGGAUAUUUUUAUGAUUAUAAUUUUUAAUUUUAAAAGUUUUUAUAAGAUAAAAUAAUUUUUUAAUUUAUUUGGGGGUAAAAUUGUCAUUUUAUUAAAAUUAUUUAAUAGUGUUAAUGCAAAAGUGACUUGUUGAUACAAAUGUGAAAAAAAAAAGGUGGUGCAAAAUACAUGUUAAAAUUUUAUAGUGGUUGGAUAAACAUAAGGCUAAAUAAAAGUGGUGCAAUGAUAAUUUCCGUUUAAAAAAACAUUAUCCACUCAUAUAUUAUAUAUGGUUUUUAGGUCAUGUACGAGAAUUUAUUUCUUUGGAUAUCUAUUACUCAUAUAUGAUAUACACUUUUUAGGGCACUAGAUAUGACUACAUUAAAGAAAUAUAUAUAUGACUAUAUUGAAAAAAAAAAAAACAUUGUCCGCUCAUAUAUUAUAUGUAAUGCACCUGCACGUGACUUAAGAAGCUACCCAUGACUUAGUAGUUAAAAAGCAGUGAGCUGCUUGUUUUAUACUUUUAUUUAAGCAACACAUGCAUAAUUCAUCAUGUCACCUGCAUGCUUCAUCAAAUUCACAUGCUUGCUUCACCGAUUACACACCUGCCUGCUUCAUUCACUUGGCCACCCCCUGUUUACGUCCUCCUAGUUGCAUCAUUCUGGGUGGUACAUAAAGUCGAAAUAAAUUGGAAGCUGCUUCAUUUUUCUUAAUUUGGAGAAUCCAAAAUCGAGAGCAAACAAAAGGAAAAAGGAAGAGAAAUAGAAAAGCUAAGAAAGAAACUAAGAGAAAAAGCGAGAAGAGAAGAAAAUGGAAAGAAAAGAAAUAAAACAAAAUAAAAAUUGAAAACCGAGAGUGAGAAAGAAAUGGACAAGGAAAGCGAAAGUGGAAAAGUUAUAGGAAAUUAGAUUUAUAUCCAAUGAAUUAGUGGGUAAUAAAUUUAUGAAAUUUGAGUAAUUAUGUUACAGGUUUCAUUAUAUGCAUCAUCUAAUUGUUAAUUUUUGAAUCCAUAGGAGCCCUAAUGAAUCCCAGAGUGAAAAAAGAUCUAUGAGUGGAUACUAUUAUUACUAUUAUGUAUGUUGUAAAGCAUUUAUACUUGAUAGUAUGAUUUAGUAUUAUGUUAUGAUUAUAUGUAUGCACAUUAUAUCAUUGAUUGAGCCAUGAGAUAUGAUUGUGAGUCACCAUAUGUGUACCCUUCCCCAUAGACUCUGCGCAUGCAUAUUAAGAGUUAGAUUACUCUAUACGUAUGAUGUAGUUAAAUUUCGUUAGGUAUUGAGAGGUUUUUCCUCUGCUUUACCAGUGCGAUGAUGAUCCCAGCGAGUAUGAUAGUUAUUCCCCUAGUUACUCUUUGGUGCAGUUUGUCAAGUAUGUACAUAUGAUAUGUCAUGUUUGCUUAUGCAUUAUGUUCAAAGUGGAGGUAUGUCAUAUGAUUCUGUAUAAGCACUAAUACAUGCUUUACUUAUAUAUAUAUACAUAUAUACACUAAGACACAAGCUCACUAUUUUUCUAUUUACCCCAUUUCUCCCAAGUUUCACAGGAUUUUGUGUAGUUCAGUUUCUAAUCAUUUUGAGGUUGGGCCACGACACAUAUUGUUGCAUGACUUGCAUUUUGAGCACGUAUAUAUAUAGUGACAUAUGAAGUGUGCAAGUUCUUUUGGAUGGGCACAUAUGGUAUUAUAUGUUUAUAGUAGAGGCUCAAGGCCAGUUUUAUAUAUUCAUAAAUUAAGUUUAUGUUAUGAGUUUUAGAUGUUAGAUCACAUGAUUCGCCUCAGAUAUAACAGAUGGAUCCAGGAUGCUCAUGUCAUUAUAUAUGGUUUUUAGGUCAUUUACGAGCAUUUUUGUACUUGGAUAUCUGUCCCUCAUAUAUUAUAUAUGGUUUUUAAAACAGCAAGUAUGCCUAUAUUUGAAAAAAAAACAUUAUUCGCUCCUAUAUUAUAUAUGUAUUUUAGGUUGUGUACCAUAGUUUAUUUCCACGGAUAUCUCUCGCUCAUAUAUUAUAUACGGUUUUUAGGACACCAUAUAUGACUAUAUUUAAAAAAAAACUAUUAUCACUCAUAUUAUAUAUGUCUUUUAGGACGUGUACAAGAAUUUUUGUCCUUGGAUAGAUCUCACUUAUAUAUUAUAUAUGGUUUUUAGGACACUAGAUAUGACUAUAUUUGAAAAAUAAAAUAUUAUUCGCUCUUAUAUUAUAUAUGGAUUUUAGGUCGUAUAUGAGAAUUUUUGUCCUUAGAUAUUUCUCGCUUAUAUUUGAGAAAACAUUAUCCACCUGUAUACUAUAUAAGGAUUUUACAACAUCAGAUAUGACUAUAUUUAAAAAAAAAUAUUAUCUUUUUGUUCUUAUUAACUCACACAUAUAUUGAUGUACUUUUUUUUUUUUAAUUUAUGCACCUAAUAAAGUUUGAAUUCAAGAUCUGCGUUCUAAGAAAGCCGCUUCUUAUCUCUCAAUUUAGACUUUUUAUUAGUACUUUUUAGUAUUUUUACUAAAAAAAGUUAAUAAUUACAAUAUUACUUGAUAACAAAUCCAAUAUACUUUUUAUCAUUUAAGUAAGGUUUGAACUUCAAAUCUUUAGUGUUAUCCCAAAAAUUAACCCAAUAUGUUAAUUAGUCGUUAGUCAUUGAGCCUUUGGCUCGAUAGUAAUAAAUUUGUGCUCUCGAUUUCAAGGCACAAAUUUAAGUUCCAACGCCUGUGAGACUCAAAAUUUCCCUUCCAAUUACAUAAUUGGAUAUCUUUUCAAAAUUAGUGACUGAUAAAUAUAUUUAGACUAUGAGAUAGUAGAAUAAUAUAUCUAAGGAUAUCCCAGAUGAUUUAUGGAAAGGUUACGUGUCUCUAGAUUAUCAUUGAUUUGUAUAUUUAAAUAGUAGUAUAGUUUUGAUUGAUUUUUUUAAUCCCUCAUUUAUAAAUUGCAACCUAUAUCAAAAGCCCAUGUUUCUUCCACGUCCUUAUAACCACAGCAACCACAACAUGGAUACUAAUGGAGCUGAUACUGAAAUAUGCAAUACCCACUUGCCCGAAAAGCCUGAACUUUCACCAACUUUAAUUUCAGACACCGAACUCCUAUCUGAAUUCUCACACCAUGCCCAAAACAAAGCUAGAAUCAAUAAUGGAAGCUUCGGUUGUUGCCCCAAGAGUGUUUUGUCAGCACAGCAGAAGUGGCAACUUGAGUUCCUCAAACAACCUGAUGACUAUUACUUCAAUAGGCUGAAAGAUGGGAUUUUCAAGUCAAGACUUGCGAUCAAAGAAUUGGUCAAUGCUGACCAUAUUGAUGAAAUAUCAAUUAUUGAUAAUGCCACGACUGCUAUAGCCAUUGUGUUGCAGAGUGUUGCUUGGGAAUUUUUACAAGGGAAGUUUAACAAAGGUGAUGCUGCUGUUACGCUUCAAUAUGCUACUGGUGCUGUGAAAAAAUCUCUGGAAGCAUAUAUUAUGCGUGCAGACGGGUAUGUUAUUGAAGUUCAGUCACCAUUUCCUGUUAAUUCUGUUUAGUGAGAUUGUCAUGAAUUUCGGAAAGCUUUAAGAAAGAGGGAAAACCAAUGGUAGGAAAGUCAGAUUGGCUAUGAUUGAUCACGUGACAUCUAUUCCUAGUGUUCUGAUUCCUGUCAAAGAAUUAAUCAAGGUUUGUCGGGAAGAUGGUGUCGAUAAAGUAUUUGUUGAUGGUGCACAUGGGAUUGGGUGUGUUGAUGUUGACGUGAAAGAAAUGGGGGCUGAUUUUUAUACUAGUACUUUGAACAAGUGGUUCUUUUGCCCACCUGCGGCAGCGAUUUUGUAUUGUAGGAAAUCAAGUGAAGUUAAUGAUUUGCAUCACCCUGUGGUGUCUCAUGAGUAUGGAAAUGGGUUGCCCAUAGAGAGUGCUUGGAUUGGGACUAGGGAUUAUAGUGCCCAAUUGGUUAUUCCUCAAGCUUUGGAGUUUGUUAACAGAUUUGAAGGGGGAAUUGAAGGAAUCAAGAAGAGGAAUCACAAAGCUGUUGUUGAGAUGGGGAAAAUGUUGGCAAAAGCAUGGGGAACCCAUCUUGGGUCUCCUCCGGAGAUGUGUUCAAGCAUGAUCAUGGUUGGGUUGCCUGCUAGUUUGGGCAUUUCUAGUGAUUCUAUUGCUUUAAAGUUGAGUACCCACUUGAGGAAUAAUUUUUGUGUUGACGUACGUAUCUAUUAUAGGGAACCGGGUGAUGGGAUGGUUAACCCUGUUACAGGAUAUGCUCGAAUUUCUCAUCAUGUUUACAACAAACCAGAUGAUUACUACAAGUUCAGAGAUGCAGUUAACCAACUUGUUAAUGAUGAGUUCACUUGUGCACUUCUCUCAUAGCAAAGAGGUAUGUUUUAGAUUCAAUGAUUGUACACUGUUAGGUAUUUUAGCUUGGAUAUAUUUUUGUAUGCCUGUUGUUUCUUGGUAAUUCUUUUCUCUUGGGUACCUUCAACCAGGGGCGGAUGCAGCUUGUGACGCCCCCACUGGCCAAAAAAAAUUUAAAAAUAAAAGAAAAAAAUAUUUUAAUUUUUUAAUUAACCCCAUUAAAUUUAUUAAAAUAGUCACUAUAAAUUAUAAACCCCGUAAAAUUUAAACACUAACUUUUAAGAAUUAUAAAAAUCUAUAUCUUAAUUAAAAAUAAUGAUAGCCCACCACCCAAAAUAUUUUCUAUUAUAAAAAAUAAGAUUAAUUCUUCCAGUUUCUAUAAUAAUAGUAAAACGAAUGUUUUCAGUAAUGAAACUCAUGAUGAAUCAUCUUUGGAAUCGAAUAUGAUAAAUGAUAGUUUGGUUACUUAUAUAGGAAACAAUAAAUUUAAUAAUAUUGAUAAUGAGUCUAUUGCAUAACAUUUUAAAAAUAUGAAAAUGCAUAGAGAAUAAUUAUAAAUGUAUUAGUAAAUAUUUUAUAUAUUCAAAAUUUUAAUUUUUUAUAUUUUAUUAUUAUCUAAUUUAGCCCCCGUAAAUUAUUUUUCUAGUUCCGCCACUGCCUUCAACCAUGAGGCCGCAACCUAUGAUAAAUGUUAAAACUAUGUGGAGUCAUUAUGUUUUAGGAUAGGUUGACUGGCAACAAAAUCCCCUUCUCACCAUGUGAAAAGGGUUCAAACCUUAGAGUUCUUAUAACAACCCAAGCAAUCUUACCGAGUUUAACUAGUUGGCAUCCACACACUUUGUAGAGUACUAUUUCUACCUAAUAUAGGGAAAGGAGAGGUUUGAGUUAUAUAUGACUAUGCUACAGACCUCUUAGCAUUCACAAAGGUCAGUGAUUACGUUAAAAGAUGCUAGUGGCAAAUUUAACUCAUUUCUUCUUAGGCUUGUAUGUGGCUUGUUAUACCAGCAAUGCAAACUGAUUUAGUUCUGAUUCAGGUUGACUAUCAGAAUAUACAUCGCUAGUUUCCUGCCUAUAUAUAGAGAAUUCCCAAAAAGAUUUAUGAAAACUGCAAAACCUAUUUUGGCAAAAAUUGGCCUUUCAAAAUUUAUUUUUAAAUGCUUUUGAAAACAUACUAGUUAAAAACACUUUUAACUCUUGACUUACGCUCAAAAAUAUUGUUUCAACACAUUAACGGCUAAACGGGCCAACAUAGACCGUGUUUAAAAAAAAAACUUUUAGAAAAUUUGCAAAAACUUUUACUAGGUUCUUAUUAUUUUUGUCAAAAAACAAAAACCUUGAUUUUCAAAAACUUUUCCUCCACAUUCUUUUCUCCUGAUGAUAACAAGGACCGCCUUUUGUGAAUGUUUUAAAUAUAAUUUAUACUUUCGUUAACAAGGCUAGACUUCUUAACCCAAAAGCUAAAUAAAUAAAAACAAAAGAAAUUAAACUACUUACUUGAUAAACUUGCUAGUUGCUAUCUAAAGGAUAAGAGACUUUUAUUGAUUUUUAUUUUUUAGAGUACAAAGUACAUAUUUGACUCUACCAUUGCCCUUGUCUCACUUCGUCUCACCACACUUUCUACUUGACUUUGAGUCCUAUAUAUACAACUAAGGACUUGUGAAAAUUAUUGACAUAAUUUAUGACUCUAUGUACAAAGGCCAAAAAUUUAAAGUUACAAUUCAAAUGUUGCGAAAAGCCAAUGAUUAAUUAAAAAGGUGAAAAGUAAAAGACUGACUGGAUAUUAUUACUGUGUAGAGAUUCAAUAUCGAUAAAUAGUGGCUGGCUACUAUUUUCUAUGCUGAAUUACUAUAGAAAACAAAAGACAAAAUGAAAAAGAUGCCUCAACAGUUUUUCCCUUACUGGGUAGUUAGUAAAGGAAGGUCAUCUUUAAAAACACGUGACUCUCACUACUUUUACUUUUGACUAAUGUUAGCUGGCUAUCUCUGACUAAUUUAUUUUUGUUGGUGCCUCCCAUAUGUCCAUCAUUUUGUCAACAGCUUCGGCUAUAUCCUUAUCCAGAGAUUGAUGACUCAUAGCUUCUAAUCAAUCUCCUGAUGAUGGCAUGUCAUUGAUCUCGAUUAGCGCCUCCAAAUAUUCUUCACGUUUAUUUGGAUUAUCAAUUUUAAUUUGUAGUGAAGGAAUAAGUAAAGGAAAGUCAUAAGUGAAAACACGUGACUCUCACAACUUUUACUUUUGACUAAUGUUAGCUGGCUAUCUCUAACUAAUUUAUUUUUGUUGGUGCCUCCUAUCUGUCCAUCAUUUUGUCAACAACUUCGGCUAUAUCCUCAUCCAGAGAUUGAUGACUCAUAGCUUAUAAUUCAUCUCCUGACGAUGGCAUGUCAUUGAUUUCAAUUAGCGCCUCCAAAUAUUCUUCACGUUUCUUUGGAUGAUCAAUUUUUAUUUGUAAUGGAGGAAUAAGUAGUUCCUCAUGGACAAGAUGCUUUUGAGCAAUAAUUGUAUAAUGUUCUGCUUGGGCUAUAAUCCUCUCAUGAGUAUCCACCCAUUCACAGAAGACUGCCAUUUCAUGGGUUCUCCAGUAUAUGUCUUUUGCGGAGAAGCUAAGCUUGGCAUGAUAAAAUCUUCUUCCGAACUUCUUUGCUCCUUCACAGAUAAAAAUGACAUGAUAUGCUGGUAGUAUGACACCAAUUUUGGUUUUAUUGGUUAUUUGAUAUCUAGGUAGUAUGGAACAAAAAUUACUUGUUAAAGGUGCUAGCUUUAUAAUGGAUAAAGCUCUGUUUAGGGUUGGUGGAAAGAAUUUAGAUAUGUUUAGGCUAAAAAUAUAAAUAGUACAUAUCAUUCCAAAACUAAGGGUUUUGUACAGGAUAUCUUCAUUUUCUGAUGUUUUGGCUAAGGAAUAAUCGAAGGAAAUAGUAGGGAAAUCAUGUCUAAAUGAAGUAUUGUUUCUUAAUUCUGACCAACUAGGUCGGAAUUCAAGUAAGAAAUUUAGCUGGCUAUAGAAUAACUGAUUGGCUAAUGAAACAAAGUCUGCAUAUAGAUUUUCUAUUAUUUUUUCUUUUACAAUGUCUAUUGUAUCACUAAGGAAAGAUUAGAUUUGGUGGAUUUGGUUACUGUUUGGCUAGGGAAUGGUAAAAUAAUUUGUCUAAUGGUUGUUUCUGUGUCUGCAUUUUUUUGAGUUUUUUUGGGUUUUUUUGGUGAUCUAAUAGCAAAAUUUCUUUAGCACUCUCUAAUGCAAUUAUUUUUUGUCUACGGGACUUUUACUAUAUUGUCCAAAUGAUAUCUAGUUUCAUUAAGUUUUCUAAUAGUGUGUGUCAUAACCUCACAAUGGUUGGAAAAUUGUAUUGGUGAUAGUGAUGAUGAUGAUGAACUGUCUGCAGUAUUACUUAACUGUCUAUUUGAUGACGUUGAUACAUUGUUUAAAGGAUUAAUUAAAUGGCUAACAUGAUAUUUUAGUCAUAUUGUCUGUCUAGCAAAUUCUAUAGCUUCAUGAAUGUAUAAAAGCCUUUAUAGUAUAGAUCAGGAUAAUUGAUUAUUAAAUCAACUAUCUCUCUCCACUAACUAUAAUUGCCUACUUGUCUACCUCUAAUUAAUACGAAAAAUGCAAAGUGAUUACUGUAUGCAUGUUCAUUAUUCUUUUUAAAAUAAAGCAUGAGUGCAUUGGCUACUUUUAAUUUAUCUUGUGGGUUAUUUCAACACCACAAAUUGUCUAAAAAUGUCUAAAUUUCUAAUUGGACCAAUCUUAGCACCUAGAAAGGGAGACAUUAAAGAUAUUUUAGGACCUAAUAUAAUAUUAAAAAGCAAUGGACUUAGUAAGAAAUAGUAGAAUAGAUGUAAAUAUGGCAGAGAGACUUAGAAGAUCACUAUUAUUUUCUAGUAAACAUAAAGAAAUCGUAGAAAGAACUGAAAAGAUAAUAGAUGAACAUGAUCCAAAUAAGUUAUUAGAAAGAGGUUUUAAACAUAUUAGAAAGAAAGAUUAAAUAAUGAAGGUUUAAUGUCAAAAUUAAUAAUAGUUUAUAUAUUUACACAGAUGAGACUAAAUUAUCAGUAAUAAAUAGAAGGGAAGAGCUAACUUUAAUCAGUCUAGUAGGCAGAGACUAUCUUAGAAAACAAAAUUACACAAACAUACACGUGGGAAUAAUAAUAAUAGGAAUUCUUAGUCAGGCUAGAGAAGGAGUAGACACUACAACUCAUUUAUAUCUAUAUGAUAGUAGGUUUUAUGACCAUGAAUAAGCUCAAAUAGCAAGUGCUGACCUAGACUUAAAAAUAAAGUAAUAGUAGUAAGAUGAUACCCAAUAUAGACAUAGAUAUUAAUGAAUUCUGUAAACAUAUUAAAUUAAGUGUACAAGCUAAAGGUUAUAAAAUGAAUGCAGAAUAUAAAAAUCUUAGGAUUAAAUCAUUUUUCUAGGAAAAUUGUAUAACAAAUAUCAUAAAAUAUUUAGAUUUGAUAGUAAAAAUAUAGUAUAUUGUUUUAAAAGCCAAUAUGUAGAAAUAAUAGUACCUAAGAAAUUAAGUAGUAGUGAAGUAAUCUCUCUGUAACUUGAUUUUGUCUAUUUAUGUAUGUAUAACUGGUUUCUACUUCUCUCUGUAACUUGAUUUUUUCUAUUUAUGUAUGUAUAACUAGUUUCUAGUAUUUCUAACAUAAAUAGAGAAAAUCAAGUUACAGAGAGAAGUAGAAACCAGUUAUACAUACAUAAAUACACAAAAUCAAGUUACGGAGAGAUUACUUCACUACUACUUAAUUUCUUAGGUACUAUUAUUUCUACAUAUUGGCUUUUAAAACAAUCUACUAUAUUUUUACUUUUACAUCUAAAUAUUUUAUGAUAUUUGUUAUAUAAUUUCCUAGAAAAAUGAUUUAAUCCUAAGAUUUUUUAUUUUCUACAUUUAUUUUAUAACCUUUAGCUUGUACACUUUAUUUAAUAUGUUUACAGAAUUCAUUAAUGUCUAUGUCUAUAUUGGGUAUCAUCUUACUACUACUACUUCAUUUUUAAGUCUAGGUCAGUUCUUGCUAUUUGAGCUUGUUCAUGGUCAUAGAACCUACUAUCAUAUAGAUAUAAAUGAGUUGUAGUGUCUACUCCUUCUCCAGCCUGACCAAGAAUUGCUAUUAUUAUUAUUCCCACAUGUAUGUCUGAGUAAUUUUGUUUUCUAAGAUAGUCUCUGUCUACUGGACUGAUUAAAGUUAGCUCUUCCUUUCUAUUUAUUACUGCUAAUUUAGUCUCAUAUGUGUAAAUAUAUAAACUAUUAUUAAUUUUGACAUUAAACCUUCAUUAUAUAAUCUUUCUUUCUAAUAUGUUCAAAACCUCUUUCUAAUAACUUAUUUGGAUCAUGUUCAUCUAUUAUAUCUUCAGUUCUUUCUACAAUUUCUUUACGUUUACUAGAAAAUGAUAGUGAUCUUUUAAGUCUCUCUGCCAUAUUUACAUCUAUUAUACUAUUUCUUACUAAGUCGAUUACUUUUUAAGAUUACAUUAGGUCCUAAAAUAUCUUUAAUGUCCCAUUUCUAGGUGCUAAGAUUGGUCCAAUUAGAAAUUUAGACCCUUUUAGACAAUUUGUGGUGUUGAAAUAACCCACAAGAUAAAUUAAAAGUAGCCAAUGCACUCAUGCAUCAUUUUAGACAAAAUAAUGAAGAUGUAGACAAUAAUCACUUUGCAUUUUUCGUAUUAGUUAGAGGUAGAUAACGAGACAUUUAUAGUUAAUGGAGAGGGGUAGUUGAUUUAAUAAUCAAUUAUCCUGAUUUAUACUAUAAAAGCUUUUAUACAUUUCAUGAAACUAUAGAAUUUGCUAGACAGACAAUAUGACCAAAUUAUUAUAUUAGCCAUUUAAUUAAUCCUUUAAACAGUGCAUCAACGUCAUCUAAUAGACAAAUAAAUAAUAUUUUAAAUUUGAUCAGCAUCAUCAAUACAAUUUUACAACCAUUGUGAGGUCAUGACACGCACAGUUAGAAAGUUUAAUGAAACUAUAUAUCAUUUAGACAAUAUGGUAGAAGUAUGUAAACAAAAAAUAAUUGCAUUAGAAAGUGCUAAAGCAAUUCUACUAUUAGAUCACCAAAAAAACCCAAAAAACUCAAAAAAUCCAAUUACAGAAACAACCAUUAGACAAAUUAUUUUACCAUACCCUAGCCAGACAGUUAACCAAAAUCCACCAAAUCUCAUCUUUUCUUGGUGAUACAAUAGACAUUUGUAAAAGAAAAAAAAAGAAAAUCUAUAUGCAGACUUUGUUUCAUUAGCCAAGCAGUUAUUCUAUAGCCAACUUAAUUUCUUACUUGAAUUCAGACCUAGUUGGUCAAGAAACAUUACUUCACUUAGACAUGAUUUCCCUACUAUUUCCUUUGGUUAUUCCUUAGCCAAAACAUCAAACAGCGAAGAUAUCUUGUAUAAAGCCCUUUGUUUUGGAAUGAUACGUACUAUUUAUAUUUGUAGCCUAGAUAUAUCUAAAUUCUUUCCACCAACCCUAAACAAAGCUUUAUCCAUUAUAAAGCCAACACCUUUAAUAAUUAAUUUUUGCUUCAUACCACCUAGACCUCAAAUAACCAAUAAAACCAAAAUUGGUGUCAUAUUACCACCAUAUCAUGUUAUUUUUAUCUGCGAAAGAGCAAAAAACUUAGAAGAAGACUUUAUCAUGACAAGCCUAGAUUCUCCGCAAAAGACAUAUAUCGAAGAACCCAUGAAAUGACAUCCUUAUAUAUAUAUAUGGGUCGAUACUCGUGACAAGAUUAUAGCCCAAGCAAAACAUUAUACAAUUAUAGCUCAAAAGCAUCUUGUCCGCGAGGAACUACUUAUUCCUUCACUACAAAUAAAAAUUGAUAAUCCAAAGAAACGUGAAGAAUAUUUGGAGACGCUAAUUGAGAUCAAUGACAUGCCAUCAUCAAAAGAUGGAUUAGAAGCUAUGGGUUAUCAAUCUCUGGAUGAGGAUAUAGCCAAAGUUGUUGACAAAAUGAUGGACAGAUAGAAGGCACCGACAAAAAUAAAUUAGUCAGAAAUAGCCAGCUAACAUUAGUCAAAAUUAAAAGUAGUGAGAGUCUCGUGUUUUUACAAAUGACCUUCCUUUACUAACUAUCCGAUAAGGGAAAAACGGUGGAGGCAUCUUUUUCUUUUUGACUUUUGUUAUCGAUUGUAAUUCAGUAUAGAAAAUAAUAGCCAACCACUAUUUAUCUAUAGUGAAUCUCUACAAAGUAAUAAUAGUCAGUCAGUCUUUUACUUUUCACAUUUUUAAUUAAUCAUUGACUUUUCGCCACAUUUGAAUUGUAACUUUAAAUUUUUGUCCUUUGUAAAUAGAGUCAUAAAUUAUGUCAAUAAUUGUCACAAGUCCUUAGUUGUAUAUAUAGGACUCAAAGUCAAGUAGAAAGUGUGGUGAGAUGAAUUGAGACAAGGGCAAUGGUAGAGUCAAAUACUUUGUACUCUCAAAAAUAAAUAAACAAUAAAAGUCUCUUAUCCUUUAGAUAGCAACUAGCAAGUUUAUCAAGUAAGUAGUUUAAUUUCUUUCGUUUUUAUUUAUUUAGCUUGUGGGUUAAGAAGUCUAGUCUUGUUAACGAAAGUAUAAAUUAUAUGUAAAAUAUUCAAAAAAGGCGGUCCUUCUUAUCAUCAGGAGAAAAGAAUUUGGAGGAAAAGUUUUUGAAAAUCAAGUUUUUUUUUUUUACAAAAAUAAUAAGAACUUAGUAAAAGUUUCUAUUGAUUUUCUGAAAGCUUCUUUUUAAACAAGAUCUUUGUUGGCUCGUUUAGCCGAUAAUGUGUUGAGAAGACGUUUUUGGGCGUGAGUCAAGAGUUAAAAAUGUUUUUAACCAACAUGUUUUCAGAAGCAGUUAAAUAUAAACUUUGAAAGGCCAGCUUUUGUCAAAACAGCUUCCGUAGUUUUCAUAAAACUUUUUGUAAUUCUCUGUGUAUAGGCGGGAAACCAGUAAUGUAUAUUUUGAUGGUCAACCCGAAUGAGGACUAGAUUUGCACUGUUGGUAUAACAAGCCACAUAUAAGUCUUCCCCUAGUCAGAACCUAGUUGCGUUUGCGCUUUCCUCUUCUUUCGUAUCAGAGAAUACGAACCUAGUAUAUUCCCGAAUGCAGCCUAUAGUUGUAGGUUAUCUUUGGAAGUGUUUGCAAGUUCAUUGUGCUUCCUCAUUCUUUGCUAGUUCUAUGCUGUAAUUCAAUGAUUUAUAUUCUUCCCUCUAGGGUUGGCAAAGAAGCCCGGACCUGUCCAGGCCAACAGGCUUGAGGUCCGGCUCGCAUCAUAAAAUAAUGGAUCUGGGCCCAAAAAUUUAAAGCCCACUCUGAGUGGGCCUGGUUAAAGACUUUGGAAAAAAGCUCGGGCUUUAAUUUAUAAAUUAAAAAAAUUAAAGUAAAUUAAAAAUCUUUUUUAAUUGAAAGAGUUAAAUCCCUUGUUCCAUUCCAGAUUAACAUGCUUUUUAAUAAAACAUGAGUCUUGAGCUUCUACGUAAAUUAAAAUGCAUAAACAUAAUUUAUAUCUAAAAUAUAAAUAAUUUUAAUUUACAAUAAUAAAUAAGAAGAAGAAGAGAAAAGGGAAUAAAGAAAAAGAAAUGCAAAUAUUUGCUUAGAGGUGAUCGGCCUAGGCCCAUUGAAGGGAGCAAUUAAUUUUUUUUUGUUUAAUAAUAAUAAUCAUCUGAAUUUAAUUUAAGUGUUUUUUUUAACUUAUAGCUAAAUUAAAUAUUUAUUUAACAAAAUUAUUGAAGGCCCAUACUCGCCCCAAGCUCAAACUCGCUCAAGUUGGAUGAAUUUUCCCAGGGCCUAGAUCUAAUAUAAAUUAUAUGGGCUUAGGCCUGGGCUCAGAAAGCCUAGCCCAAGCCCGCAAAUUACCAACCCUGCUUCCCUCAAAUUUAUUGUCGAUACUGCUUGUGCAUUCUGUUAGUCACAUUUAACUGCGGAAAGUGAAGCACUUGUCAUAAAACCUGCACAAGUUGACACAUAUAGUGGUAUCUUUUCAUUUACUGAUCAGAUUUACUCACGGUCAAUCCCUAAGACCUGCCGUGCAAAGAUCAGGCCAUCAGAGAUUUUAUGAGCAAUUAGCAAUAUUAUUGCUUUCAUUGAUUUGGAACCAAUAACGAGGGUAAAUUAUUAUUUCAGAUGUGAGCACUCUAUGUCAGUAAGAUUUUAUUGGCAAAAUUGUGAGCACUUUCUAUCAUUCAGAGUUCCAGGUCUAUCGUCAAACAAUUUUUAGCAAAUUUCUUAGAGAUUCCUUCAAUAAAGAAGAUAAUGAUUCUGUGAUCCAACCUUUUGCAGUACUCGUGAAUCUAUUUUAUCAUAAGUUGUUUCUCACCUAUAUACUGAUCUGCUUCCCUGUACUUGAACUGCAGGUAUUAGCAAUCUUCCACGUUAGUACGAAUAAGGGCAAUUUGUCUAUCCCUGGAAGGAAUAAGUGGCCUCCUUUGACAUGGUUUCGGUACCACGAGCACCCUAAAUAAGUAGAGAAACAAACUCCAGAAUGCGUAUAAAUGUAUGCAUAUAUAGUACUAUAAUGUAUUGUAUCAGGGAAAUAAGAAGAGCAGAAAGAGUUUUCUUUUGCUUGUUUGUUGUGGCUCCAUGAGAGCUAUUCCUGUACAUGUACAAAUCUCCAUUUUCAGGGCCAAAAAAGGGGAUAAUGUCGCAGAGCUAAGCAAGUGAUUAUUAUUAAUAAAAGAACUCUAUGCAUGUAACUCUUGGGAUUAAGAUUCUCCCUAAUCUUAGCUUAUUUAAUCUUUUUUUAAUAAUUUGAUUUUGAUCCCAGUGUAAAUUUCAUUUACGUGCGGUCAAGAUUUAUUAAUUUAUUUUUUAAUAAAUCCUUUUGAAAAAAGUUCUUGAUACAUUUUUAUUUUUAGCUCAUAUGUUCUUUAACCAACGCUAAACAUGAAGCAUGUUUUCUCUAAAUUUAGUCAAUACAGGCAUGAAAUAACUUUGCUUAUUAUCCAUUACAGAAUUAGUUUGAGCGCUUAAUUUUAUCAAUUGAAUCUCAUAAUACUCGUUCAUAUUAAGUUAGAUUGAUAAUAGUAAUUUUCAAAAAACUUUAUUAUAAAUAGUAAAAUUUUAUCAUAUUUUUAUAUUUUUUUCUUUUAACAUGAAGAGUGGGCAAUGUUUAAAUUUAUUUUUUAGUCCAUUGCUUCCUAAAACUCAAACUUAAAUGCCUAGUUAAAUAAAACUGUUUGAAGAAACAGAAAUAGCAUGUAAGAUCUUAAAACAAAGAAAUUCAAGUCAAAUCCUACAUAAGUGCUUUUAGAGUUUGGACUCACUUGUACAAUGUGAUAAUGAUAUGGUCCAUUUUGUUAGCUUGAAGAUGAUGAAACCAAAUUGAGGUUGGUGAAAGUUGCGUGAAAAUCACCUUCAUCAAUAGGUAACAACUAAAGAAGGAAACUAGUUCGAUGUAUAAAAGAAAAUUAUGGGUAACAAUUAGGGAUGACCACUCAAUUUUAUUGUUACCUAGAAAUUGAAGAAUGAUGGACGAUAGCAAUAAAAACGACAAUUCAGGAUUUAGUGACUCUAUCGAAUUAAUUUAUUUUUCAUGUAGGUAUUUUAUCAUUAUGUAAAAUAGGCUAGUCUUGCGUGACACAAAUCCAGCAUGGCUGACAUAACAUGAGAGUUUAAAUGAAUGUAUUCCAAUCUCACAUUUUAAGUUUAUGUGCGAUUUUUUUGGUAUUGUUGUUGGAGAGAUGUAGCCUAAAAGAACUACAGGCGCGAAAGAUUGACCAACGGUUGAAGCCCAACAAGACAUGAAUAUUAAUAGUCAAUGUAAAAGGAACUAAUUAGCACAAGAAAAUGUACAUUUAAUAAAAAUAAAAAUUUUUAUUUUAUCACUUAUAAUGUUGAUUAAUGUGCUCAUAACCCUUAUAUUAUCUUAUUGUUUUUCUAAUGUAAUUUUAUGUUAAAUUAUAUUCUAUUACGUAAAUUUUCAUCUUAAUUAUUAUAUUUUUUUUGUUAGCUAUUUCUUAAAUCAAUCAGAGCUUACUGAAUAAUUGGGCACAAUAUUAAUUGCUAAUUUGGACAAGCACAUGGGUAGUCAAACUACCAACAGGAAUUUAAAAAAAAACAAAGAAGAAAAGGACAAUAACUUUUCAAAUCAUUCACGUGAAGAGGACUUUUUGCCCUAAAUUUUGUUGGCUACUUGGCUUAGGAAUUAUAAAGAGGGCAAGGUUGCAUUAUUUUAGAAAGAAGCCGAAAAGUGCCUUGGAUUGUUAUAUAUAAAAAAAGGAAGGUGGGGGCAGCAAUUUGGCUAUAUAACUAUGAGAAGUUGAAGCAUCUGGGGUGUGCCAAAGGCUGCGUGCAGAAGAGGAGGUGAGAAACGAAAGGUUUGAUCUCCAAAUUUCCUCUCCUUUCUUUUUUAUUUAAUUUUCUUGUAACUUGUUUCAGAACUUUAAAUUUAAUUCAUAAAUAAAUCUAGUUCAAAUAAAUAUAAUUUUAUGUUCAUCUUAGCUAUUUUAAUUUUUAAUUAUGUGUAAUUCAAUUUUAACAAUUAUUUUGAUUUUAAUUAUGUUUAAUUAAAUAAUAAUAGUUAAGAUAAAGUGAAACUCUUAGUAGAAAAACAUGAUUUAAUCAAACUCCACUUUUAAUUAUAUAAAUUAAAUUAGUUUCUAUUUAAUUUUAUCCAUAUUUUAUAUUUUGAAAUCUUGAUGUAUUGUAGAUAAACAAGGGAGUUUGGCACAAUAAUUUUUCAUUAUCUUAAUAUAAGGUAUAGUAAAAUAAUAUUUUGAAUUAUUGUAGACAAAUUGAAUUUUGACACAUUAAGUACUUAAUCCAUAAUAAAAUUAAUAGGAAAAUAAUGAUAAUUUCUACAGUUAAUCUUUUGGGCAAUAAACAAAAUAAAAAGAAAAGAAUUUACUAAAUUACAAUUAUUACUAAGAGUGGAUCCAUAACUCAACUAAUUUAUUUCCAUAAUUUCAUUUAAAUUAAAUAGCGUGUAUUUAAAUUAUAUGUUUUUUGGUUCCUAGAUAAAUUAAAGGAAAUUAACAAAAUAAACAUUUUCUCUUUGAGUCGACCUUAAACUCACCGAUUUAUAUUAUAACAUGACAUUUUUACACUUGAAAGUUACAAAUCACUUUUGAGUCGUGUCAUCAAACUUUUAAUCAAGCCUAACACAGAAAUCGAUCAUCCGAGAUAUUCAAAACGAUUCAUCUGUCGCAAUUUAUCCAUGCAACUUCAAUUCCUCUAUUGUUCAGAGAAAGAACAGUUGAAAAUAACUAACUAAUUAAUUAAUGCAGUAAGUCUCUUAAUUAAAAUAUUGGACAUUGGCACAUUGCUCCGCUGAUGUUUAAACUUUCCUCCCCUUUUAACACACUAUUGAAGAUAACUAACUUAACAUAAAUAAAAGAAAUCACUAUUUGAUUAUUUUUUACUUGUAAAAAAAUAUUUAUGAUUAUGUACAAAAAUUCAAUAUUUACAUCAUGUUAGCACCUUUUUCAUUAUGAUAUAAUUAAGGUGUGUAGCUUGUUUAGCACACUUUUUUUCAUGGGUUCAAGAAUAGUCUCUACCUAUUUUUCUUUUCGGGUUAUUUUUACAUACCUUCCCUGAGGUUUCACGUAAUAACAGUUUAAUAGAAAGUAUGAUAGUAUUAUUACAUCCCUCCCCUACUGUUAGUAUUUCUGUCAGUAUAGUAUCAGUAUAUAAGGCUAAAAUUGUAAAAGCGCAUUUAACAUUUAAAAAACUUAAAAAGUUAGUUGUAGUGGCAUUGGUAAGUGCGAAACACCUACUACAUCACCCCAUUGCCCAAAAGAAAAAUCUCUUCACAAAAGUGUAAAUCUUAUGCAAAAUGAUUUACACUCAAGCAACAUUCACCCCUCAGCAGCUUAAGUGUGAAAACAAGCAAGUAUUAUUGAGUUUGAAGAUCUUGAUCAUCACUAUUUUGAACUUACCCACGAAGAAGACAAGCUUCGAUGCUGAUAGAAGACUACUGACGAGCGAGUACAGACGGUGACGUGGUUCUGCGAUUGGUAUUGGAGCCAAGAAGAGGUUAGCCUUUGUUAAACACUAUUGCAUGUAAAUUAUAGCUUAGAUUUUCUUCGUUUUAGAUAUAUAAAGUGGAAAAAUUGGUGCUGCCGUGUUGUGGAUGUUUGUUGUAAAGGAUUAUGGGUUUUGAUAUAUGUUGAAUUAGCAAAAAAAUCAUGUUGUUUUGGUUAUUAUCCUGCGAUAUAUCAACUAUAUAGAAACUGUACAGAGCUUAACAAAUCAUAUACUUCAGCUUAAAUGUGCAGCGUUUAUGUAAUUGGAAAUGGAAAAAAUGGGUAUGUUUUGUUUGUUUGAAGUCAGAGGCUUUGUUAUUGUGAAAUGGCUUGUUUUUUUCCGUUACUUGGCUAGUGAAAAUGAUAAUGGAAUUUUCAGUCUGUACAAUGGUUGUUUGUACCUCUCAGCCUUGAAGGGGUAUUUUUGUCAUUUAGUUGGCUCAUAAACGGUCAACUAACAGAAAUACUAACAGCCGGGGAGGGAUGUAAUAAUACCAUCAUACUUUCUAUUAAAUUGUUAUUACGUGAAACUUCAGGGGAGGUAUGUAAAAAUAACCCAUUUCUUUCCUAUUGAUUGUGGCAGUAUAGAAGAAAGAGACAGCAUAAAGUACAAAAAUAAUAAUAAAUAAAUAAAAGAUUACAACUACCGACAUGUCUCGCUAGCCCAGUUGCGCAUUCAUGUCUUGCUAGCCCGUCAAUUUGGCCACUCUAUUUUAUUAACUUUUUGAUUAAGUGUUUGGUAACUAAGAAAAUACAGGAAACAAAAAGAAAAUCAAGAAUCCAUAUUAAGAAAAUGAAGAAUAUGAUGGUCCUUAGUUCAGCUAUAUUUUGCCAAAAAAAUCAUAUUCUUUCUGAUAUAGUUGAUCAAUCCCUUCCCUUCCGAUAAAAUUGAAGAUGCAUCCUUGUAUGCAUCCAUUUUGAGAUGAUAUUUUUGUGUUCGUUUUAUUAUAUUUUUAUUUUUCUAAGAUAAAGGAUGAACAAAGUUUAAAUUUAUUUUUUAUCCGUUACCUCUUUAAAAUUCAAACUCAAUUGGCCAAUCAAAUAAAACUUUUUGAAUAAAUAGAAAUAGCACAUAAGAUCUUAGAAUAAAAAAAUUUAAGUCAAAUCUUGAUGUAGGAAGCAUAUAGGAUAGAAUAAAUUAGAAAUUAUAUAUUUUGAGUCAAUUUAGCACUUAGCAUUUUACUAAGAUUUAUCUUAUUUUAUUAAGUUUAUUUAAGUCGUAUUUUUAAUUCUAUUUUAAUUAGGAUUUUAAAUUAUUUUUCUUAUUUGACAAGGAUUAUGAUUAAAUUAAUUACUAGUAUAUAUACGGUUAUUAUUCAUAGUUUGUUAGACCACCUUUAAACUUUUUAUUAAUAAUAUUUUAGAUUAUUCUCUUUGAGUUUAUCUUUGUCGUUAAUUCGAUGUUUAUCUUUGAAAAUUAUUCUUUCUUGAGUUUCAAGAACAUAUGCUGAACAACAUCUAGUAUAAAAUUAUUCUUUCUUGAGUUUCAAAAAUAUAUGCUAAAACAACAUCUAGUAUUGCUUCUGCACUACAUCAAGUGGAAUCAAAGCCUUUCUCUAUGCCAAGCAGAGCUUUCCUGACCACCAACCACCCUCCAUACACAAAUCCUUCCUCUAUCAUCUAUUAAUUCUAUCAAUUUAAAAAAAGAAAAGAAAUCAACCUGAAGCCACCAUCACAGCCGAUGUACACAGUCGUGCCUCACCUUUUUUCCAUUGAUUUUCAAUUCGAUCUUCUCUACCAUCUGAACACCCACAAGACACCGACUAUAUCCCAACCAUCAAGUUCUCUGAUCCACCACCGUAGCCACUGAAACACAUCAAAACAGCCACAAACUGCCGCACAAAUUACCACUCAGUUUGCUUCAACCACCACCACCACCACCAAUCUGAUCACUGUUAUCAGACAUUUCUUUCUAUACCAUCAUCUCCAUCAUCCAGUUCACCGUUCAUUAGAAACGAAGCCAUUACUCCCACCGCCAUUUCAAUCUAAUUUUCUGGUCAAACCAUCAAGACCCAAGUCAAACCACCACCAACACCACAUUCACCGACAUCAACUCUACCAGAUCUGCCCAUCCUUGUUCAAUUUUUCGAUCACCGUCGUCGGCAACCCAUCUUUUGCUUAUUUACAGUUUUGACACAAUACUUUAUUUUAAUUACAUUAUUGGCCUUUAAUUUUUCUGUUCUUACAAAAAACCAAAAAAAGAGAAAAUUAAAAAAAAAAGUGGUAUUAUGAGAUAUAGAGAAGAUGAUGGUGAGCUUUUCUAUUACGAUGAAUUUAUUGAUCUUAAGAAUAUUUUUGAUUGGAUCUUCAACAUUGAAGAUAUUUCAGAGGAUAAACAUGUUAAGUAUGUGUCCUCUAAAUUAAUGGGAUAGACAUCACAAUGGUGGACAAACUUACAAGCAACGUGAAUUCGAAUGGAAGAGACAAGAUUCGAACUUGUAUAACAUGAAAAAGAACAUAAAAACUUAUUUUAUUCUUUUUGAAUAUUUUCAGACUAUCUGAUGUAAAUUUGAUAAGUGUCGAUAGGGAAUGAAAUCUAUCCAAGCCUAUCCUUCUCAAUUGCAAGGUUACUAUUGUCGUGUAAAUUUUUAUGAAGACAAUGUCCUGUUAAUUUUAAGAUUUGCAGGAGGAUUAUGUGAUGAGAUCAAAGAACGAAUUCCUUUGCAGUCUGUGAUUGAUCGUGACUUUUGGGAUGUCGUCAAAAUCACUUUACAAGUUGAAAUGAAAAUCCAAAGAGAAAGUAGUUAAGCAAUGAAGAAGUUAAGUCAAUCACACUCAUCACAUCAAUCUAAGAUCCCUAGUCCUAUCACAAGUCAACAACCUAAUAUCACAAGCCAAAAGCCUAUAGUGGAAGACUUCUAGAUAAAAGAAGUUUAUGCUUCUUCACUUUGUUGAAGAUUUGCCUAAUCUUGCAGAAGAAAAUGUACAAUUUAUUAUUGAUUUGAAGUUUUAAUAUAUGAAGUUGUGUGAGAAUGUGGAUGAUGUUUCCUUGGAAGACAAGACUAGUGUUGAAGAUGAUGGGAUUAUUAAUCUACCUGAGAUUUUUAAAGAAGAAGUACGACCUCCUCUUGAUUUGAGUAUUGAGCUAAUAGUAUGAUCGGAGUUAUGAAGCAAAAUAAAGUUGAAGAAGUUGAAAUGAUUAAUAUGGUUUUACCUAUUCAUAUUGAAGACAAGAAAGUUGUGCUUGCAGAAAAUUUGAUCGAAAACGUGAAAUUUGUUGGAGAGCACACUGAGUGAUUCUUUCUUGGAAGUCUUUAUUGCCUCGAAGAAUGUAAAUAGGAAAUUAAUGAAGUACGGAUUCUUUUCAAAGUUUCAAGAAAAAUUGAUGUGAAAUACUAUGAGUUUGAGCUUCAAGAUGUGUUGUGAAAAUUUUAAUAUACUCGCAAGCGCACGAAUCUAGAGUUAGAAUAGUGGUAAUGAGGUCGAUCCCACAUGGAUUGUUAUAAAUUGAAAAGUCUAAUUUAAAUCUAAAAUUAAUAUUAAUUCUAACCUAGUUGAGCAAAUUGAGUAUUAAGAGAAAUUAAACUAAUCAAACUAAGAAAAUAAUUAAAGCAAAGGAGAAUUCAAUAAGACAAAAAUUACCAAGGUUUCAGAAUCCACCACUAUUCAACUAAUAAUUAUCUAAUUAUUAAUUAAUCCUCAAUUUUAGUGUGACAACUCGAAAUCAAUUUAUGUCAUCUCAUAAAUAUCACAAUUAAGCCCAAAUAAAAUUAAUCUUGUGUAGGUUCGUUUUCUACUUAAUAGUAUGACAUCUAAGCAUCCCAUGUAAAUAUAUUGAAUAACAAAGAGUCAAAGUUUUUCUAAGUACUCUGUGUAAACAAUUUAAUGAAAGACACGAAAUCAAAGAUGAUCAUGUAUAAAUUUUAUAGACUCAAGCAUAGAUUUAAUCGAAUAUUAAUCCUAACAAACAAUAAUGCAUGACAAAAUUGAUGAAAAUUUUUUAAUAGCAUCCAACUAAUCAUGUGAAAUAAAAACCAUAAUCAUCAAAGAAAAUAUAUAGGAAAUUAAUUAAAUAAAAAGAUAAUUAUUUUAUUGAAUAGGGUUUCAUCCUUAACCUCAGUAAAAGAAAAUUAGCUAGACGUACUUGAAUUGUGAGCAACAAAAUAAACAAAACCAGCCAUGGAAAUUAAAUUGCUACUGCCGUUGCUUUAUUCUUCUCUCCCAGCCUUGCGUCUUCUCCUCUUGUGGCUGCCUCAUUCAAAAGCCAAAACUCUCUUUUUAUAAUGCUUAGCCAUUGAAUCCUCUUUGAAUACUAAUUAAAAUCCUUUUCCAAUUAUAAAAUAAAUCUUCCAAAUUAACGCCACCAUAAGCCAUUACUUUCCACUUUUGAAAGCCAAGUGCGGGUCCCUUUAAAUUGCUUUCCACAUAUUGCAAUGCCAUGCACGUGCAACUCAAUUGGAGAAUUGAAAUUAUAAAAUCUUAACUCUAUCACGGCUUCGAUUGAUACUCCCCGAAAUUGUUAUUCUUUUAACAUUUUUUAUUCCUAAUCUCCAAUUUAUUCCCUAAUCAAUAAAACAAUUCAAUUAAUUAAAAAUAACAAAUAAAAUUAACUAGCAAAUAUGUAAUAAAGGGUAAAAUAUGUAUAUAAAUUAUGCUCAUCAAGAUGCAUUGCUACACUACUUUAAGUUUUCAACAAAACUCAAAGAUGAGUUAUUUUCAAAGAGGAGACUGAUGUAGGAAGCAUAUAGGGUAGAAUAAAUUAGGAAUUCUAAAUUUUGAGUCAAUUUAGUAUUUAACAUUUUAUUAGGAUUUAUCUUAGUUUAUUAAGCUUAUUUAAGUCGUAUUUGUAAUUAGAAUUUUAGAUUAUUUCUCUCAGUUGACAAGGAUUAUGAUUAACUUAGCCACUAGUAUAUAUAAUAUUAUUCAUAGUUUGUUAGAACACUUUUAAACUUUUUAUCAAUAAUAUUUUAGAUUAUUCAUUUUGUGUUUAUUUUUGUUGUUAAUUGGACUUUUCUCUCUUUGAAAAUUAUUGUUUCUUGAGUUUCAAGAAUGUACGCUAGAAUGACAUUUAGUAUUGUUUCUGCACUACAUCAAAUCCUACAUAAGUGCUUUUAGAGUUUAAAUUCAACUGUAAAAUGUUAUAAUGAUAUGGUCCCUUUUGUUAGCUUGAAGAUAAUGAAACCAAAUUGAGGUUGGUGAAAGUUGUGUGAAAAUCAUCUUUAUCAAUAGGUGACAACUAAGGAAGAAAACUAGUUUGAUGUACAAAAGAAAAUUAUAGGUGACAAUUAGUGAUGGACACUCAAUUAAAUUUUUAGCUAGAAAUUGAAGAAUGAUGGAUGAUACUAAUAAAUUGACAAUUCGGGAUUUAGUGACUCAAUCGAAUUAAUCCAUUUUUCAAUAUAGGUAUUUUGUCAUUACGAACUACAUAUCUAAAUUAAGCCAAUUCGGCAUAAAAAAUUUGGCUGUUGACGUGACAGAAGAGUUUAAAUGGAUAUAUUCCAACCUCACAUUUUAAGUUUAUGUGCGAUUUGUAUGGUAUUGUUAUUGGAGAGCUACCAAAAAAUUACCAAAGCAGUCAAAGAUAAACCAAUGGCAAAAGCCAGCAAGACACGAAUAAAUACUAAUGGGUCAAUGUUGUGAAGGGCCUAGGCCAAAAAUUAAGCCCAACACACCCGUCAAUCAUUGGAUGACAAUGGGGUAGGGUGGGGGUGGGGAGACCUACCCCAUUCCCCAUCCCAUUAAAAAUUUUGCCUCCAUUUCCCCACCUCAUUCCCCAAUAAAUUUAGUAGGGUGGGGAUGGGGAAUUCCCGCGUGGGGAAUGAUUUCCCCAUCCUCACUCCAUUUCCCAUUUAUUUAUUUUAUAAUAGAUAAAGAUAAAUGAUUUCAAUAAAUUAAAAAUUAAAGACUUAAAUAAAAUCAUUACCACAUUAUAAAAUAUUUAAAUUAUUUAGAAAAUCUCCCAAUAUUUGAAACAAUAUCUUGAAAUGAUAUCAAAAAUGAAAAAUAUUUGAAGAGAAUAGUAUCUUAAGAAAGAAAAGAAAACAUAAUAAUAUUUUAGGGUUUAAUAAAAAUUAUAUUAUAGAGUUUUGUUUUAGUUAUAACCCGUUUAUAUCAAGUAAAAAUAAAAAGAAACUUUAUUAACUAACAUUAUAAUUGAUAAAACAAAAAUUAGAAAAAUAUUUAUAUAUAAUGGGGAUUGGGGUGGGAGUGGGAUGUGGAGUACAAAACCAAACCCGACUCCGUUAAAAAUUUAGGGAUUAUUUUCACUCAUUCCCCAAAAAUAAUUCAAAAUUUACCCUAUUUAGGGUGGAGCCUCAUAGGCCCAAAUCCAUGGAGGAUUUGCCAUCCCUAAAUCAUCUAAGAUAUUCAAAACAUUUCAUCUGUGGUAAUUUUUCUAUGCAACUUCAAUUCCUCUAAUGCUUAGAGAAAGAGCAGUUGAAAAUAACUAACUAAUUAAUUAAAGCGGAAAGGAUCUUAAUUAACAUAUUGAAUGUUGCUUCGCUGACGUUCAAACUUUUCUCCUUUUUUAACACACUAUUAAAACAACUUAACAUAAGUAAAAGAAAUCACAAUUUGAUUACUAGAAAAAUUUCAUAAUUAUAUACAAAAUAAUAUUUACAGCUUGUUGGCGCCUUUUCCACUAUGAUAUAAUUAAGUGUGUAGCCUUUUCAGCACACCUUUUUUUAUCAUUUCAAGAAUUGUCUCUAGUUAUUUUUAUGGGAAAUUAUCCACCGUCCACUAGUUUUUUUCUAAUUUUUUUAAAAAUACACAAUUCUUUUUUUUUUUUUUGCUGGAAUCCACCUAAAGUUACAUUUCUUUUCACUUUUUCACUUCCGUUUGGAGACCGUUUAGAAAACUAAUGGAAUAUUGUUUAAAUGACUUUUUUACCCUCAAAUGUAAAAGAUAAAUUAUCCACCGACCACCUUUUUUUUCGUAUUUUUUCAAAAAUACACAAUUCUUAAUUUUUAUUUUUUGCUGAACUCUACUUGAAGUUAUAUUGUUUUGCACAUUUCCACCAUUGUGUCGUUGUGAAAUGACAAUUUUACCCUUAUGAUGUCAGUAAAAUUCUAACAGUGUUAUAACGAGAGUGGACCAAUUAAAAAAAUGUUAACUUCAAGUGGAGCACUGCAAAAAAAAAGAAAAAAAAAUUGUGUAUUUUUUUAAAACGAUGAAAAAACAUGUGGACGGUGGAUAAUUUUCCAAUUUUUAUUUCAUAUUGAUUGUAGCAGUAUAGCAAAAAGGCACAUCAUAAAGUAUAAUAACCUGGAAAAAAAUCAACAGGAUAAUAAAAUUUAUCAAUCUGUAUCAACACAUCCUUUAUAAUCCCACGAGAUAAUUUCAUUGACCUAUCAGCAAGUUGCAAAAUAAUAGAAGUUGAUUUUAACUCACCUAGUCCUAGCUGCAUGUAAACAUAAUAAGGCAAGAGAUUAACACUAGCACCUAAGUCCAAUAAUGCUUUAUCAAACAAUUGGUUCCCUAUAACACAUAAGAUAGUAGGGGAACCUGGAUCCUUAAAUUUUGGUGGCAUUUUACAUUGAAGUAAAUUGCUAGUUUGUUCAGUUAAAAAUGUUUUUUUGGUGACAUGCAAAUUUCUCUUUUUAGUGCAUAAAUCUUUCAAAAGCUUGGCAUAAGAAGGAACUUGCUUAAUAGCAUCGAGUAAAGGGAUGUUUAUACUUACCUGCUUGAAGAUUUCUAUAAUCUCACCUGUUGAAGUCAUUUUCUUUACCUUUGUUAACCUUUGAAGAAAAUGAGCCUUGGGAAUGUAAGCUGGCGGGCCAAUCUCUUCUAAAUCAUUUGGUGAUGAGUCUUGUGAUGGAGUUGAAUCUGAAGAAGUAGGUUCAGAUGUCUUCCUUGUUUGAACCUCCAUUUUGUUGUCAAACAAUUUUCCUCUUCUCAAGGUCAUAAUAGACUUUGCUUCUUCAUGCUGAUGACUUGAACUCGAUCCAACUUCGUGCACUCCUUUAGGAUUGGGAAUUGGUUGACUUGAGAAUUUUCCUUUUUCUCUCUCCGCUACAGUAGUUGCUAAUUGACCCAAUUGAUGUUCAAGCUUUAGAAUAACUUGAGUGUUUGACUGAAAAGCUUGUUGGGUUGACUGAAUGAAACUUUGAACUGUAUCCUCUAAAGAAGGUUUUCUUUGUUGGGGUGCAACAAAUUGAGACAUAGGUUGUUGGGCAGGAGAAUAUACUUGGUUAGGAGGGACAAAUUAUUGAUUGGGCAAGCUAAAUUGUUGUCCUCUUUGGUUUGACAAAGGCUGAUUUUGUUUCCAAGAAAAAUUAAGGUGAUUCCUCCAAUUAGGAUUAUAUGUGGGUGAAUAUGGAUUAUUGGAGGUUUUCUCAUAUGAUUGUAAGGCAUGUACCUGUUCAGAAUAAGCCUCUUGAUAGGCUGGUAAUGAUGGACAAUUAUGUGCUGUAUGAGACAAGUUAGAACAAAGAGCUACACUAGGAUGAUGAUUCAUUAAUUGGUUCAAAGCUAAGGCAUCUACUUUCCUAGAAAGUGUAGCUAGAGUGGAUUUCACAUCAAAAUCAUCCUUAACUUCAUAUAACCCCUUUCUAGAAACUUGAGAUGACUUUUCUUCAAUUUAAAAAAUCCUACUGUUGAGAAUUCUCAGAAAGUGAAUUAAAAAAAUCUCAUGCAGCCCCUUCAUGUAGGUUCAAGAAUCUCCCACCAUUCAUAGACUCUACCAUAUGACGAUUUGACAUAAUUAAACCAUUAUAAAAGCAUUGUAUAAGUCUCCAUUUCUCAACACUCAUAAAAUUACUCACCAUCUCUUUGAUAAAAAUCACUUAUCUCUUUCCUAAGGGCAUUUGUUUUAGACAUAGGCAAAAACUUGGUGAGGAACUUAUUACUCAAUUCAUCCCACGUAGUAAUAGACUCAGCAGGAAGUGAAUUCAACUAAGCUUUCGCUUUGUCUUUUAAUGAGAAAGGGAACAUACGAAGCCUAAUUGACUCAUCAUUAAAAUUUUGAAAAAGGAAUGUAGAGCAUAUGUCAAGGAAUUCCUUAAUGUGCAAAUAAGGAUCCUCUCUCUAACCCAUGGAAAGAUGGUAAAAGUUGAAUGACAGAGGGCUUAAGUUCAAAGUGUGUUGCUGUAGUUUGUGGCAACACAAUACAAGAUGGUUGGUUGGCUGCAAGUGGUGAAAAAUAUUCUCUAAGGGUUUUCUCUGCUUGCACUUGUGGAAGUAUUGGCAAUAGACUAUUUGGGUCAUCCAUCACUUUUGAAGAACUAUCUCGACUACUAUCAAUUUUUUACUCUUUUUUAACCAAACGAUUUGUUGAAUCACGUUCCCAAACACUCAUAAACUAACUAGACAAGGAAAGAAAGAAAAAUAAAAUAAACCAACAAUAAUGAAAAUAAAUAAAAUUUAAAAUAAUAGAAAUAAAAAAACUGAAAAUGAAUUUGAAGACAAAUAAGUUUUUUUUUUGUGUUUUGUUUUUUUAAAAGAAAAAAAUAAAAGACAACCUAAAUUAUAACUAGUGGAAGAAUCAAAUCAACCUAGAUUAAACUGACUUUCUAACACAAUCCCCGGCAACGGUGCCAAAAACUUGUUGUGAAAAAAUUUAAUAUACUCACAAGCGCACGAAUCUAGAGAUAGAAUAGUGAUAACGAGGGCGAACCCACAUGGAUUGUUAUAAAUUGAAAAGUCUAAUUUAAAUCUAAAAUUAAUAUUAAUUCUAACCUAGUUGAGCAAAUUGAGUUUCUAAUAAAAUUAAACUAAUUAAACUUAGAAAAUAAUUAAAAUAAAGGAGAAUUCAAUAAGACAAAAAUUACCAAGGUUUCAUAAUCCACCACUAUUUAAUUAGUAAUUAUUUAAAUAUUAAUUAAUCCCCAAUUUUAGAGUGACAACUCGAAAUCAAUCUAUAUCAUCUCAUAAAUAUAACAAUUAAGUCCAAGUAAUUAAAUCUAGUAUAGGUUCUUUUUCCACUUAAUAGUAUGAUAUCAAAGCAUCCCAUGUAAACAUAUUGAAUAACAAAGAGUCAGUUUUUCUAAACACUCUAUGUAAACAAUUUAAUGAAAGACAUAUAAUCAAAGAUAAUCAUGUAUAAACUUUAUAGAUUCAAGCAUAGAUUUAAUCGAAUAUUGAUCCUAACAAUCAAUAAUGCAUGACAGAAUUGGUGAAAAGAUUUGAAUAACAUAUGUAUAUAAAUUAUGCUCAUCAGAGAUAAACCCUUCCAAUGAACUAACACCUCCCCUUUCUUCCUGCAAGUAUGCUGAUCCAAUAUUGCUUGAGGAGUUGGUACCACCAAGUCAUCUUCAUUAAUGUUUGGUACAGUUGGCAACGCUAGUUAACGUUCACCAAUUUUCUUUUUCAGCUACGAGACAUGAAAAAGUGGAUGAAGCUUGGAAUUUAGAGGCAAACGAGCUGACAGCUUGAAAUUUCCGAUCUUCUCAAUCACCUCAAAUGGUCCAUAAUAACGAGCUGACAGCUUGAAAUUCUUUCGUAAAGCCAAAGAUGUAUGUCGAUAAAGCUGAAGCCUGAGAUACACAAAAUCACCAACUAGAAACUAUCAUUCUCUAUGCUUUGAAUCAUACAACUUCUUCAUUCGUGCUUGUGCCUGAAAGAUACAAUCACGAACCUCUUUAAGAACAUGAGCUCAAGCAACUAACUCUUGCUCCACAGCUUCUAACCUUGCUGUUUGUUGGUGUAUAUUCUAAUGCUAUUAGUGUCAAUGUGCAAAUGUACACAACAAGUAAUAAAGUUAUGAGUAUUCAAGAUCGUCUCCAUAUGGAUUGAUGUUAUCAGAUUUGCUACAACAAUAUUAACAGUGCAGAUUUUGUGCUAAAUUAAAAUAAAACAAUUAGUGAAAAUAUUAUACUAAAAAAAAUAAAAACGCAAUAAAUAAAAUGCAAUAAAUAAAAUGCAACAAAGUAAAUUAUCACGUCAAACUCAAGGAUAAAACAAAUGGGAAUAUAGAGUAGUUGAGUGAAUAAACUCUCUUAAUGGUCUUGACUAUUUUCUAAUGUUUGGCUCGGUUGCUACAACAUUUGCUACAGCACUGGGCAGAAUCCUUAUGUAUCCUCAACCGUCGCAUGUUGGAUAUCUUAUAUCUAUAUGCAACCUAACAGUGAUCAGUUAUUAUGCCAACAUAAGAUAUAUCAUUACACACUUAGGUUCUAUUUACCCUACAAGGUGAAUCCCUAUGUGUAGUUCAUCACUAAUGUUGGAUUAAGCAUGGCCCUUUUGGGAUAAGUUAAACUCAAUCCAGGAAACCCAAUCUAAAACUAAGUAUUGCUUUGAUAUAUUCCACUAAGAUAGGCCAUUUUGCGGCUCUCUCUUAACUUGUAUCAUUAAAUGGGUGAUCAACCGAAAUAAUGAAUAAAAAUAAAUACUAUAAAAACAAACUGCUACAUCAAACAAGCAGCAGCACCUAUAUUCAGUCAAUAAACCAUCAAGAUUGUUUAUCACUCAACAACAAAUAAAUUUAGUUCAUGAUUUGCAAAGAAAAAUAAAGAACAAAGUUUCAGCCAUAAAACACAUCCCCAUGAAUAAAUAGAAAACUCGAAAACAAGAGAAGGAUAAAAAGAAUUGAGCUCCCAAUUGAUCUUUGUAAUUUUUCCUCUUGUGCAGCCCUUAAUCUCUCUCUUGAAUCUUGUUUUUCUUUUGUUUCUUCGUGUUUUUCUCCUUGGGUGACGGCCCCCUCUAUUCCUUAAGAUGUGUGCUUCUUUUAUAGCUGAAAAUUAGGGUAAACAGAAGCCUAAAGCGCACAUAAGUCAGAUUAGGAAACUGCAGAUAGCAAUUCUACAAGUAUCCUGCGCAGAAUUUUCUCUGUCGUUGUUCCAGGAUUGCUACAGCAAUGUUGCUACAGCAACGGCUACAGCAACUGCACUGUUCCAGAUUUGUUUCAAUUCUUUUGUAGCUAAGUUCUUCCUCAUUUUUGCAAGCCUAUUGCAUCCGCAUUCCUUCCAUGAAUUAUAAGCUUCUGGAAACCUACAAUUAAGCACACAAUUUGAGCACGAACUACUUUAAAUUAAGCAAAACUUGUUAAGACUAAACUAAAAUGAACAUUUAUGCAAAAUGUAAUAAAAAUACAAUAGAAACACAUCAUUUACUCUCUAAGUAAUCUUGAUUUGAGUCUAGAAUUUCCAUAAUAACUCUCAUUUCAUAGAGUUAUUACUGUUCCUGGAAUAUAAUCAACCAACUUCGGAGGUUCUCAGCUAUAAACAAUUUCGAAAGGUGUUUUUUGAAGCACCGAAUGCCAACUUGUAUUGUAGCAAAACUCCGCCCAGGUUAACCACCUCAACCAUUCUUUUGGUUUUGCAUUGGUAAAGCAUCUAAGAUACAUCUCCAAGGUCCGAUUUACAACCUCACUUUGGCCAUCAGUCUGAGGAUGAUAGCUCAAAUUAAAAUUAAAUGAAGUUCCAUUCAAACAAAACAAUUCUCUCCAAAAGGCACUUGUGAAUGUUGGAUCCCGAUCACAUACAAUAGAUUUUGGUAACCCAUGUAGCUAAAACACAUUAUCAAAGAAUAAUUUUGCUACCCCAACAACAGUAUAUGGAUGAGAAAGAGGAAUAAAGUGAGCAUAUUUUGAUAAUCUAUCAACUACAACUAAAAUAGUUGUCUUACCACCAAAAUGAGGCAGCCCUUCAACGAAGUCCAUCGAAAUAUCAUCCCAAAUCCUCAAUGGAACAGAGAGUGGCUGUAAUCAACCAGCAGGUGCCAUGUGCUCAGCUUUAUUUCAUUGACAUGUAUCACAGCUACGAAUAACCUCCUUAAUUUGUUUCCUCAUUUUUUCUAAUGAAAACUAGCUUUAAUUUUUUUAAAGGUCUUCACGUAACCUUCAUGGGUACUUCUAUGGAACUCAUUAAUGAUUGAAGUUGUAAGCUUUGAGUCAGGUACAAGAUAAAUACGCCCUUUAAACAAGAUGAUUCCCUCAACAAUCUUCCAUAGUCCAAUAGCCUCACCUUGUUGAGUUCGAGCCUGUAGCGCCUGAAGAGAAGAAUUUGUAACUACUUCCUCCUUGAUUGCAUCUAACCAAUGUGGCAUACAAUUAAGUCAGCAUAAACAAUGAGCCCUCAUUAUUUUCGACCUCAUGCCUUCGAGAUAGCACAUCAGCCAAUAUGUUCUCACUUCCCAUUUUAUACUCCACCUAAAAAUCAUAGCCCAUCAAUUUAUAUAACCAACGCUGCUGAGCCGUCGUACUAGUUUUUUGUGCCCACAGAUGCUUCAAGCUGUGGUGAUCAGUCCGCACAAUGAAUUUUCUUCUUAACAAGUACAGCCUCCAUUUCUGAACGGCUAAGACCAAGGCAAGUAUUUCUUUUUCAUAGGUUAAAAAGAGAAGAUUUUUUCCUUAAAGUGCUUGACUAAAGAAAGCUAUUGGUUUGUCCUGUAACAAUACCGCACCUACACCAAUUCCAUAAGCAUCACAUUCAACAAUAAAUGUUUUUGAGAAGUCAGACAAUGAUAAUAUCGGUGCCUUAGUCAUUGCCAACUUAAGCCUUUCAAAUGCCUCAUCUGCUGCCUUGCUUCAUUCAAAGGAAUUCCUUUUCAGCAUCUUAGUAAGGGGAGCUGCAAUCUUGACAUAAUCUUGUAUGAACAUCCGGUAAUAAACCAUUAAUCCUAGAAACCACGCAUAGCCCUAAUAUUUUUCAGUUUAGGCCAAGAAAGCAUGGCAUCUUUUUUUGAAAGGUCAACAGCCUUAUUGCGAUUAGAGAUUAGAUGUCCCAAGUUUAUACCUCCUGUUUCCCGAACUGACAUUUCUCCAUCUUCACCUUAAGCUUGUGGGCUUGUAAAAUAUCAAAAACCACUUUCAAGUGUUCCAAGUGAGUAUCCCAACUUUUGCUAUAAAUAAGUAUAUCAUCAAAAAAGACUAAUUCAAAUUUUCGUAAAUAGUCUUGAAAUACCACAUUCAUGAGUGCUUGAAAUGUUGAAGGAGCAUUAGUAAACCCAAAGGACAUUACAAGAAACUCAUAAUGGCCGUGAUGUGUUCGAAAGGCUGUUUUUUCAAUGUCAUUGGGAUGCAUGCAAACUUGGUGAUAGCCUAACCUCAAAUCCAGUUUGGAAAAAUAUUGUGCCCCCGUCCAUUCAUCUAACAAUUCAUCGAUCACAGGUAUGGAAAAUUUAUCUUUGACUGUAAUUUUAUUUAAUGCCCGAUCGUCCACACACAUUCUCUAUGAUCCGUCAUGUUUUUUGACAAGUAAUACUGGGGAUGAAUAUGGGCUUUUGCUGGGACGAAUAAUUCCUGCGGCUAGCAUCUCUUUGACCAAUCUUUCAAUUUCAUUUUUUUGGAAGUAGGAAUAGCGGUAAGGUGGGAGGGCUGUGGGUUUAUUAUUUGGAAGCAGGGGAAUUCGGUGAUCAUGGCUUCUUUGCGGAGGCAAUCCCACAGGUUCAGUGAGCACAUGAGGAUAUUCUUUAAGGAGCUGUUGAAUUUGAGUGGAAGUUGAAUCAGUUUUCACGUUGAUGCCAUUGUUGCUUAUAAGUUGUAGAACUACACAAUGUUGAGAUUUUUGUUAUCUGAGUCACAGGUGGAGAAGUAACAACUUCGCGACUUAUAUCAAUAAUGCCACGCAAUAUAACUUUUUUAUUUCCUUUGGAAAACUUCAUAAGCAACUUGUCAAAAUCCCAUUGAAUUGGCCCUAACGUCCUUAGCCAUUGUGUUCCUAGCACCGCAUAACAACCUUCCAAUGGUAAAAUAAAGAAAUCAAUUUCAAAAAGGACUUUUUGAAGCCUCACCUGAACUUGGGCACAUCGACCGGGGCUAACAAGUUUUUCUCCUGAAGCAAUCAAUACCUCCAACUUUCCACUUGAAUUAAGUUGUAAAUGGACCCGAUUUGCUGCCUGUGAGCUCACAAAAUUGUGAGUACUUCCUGAAUCAACUUAAAACAGCACUUGUUGACCCAUUAAGCUUCCCUAAAUAUGCAUAGUUUUAGGUGCUCUUGUCCUUAUCACGGCAUGAAAUGAUAUUUCUGGAGCCACAUCCUCACUACCAUUUUCAAUCUCCAUUUCCACAUCGUUUUCCUCUUCCUCCCAGCAUGCUUCAAUCUUGAAAAGUUUUGGACAAUUGUGCCUUGGGUUGUACUUGUUGUUACAAUGAAAGCAAAGGCCCUUCUUUCGUCGUUCUGUUAGCUCUUCUGGCAUCAUUUUCUUGAUGUUUGGGGCUGAAUUAGAGCUACAUCGUUGACUUUCUAUUGCCAAAUGCCAAGAAUUUAUUGCUCGAGAAGGUUGUGUUGUCGUCGCUCGUUUGUGUGCUGUAUCCCUUGCCUCAUAGAGUCGAGCUAACCCAAUUGCCAUGGUCAGCGUUGUUGGUAGAUUUGCCUGAACAUCGACUUGGAUACUCUCCUUUAGCCCUGCAAUAAAACAACUUACUUUUUGUCCUGAGAAAGUGAUCCCACCUUUGCCAACAAUCUCUCAAAUUGAGCUUGAUAAUCAGUCACUGUUCUUGUUUGUCACAACCUGAUCAAUUCAACAAAGUGGUCUUCAAAUUGAUUAGGUCCAAAACGUGAUAAAAUUCCUGCUUUGAAGUCACCCUAUGUUACAUAAAUCAUCUCUUGCUCUAACAUUUGGAACCAUAAUUGAGCAUCCCCUUCCAAAUAAAAGGAAGCUAAGGACACCUUUUUUUACUCUCGUAUCUCAUGGAGACUAAAAUACUUUUCAACCCUACAAAUCCACAUUGUUGGCUAUUCCUUGCCGUCAUACUUAAGAAAAUCCAAUUUUACAGUUCGUGGCAUGAAGUUGUGGAAAUUUUCAUUUCCUCUUGGUGAAGUGUGAACCAUUGGACCUUCGUUGAAUGAAGUCUCUCCGCUUUUAGUAGUUCUUCUACCACCAAAUUGUUGAGCGAGCUGUUCUAACUUUUCAGUAGCUUGAUUCAGUAAUUCUUUAUUAAACUUAUCCAUGCUUUCCUCAAUUUGCUGAACUCUAUCGUUAAGCUCCAUCAAUCUGGCUCUGAUACCAAGCUGUUACAAUCACUUUGGUUUUGUGUGGAAUUAACUUUGCAAAGAAAAAUAAAAUUAAGAGUAAUGACACUUCGAGGGGUCAAUCUCCUCCUUAAGACUCAAGCCUUAUUCUGAAUUCUUUUCAGGAUCCUUAUUCAAUAAUCAAUUGAAAAUUAAAUACAAGAAAUUGCUAACUAAACCCAAGAAACCAGGAAAUAAUAUCCAAAAUAAUCAGGAAAGCUUUGGACUCGCUCAUACCAACUACAUACACUCAAAACAAAUUAAAAAAUAAGGUUGACUUAGUCUUUACGUUUAUUGCCCACCAAACUCCAUACUUCUAAGUAGUUGCUUUGCACGUGCCCUAAUCAAUUAUUACUUGCUUGCAACAUAAUUCCUUUUUGGUUUUCCAAUCAAACAGAGCUUACAUUCUUGGACUUGAGUGAGAAUGAGCUUAAAGGAACUUACCCACAAUGACUCGCUGAACAAAAUCUUGGAGCAGUUAUUUUAUCAGACGACAGGUUGACAGGUUCUCUGCCUCCCACUUUGUUUUAAUCUCGAAAUUGAUCAGUCCUUGUUCUUUAAUUAAACAAUUUUUAUGGUGAAUUGCCUGAAACCAUGGGCAAAAGACAUCAUUCAUGGUAUUUACGCUGUCCAGCAAUAACUUUUCUCAGCAUGUGCCAAAAUCUAUGUCCAAUAUUUAUCGAUUCUUGAUACUAGACUUGUCAAAUAAUAGUUUUCUAGUGAGUUUUUGGCAUUUAUGUCGAACUCAUUAGGGGCAUGUAUUGAUACAUCAUCCAAUAGAUUCUCUGGCGAGGUUCUUUCGACUUUAGGAAAAACACACUUAUGGUGUCACUAAGCCAAAACAGUUUCUUCGGGCAAUUGCCUCAAAAUCUAAGUAAGCUGAGCCCGCUUGAACACCUUGAUCUUCGUGACACUAAUCUUACCAGUGAGUUCCCAGCAUUCCUCUCUCAGUUGUCUUCCCUUCAAGUACUUAAUAUCCGAAACACUGCCCUUGAAGGAUCAAUCACUGAUGACCUGUUAAAUCUUGGAAGUCUACAUAUCCUGGAUCUCUCCAACAACAACCUUACAGGAAAAAUCCCAUCAAGCUUUGGAAACCUUGCGGGAAUGACUGACACUCCUAGUACCUUAUCAACAUUGCCUGAAAUUUUCACCAUUCCGGUUGAAAUCCAAGAUUUGAUAGUCAUCUGGAAGAAUUCCAAACAAAAACUCUAUAGCAAAAGCCUUGCAAUCUAUUCUCUCCCGGACUUGUCAAACAAUCAAUUUUUUGGGUGAAAUUCUACACUUUGGAGGCAGUAUCAAAGGCCUGAAGUCACUUAACAUGUCUUGCAAUGAACUCCAGGGUAACAUUCCCUCAACUUUCAGCGACCUGGAGAUUUUAGAGACCCUGGAUUUGUCGCACAAUAGCCUGUCUAGAAAUAUCCCAAAAACAUUUGCUAAGCUCUAGCAAUUGACCUUAUUAUACUUGACCAACAACAAGCUCUCGGGUCAUAUUCGUGAGAUCCCUCAAAUGGACAACCAGAUUGAUUCAGUCAUAUAUGCAACCAAUGGCAGGUUGUGUGGGGUACAAAUCUAGGUUGUUUGUUCUGAAGAUGUGCAACCACCAACUGAUUCAGUGCUAGAGGAGAUGGAGAAAGAAGAAAUAAGAAUUUCUUCGUGGAAAGCCAUGGCCAUAGGGUACCCUUUUGAUUUCUCUUCUGCAACUAUAGUUACUUAUGUGAUUGUUUAGUUUAAUUCUAAACCAAAAUCUUCAGUUUCGCGGGCUAAGUCAUCAAGAAGCAAGAAAUUCGGGAUUAUGGAGCCUGAACUUGAAGAGAUUAAUUAUUGUGCAUGUGAGCAUGGUCUAAAUUAUACGAAGCAGGAAAACUAUUUAAACUUGCAAUGCAAGCAAACUAGUCAUUUGAAAAUGUGAGCUCAACUCCUAAUCACAUGUUGAUUUUAGCUUAAUUGUUCUUUUGCUAUCUUCUAAGGAGUUUUAGUAUUUUUCAAAUAAAGCAUAUAAUAACUUUCAUGAGUUGAUUGCAUGAUCCAAAGUAGUUAUGAUGAAAAAUUAAAUGCUUCUUAAAAUGGCAGUUUUCAGACUAACAAAUUUCUGAUGCAUCUAUCAAUGCUAAAACUUAAAAAUUAACAUUUGGAAAUAAUUAAUUUUAGAUUAAAUUUUGAAAUAAUAAAUUUUGUAAAAUAUUUUAUAAAAUGUUUAAUAAAUUUGGAUAAUGAGACAAUCAUUUAUGAAAUAUUUCCUUUUAUCUUGUUUUUGUUUUUUAUUCAAAUCAAUUAUAGCUUGUGUCAUAUUUGACUGCCCAUACAUUAGAACAUAACUUAUAUUGUUCAAAAAGAGCCCUUCACACCUGAAUAGAUGCAGUCUACAAGACACGAUCAAUAACCACUCGCAGCAAAACAAGUUCCACAUAAACAAAAAAAGGUCAGUACUUUCACAGGUUGUAAUAUGAGUAUUUACUACAGCAAACAAGCUACUCAAAUGAAUUGAAAUAGAAAGUUGAAAAAGAAUACCAAUUUGGCCAUUAAAGAGUGAGAGAAUACUUUACUAUCUGCAAACUGAGCAUCGCAUAACCAGAUUUUUUCACUGUUUGUAAGUGCUCUUCCUAGCAAACUGCGAGACAAAGUGGUAGGUGACCAUGUUAGUUAAAACUCCCGUUCGAUAAGAAUUGACUAUGCAUAUGGAAACAUAAUGAUUGAAAGAUAUAUAAGAGAAACUAGGUUUCUAAAUAAUGAAGUUUUAUUAGAAAUAAAUCUAAAUGAAUAAAACUAGGAUUUUAGGUCCCUUUUUUUAUUACCCUAAAUAUCUCGAAUUUACUCAAAUAGGUAAAUACGAAAUAUUGUUUUAUAAUAAAACUCUCCUAGUCUAAAUAAUGGAAUUAAAACGAAUGGCACCUAAAUCCAAUAUAUAGAAAAAAAAUCUUGAAAGUAACAGGAAAAUAGGAAAAAUAAUUUAAAACUAAAAAAUGAUGAGAAAAUAAGUGGAAUUUUCUGCUCGACCAUGGGGCAAAACAGCAUAAGCGUUCAAGGUUGGUUUGUCUUAUUGCAAGCUUCAAAACGGUAUAUUACAAAAUGAACACCUAUGACCUAAAUUAUAACCUUUGGAACAUAUCCUACUUAUCCCACGCGCCAUCAUACAUCAAGAAUGCCACAUAUAAGGGGAAAAAUAUGCAAUAAAGGGUUAAAAGUUAAGUUUGAUUAAUAGAAGAGAGUAGUAUCUGUGGCCAGAAUUGAUUACAAAGGAUAUGCAAACCAAGUAAUACCACUCUACAUCGAUAAGAUCUUCUGGAAACAAUGUAGCAAAAGGCAUGUUAUUAGCUUGCUCAGUUUCUCCUUCCAGCAGAGAUUCGUAAUGCUCUCUUAGUUGCUUACUCCUUUCUAGACCUAUUUUAUGAGGUGUAAGUUACACUGCUUGCAUUGUCUCCAUUGUAGUACUUAUCACCCCACUCUAGUACCCUAGAGACCAGUUUCUUUUUUCUUUUUUCAAAGUGAGUACAAACAAUGUUAACAAAGCAAGUAAAUAGACUAAUUAUAGGCCAUUAAGAGUUGGUUAAGCAAAAAUGCUAACAAAGCAAAAAACUUGUAGAGGCCAUUUUAACUUCAAAAAAUAUAACAAAACAAAACUUCGUUAUUCAUUUUCCCAUUACUGCAAAAAAGUCUCUGUGAGAGGUAAUAUAAUGUAAAUUUCCAUCUCUAGCAACAUCACUUUAAUGGUAAGUAAAUUGAUUAAUAGCUUCGUUUCUUCAAGUUUCCCAAAGAAACAGAAUGUCAUACUAGUUAGAUAUUAGGUUAUGUGGUCCACAAAUUUGGCACUACAAAGUAAAAAUGUGAGCUUUUUAUUCUAAAAUGAUGGUAUAUAUCAGUGAAUUAGAGGUAUUAAAUUUAGCAAAUUUAACCAAAAAGAUGGCAUGAGUGACUUUAGAAACGCAAAAUUGCAUAAACCCAUAUAUGGAAGUUGAGACAAGAACAAAAUUGCACUAAAAAAUAAUUGGAAAGUAGAAAUAAAAUACUUAAAAAAAACAAAAAGAAAAAAAAAAAGAAAGCUUUUAUAACGUUGUUGUUUGCUGAUAAUGACUAGAAAAUUACAUAGCUCUAUUGGAUAUUCCUAACAGCCACAUGAAGUUGUUUCCUUAAGAUUUCUUGUACCACUCCAGGUUUUUGUUACGGAAGCAUGUGGUUGAGCAAUUACUAAUAUUAUGGUGACUGCAAUUUCUAGAGAAAUAUAAAUGUGACAAACAAAUGCAAAGAAAAUAGGACACAAUAAUUUACAUGGUUCAUGUAAAGCCUAUGUCCACAAACAAAGACUGGAAGAUAAUUUUACUAACAAAUGGGAAUUUACAAAAGUAGGAAAAGCUCUCAAAACCCACAACCCUAAUACACCUAAUUGAAUCCUCACUAGAAUACUCAAGUGGAAGCUCUCUCAAAUAUCUCAAAUUGUUUCACUUGUAAUUGCUCUCAACUCUCUCAAUUGGGAUGAUCUGAAGCUUUUCCUCUCCUCUUUAUUUAUAGGCAAGUAAUGUUUACCUACCACAGCAUUCAAUUUGGCUUCAAUUUUUCAAAUUGAUAAAUUUGGCAAUCAGUGCCAACUUUGUCAUGCAAUUGUGGUCAAAAUCUACAUGCUAGCUUAACAAUUGCAUGCUUGAAUUUUGCAUGCUAGUUGUCUCAUGCAACUACUCAAUAAUUGCAUGCUUGAAGCUUGACUUCUCAAUAAUUCUCCACCUCGGCAAAUAUUUAGUAAAGUUGAGCCGAAUAUCAACAAACCAUCCUUCAACCUCUACCUUUCCAAUUGUUUUCAAACUUGUAAGCUAUUGAUCAAGUUUAGACAAUCAUCAAACUUGAUCGCCGUCACCACCUUGGUUAAUAUAUCUGGAGGAUUCUUUGCAAUCUUGAUUUUAUGAAUCAAUGUACCCGAUCACACCUUAACCAAGUUUAUCAUCUUGCUCAAACAAUAAACCAAUAUCUACGAUCUUCUGAAUGUACAGUAGAAUCUAUUUCACAACUUGCAAAUGUCCUUUACUAAGAUUAUACAUAUACAUGCUCACUAUACUAACUGCAUGUGAAAUGUCGGGCCUUGUACACACCAUUGUAAACAUCAAGCUACCCACCGCAUUUGAAUACAAACUUAUAACAUGUACUCUCGUUCUGCAUCUGUUGAAGGAGAUAAUUGUGCAGAAAGCUUGAAAUAAAAAGCCAACGGAGUGCUCACGAGUUUUAUCUGCUCAGUCAUGCCAAAUUGUUGUAGUACCUCCUUCAAAUAUUACUUUUGAAACAAACUGACUUUACCACGAACUCUAUCUCUGCAUAUCCCCAUGUCAAGAAUCUUUUUAUCUUCACUACGAUUUUUCAUCUCAAACUCUUAAUUGAGUUGAAUCUUCAACUUCUCAAUCUCCUCUUUACUCUUGAUGCUAUUAGCAUAUUAUCGACAUACAAGAGCAAAUAUACGAAGGAUCCCUUUUGUAGCUUGUGAAAAUACAAACAAGGAUCAAAUUUAUUUCUUGUGUACCUUUGCCCUUUUAUAAACUGAUCAAAUCGCUUGUGCCACUACCUUGGGGUUGUUUUAAUCCAUAAAGUGACUUUGUCAAUUUGCAAACUCUAUUUUCUUUUCCAACAACCUUGAAUCCAUUUGGCUGAGUCAUGUAGAUUUCCUUUUCCAAAUCACCAUGUAAAAAUGCAAUUUUUACUUCAAGUUGUACUAAUUUAAGAUCAAAUUGCGCAGUCAUGGCUAGCAAAAUUUGAAUAGAUGAGUUUUUGACAAUUAUGGAAAAUACAUCAUUGUAGUCUAUUCCUUCUUUCUAAGCGCAACCCUUCGCUACCAAUCUAGUCUCGUAUCGAAUUUCAUUUUUACGAGGACAUCCUUUAUUCUUUGCAUACACCCAUUUGCCUCAAAUUACUUUCUUUUCCUUAAGCAGUGUAACCAACUCCCAAGUUCUAUUUUUAUGAAGAGACUGCAUUUCUUCAUUCAUUGCUAGCUUCCACUGUACACUUUCAGGGCUACAUAUUACUUCUCUGUAGGUGGAAGGAACAUUAUCAUCUACAAAUGGAAGUUCAUAGGCCACCAUAUCAACAAAGCGAGCAGGGCUAUGAAUCUCUCUUCGUGGCUACCUAUAUGCAAUUGAAUCUUGUUGUUGUUAAGGUUCUUGGGCUAGAACUUAUUCUUUAUUUUCAGUCAAUGGAGAAUUAUUAUCUAUCUCCUCAACACCAGCUAGAUUAUCUUUAAUAUUUUCAAACUUCACUUACUGUAAAGUGUUACUGGUCUUGUCAUCCUCUUGAAAAUCUUUUUUGUUUCAACAUGGCUGAUUCAUCAAAAGUUACAUCUCUACUUAAAAUAAUCUUUUUCGUAACAUAACACCAAAGAUGAAAUCCUUUUACUCCACCAGUUGUACUCAUGAACAAUGUUUUCUUUGCUUUUGCAUCUAACCUAGAUUCCUUUACAUUAUAAUAGGCAGUAGAAAAAAAAACAUGUAAAGAAUCAUAAUCAGAAGCAGGUUUACCAAUCCAUAACUCCAUCGGUGUUUUGCCCUCAAUUGCAACUGAUGUCAAACGGUUGAUCAGAUGGCACGUAUAUACAACUGCCUAAACCCAAAACUUUUUGCCUAGUCCACCAUUGGACAACAUACACUGAAAAUUCUCCAGUAUAGUUUGGUUCAUACGUUCUACCAACCCAUUCUGCUAUGGUAUAUCUCGAAUAGUGAAGUGGCGCACAAUGCCCUCAUCUCGGCAUAUUUAUAUAAAUGGAUAAUUCUUGUAUUCACCAUCUUUAUCUGAGCGAAAUCUUUUGACCUUUCGACCAGUUUAAGUCUCGAUCAUUUUCUUCUAUUUCAUAAAUCUGCCCAAAACUUCAUUCUUAUUCUUCAUCAGAUACGCCCACACUUUUCUUAAAUAAUCAUCAACAAAAGUAACAAAAUAGUACAUACCUCUCAAAGAAGCUGUUUUGGUAGGUCCCACACAUCAUUGUUAACAUAGUCUAGAAUCCCUUUUGCAUCGUGAAUUGUUGAACCAAACUUUACCCAUGUCUGCUUAACCAGAACACAAUGUUCACAAAAUUCUAAUUUACAAGAAUUUACACGUUUUAAUGAGCGUUGUUUUACCAAAGUCUGCAAUGUUUUUUCACCAACAUGUCCUAAACACAUGUACCACAACUUGGUUGCUUCUGAAUUUGAAUCUUUUCCAGAAAUUGUUGAUGUUGAUCCAAUAAUUGUACACCCUUGGAAAUAGUACAAGUUAUUUAUUCUUGUUAUUUCAUCACAGUCAGUGCGCCUGCUACUACCUUUAAAAAUCUAUCUCUCAAAGUGAUUGUGAGCCUUUGAGAUUCUAAGACUCCUAACGAGAUGAGAUUUUUCUUUAAACUUGGUACGUAGCGAACACCUGUCAAGACUUGGAUUAAACCAUCAUGAUUCUUUAAGUGAGACGAGAUUUUUCUUUAAACUUGGUAUGUACUUAUUCCCACGGUUUUACAGACAUUGUCAUUACCCAUAAAAGCAACUCCACCGUCUAACUCCUUGAAGCUAGAAAAUCAGCCCUUAUUAGGACACGUAUGAUAAGUACAACCUGAAUCUAAAAUCCACUCAUCUGAAUGACAUGUCAACGCCAUGCCAACCAAACUAAAGUCUGACUCCUCAUUAUGCUCUACUACAUAUGCAUCAUAAAUAUCUUUGGCCUUUUGUAACCUAUGACAAUUCUUUUUCCAAUGUCCAUUCUCGUAACAAAAAGUACAUUCAUCUUUGGUAGGCAUUCUUUUAGACUUGUUUCUUUUUCCAGGCUUGAGGCUUUAUGAACAACUUCUCGUUGUCAAUGCUUCUACAAUUGUAUCUAUGUAAUCUUUUUUUCUUUCUUUCUAGUCUCAGAGUUGUACAACGCACUACAUACUGCAUCGAAUGUGACAUUAUCCUUUCUACAAAGUUAAACGGUGGUGAGAUGAUCAUAUACAUCAAGAAGGAAAUUCAACAGUAACAAUGCAUUAUGUUCAUCUUCAAAUUUCUCAUCUAAAUUUACCAAAUCUGUUAAUGUCUUGUUGAAUGAGUUCACAUAGUCAUUCAUCAACAUUUCGGGUUCAUAUGUGAAUCAAUAAAGUUUUUUCUUCAUAUAAAGCCUAUUUUCAAGGUUUUUCUUCAUGUACUUGUCUUCUAGUGUCUUCCAUAAUUUCUUUACUGAUGUUUCCUUCAUGACAAAGUACUUCUGAUCUUUAGUCAGACAUAGGUGAAUAGUAUCACAUGCCUAUUUGUUGAUUUUUAUCCACUCCUUGUCAUCUAUCUUGUCAGGUUUUUCUUCAAAAGCAACAUCCAACUCUUGCUAAUAUAAGACAUCCAACACCUCACAUUGGCACAUACCAAAAUUAUUGGUACCAUCGAAUUUCUCCACUUCAAACUUCGCAUUAGUCACAAUAGUCCUCGCUGAUGAGGACGAUAAUGAUGCCUCUGCCAUCAUUCUUAAUCCAAAUGACCAAUGUGCACACUACAUACAAUAGGCAAUCUCCCAAGUACAAAUGGUCAUCUUUACUGUAUGCGUAAACAGUACCGUAUACGUCAACAUUACCGUAUAUGUAAAUAGUAUUGUAUACCCCAAGCACAAACCUCCUACUCUGAUAACAAUUGUUGCAGAAGCGUGUAGUUGAGCAAUUACUAAUAUUAUGGUGAUUGCAACUUCUGGAGAAAUAUAAAUGUGACAAACAAAUGUAAAUAAAAUAGGACACAAUAAUUUACGUGGUUCACGUAAAGCCUACGUCCAUGGGCAAAGACUAGAAGAUAAUUUUACUAACAAAUGAGAAUUUACCAAAGUGGGAAAAUCUCUCAAAACCCAUCACCCCAAUUCACCCAGUUAAAUCCUCACUAGAACCCUCAAGUGGAAACUCUCUCAAGUCUCUCAAAUUGCUUCACUUGCAAUUGCUCUUAACUCUCUCAAUUGGGAUGAUUUGAGGCUCUUCCUCUCGUCUCGAUUUAUAAGCAAACAAUGCUUACCUACCACAACAUUCAAUUUAGCUUCAAUUUGCCAAUUUGAUAAAUUUGGCAAUCAGUGCCAACUUUUUCAUGCAAUUGUGGUCAAAGUCUACAUGCUAGCUCAACAAUUGCAUACUUGAAUUUUGCAUGAUAGUUGUCUCAUGCAACCACUCAACAAUUGCAUGGUUGAAGCUUGACUUUUCAACAGUUUUGAGCAACAUUAGCCAUAUAAGCACAAACGUUACUAAAUUCAACUUAGAUAACUAGAAAGAAAGCUUAUUAACAAACAAAUUGGUCAAUAAUCAACAAGCAAAGCCUUCACUAAAAAGGAACUCUGGUUAUAUUAUGUCAAUAAAUUUUGGUUCUACAAAAUAUCACACAUUGAGUUCAAUUAUAUGCAGCAAGGUCCUUAUAGCGAGUUACCAUGACUAAAAGAAUAUUUAAGAGACAGAAAUUUUGGAGUGAUAGUACCAUCAAAUACUCAACAAAACAAAUGCGCAACUUCUGCUUUAGAGUGCUCGAAAUAUGCAUUUUGGUUUUCAGUGAUUAGGUUUAUAUGAGCUGGCAAUUUUUAUAUGUUUGGAUCUAAACCUGUUCUAUCGUUUGACAGAGAAUAGUUAAUAAAUUACUCGUAAUGUACAUGUAAAAAAAUCUUAUUAGGUAUUGUUUGUAUGAUUGACCUUGAGUGAUUGUGAUCCAACUUUUUACAGUACUUGUGAAUCUAUUUUCACAUAAGUUGUUUCUUACCUAUAUACUUCCUUAUUUCUCUAUACUUGAAUGAUGAGCAAUAGCAAUCUUACACAUACUUAUGAAUCAUGACAAUUUGUCUCUUCCUAAAAGGCAUAAAUGACAUCUGUUUACAUAGUUUCAAUACCACAAAUGAUGUAGGACAUCCUUUUAGAAUUUUAGAAUUUUAGAAUUUUAGAAUUUUACUAUUUUAAGUCUUGAUUUUUUUUAUUUUCACUAGAGUCAUUUAUGCUAUAUAUUUUAGCCUUUAUUUCAAGUAUAAUUGCAAUUUAGUUUCUCUUUUUAAGCUAACUUAAGGAAAUAGGUUUUCUCUAUUAUAAAUAGAAAGUUCUUGUUAUUGCUUUUAUAACUUCAACUUUAAUUAUUCAAUAAACUCCUCUUUUAAAAAUUUCCUUUUAGAUUAUCUAUCAAAAAUCUCUCUUGUAAAGUUAUUUGAAUUACAAUGUCAUAUAAUCUCGCUUAACGCAUUAUUAAAAUCUCAGUGAGUUGUUUGGAUUAAAACAAGAUCUAAUCACACUUUGGUUAGAGUAUAACCUAAUUGCGCUGCUAGGUCCGGUACUAGAACGAUAGAUAGUGUUUAUCUACCCCAUUAAUUUGACAUAUGUGAAAACGCUCUACUUUGGACACUUUGGUGACUAACAAAUUAUCAUAAUAUGAGUGUCAAAUUAAAUAUUUGUAACAAAGGAUUUUCCUUAAUAAAAAAUAAAUAAAUAAAACUACAAAUAUCAACUGAAAUUUCCAACAUUAAAAUUGGAACAUUAAGAAAUUUCAGAGAUUACUAAUUAAUGAGCGGAAGCAUUCAAAAUUAUGAUUACAAAACUUAUAAAGCUUGAUGCACAUAAAAUUAGUGGCUUUAUCAUACUAAACCCAAUCAAUCAUAUCUAUUAUUUAAUCAAAUAAAAAAUUAGGGGCUAAACUGAAAUUUCACAUGUAAUUUACUCCUAAAUUUCUGCCUGUAAACAGUAUGUGAUGGUCGUUGCCAAUUCUGUUAGACUUAAAUGCAAUAAAAUUCUAAACUUUGGAUAAGAACAUAAACCAAAAAAAACCUUAGGGUGUCAAUGAAAAAAUCCAAAAGAAAACCUAAUUUCAACUUUAUGUGUUGCGCUGCCAACAAUUUUUUUUUUUGUUCUUUACUAUUUUAUAACAAAUUAAUAUAUACAAAAAUUCAUAUGCCAAUGAUUUUCUUUCGACGUUAUGUAUAUGUAGAAUAAUAAUUCAAAUUACCACAUGUCAAACAAAGUGGGCAUCUAGAUGGUAUAAAGUGGCCAUCUAUAUGGUCAACAACAAUUUUGUUUGAAGAAGAAUUUGGCAGUAGCAAAUUUGGAAUGAAGAAAAAGAAGAAAGAAGAAGAUGGAAGAAUAGGAUGCCGCCCAAGAAAAAAUAAUAAUAAUUUAAUAGCCAAUUUUGGCUAUAAAUAGAGAGGCUCCCUCCUCAUUUUAUUCAUUCCAUUUUCUUAAGUUUCUCUUCUCUGUUUUGUAAAAGAGAAAGAGUUGUGUGAGAGAUUAAGAGUUUAAUAAACUCUUGAGUGAUUAGUGUUUUGAGAGUUUGGGUGUAUUGGGGUUUUGGGUAGCAAGCUAAAAUACCACAAUACUUGUAACUCCUUUUCACUAGUAAAUUAUUUUCCUUUUGUUUUCGCCCGUGGACGUAGGCUAAAAGCCGAACCACGUAAUUUUCCGGUGUCCUCUUUUGUGCUUGUUCUUUAUUUUUCUUCCAAUUUCAUUUUAGUUGCGUGUCUGCUUCACCCACCAAUGUCCUAACAGUGGUAUCAGAGCCAUUGGUUGUAUUUUUUUUAGUCGGGUACUGUUCAUGUAAAGGGUACUAUUCACAUAUACGGUACUGUUCACGUAAAGGAUACUAUUCACGUAUAUGGCACUGUUCACGUAUAAGUUACUGUUCAUAUAUACGGUACUAUUCACGAGAAACGGUAGGAGUGAUCCAAGAAUUUUACGGUGCAAAGCAGGGAAUAGUGGUGUGAGUAAAGCAACUGUGUGGUUUAGUUCAUGUCUAGGAAAAUUCUGUCACAAAGGCGAUAAGAGCUUAAAGAGUCUGGGUUUUAAGUGGGACCAUUGUGACCCCUCCAGUCUUUCCUUGGAACUUUUCUGGUGUGCAUUCUCACACAUACUCACAAUUAUUCAGGGUGGUACACUAACUUGUGUGCGGUAUUUAUCAACAAAAUGGCGGCAAAGUAUGAAAUUGAGAAGUUUAACAGAAAUAAUUUUUCAUUGUGGAAAAUGAAGAUAAAAGUUGUAUUGAGGAAAAAUAAUUGUUUGGCAGCAAUUGGAGAAAGGCCCAUGGAGAUAACUGAUGACAAGUGGAACGAGAUAGACGGUAACGUCAUUUCUGAUCUACACUUGGCACUUGCAGAUGGAGUAUUAUCUAGUGUGGCAGAGAAAAACACAACGAAGGAAAUAUGGGACUCUCACAAAAUUGUACGAGGCCAAGUCACUACACAACAAAAUCUUCUUGAAGAGGAAACUCUAUACUCUUCGAAUGGCGGAAUCUACAAUGGUGACCGACCACAUCAACACCUUGAAGACUCUAUUUUCACAACUCACAACGUUGUGUCAUAAUAUAGAGGAAAAUGAACAUGCAGAGCUUCUACUUCAAAGUCUACCAGAUUCGUAUGAUCAACUCAUCAUCAACCUGAUGAAUAACAAUCCAGCGAACAUUCUAUUUUUCGACGAUGUUGCAGCCUCCGUAUUAAAUGAGGAGAGCAGGCAGAAAAAUAAGGAAAACAGACAAGCAAGAUCACAGCAAGCGGGGGCGCUAUCGGUGACGAGAGGGAGAUCAACGGAACGUAGCCCCAGUGAGAGUCACAAUCAUGGCAGAUCAAAAUCUAAAAGUAAGAAGAAUGUUAAAUGCUACAACUGUGGCAAGAAAUGACACGUCAAGAAAGAGUGUUGGAGUAACCCGAAGAGAAAAGAGGGUAAAGAACCUGAGUCAUCAAAUGCUCAGGGGUGUAUAGUAAGUACCUCAGAUGAUUGAGAAAUUCUCUACAGCGAGGCAACAACUGUUUCAGAAUACAGAAAAUGACUAUCUGAUGUCUGACUUAUAGACUCAGGAGCUACCUGGCACAUGACCUCUCGGAGAGAAUGGUUCCACACAUAUGAACCUAUCUCAGGAGGAUCUGUAUAUAUGGGAAAUGAUCAUGCCUUAGAGAUCGCUGGUAUUGGUACUAUCAAAAUAAAAAUAUUUGAUGGUACAAUUCGCACAAUUGGGGAGGUACGACAUGUCAACGGCGUGAAGAAAAAUCUAUUGUCUUUGGGACAAAUGGAUAGUCAUUGGUACAAAACUCAUGUGGAGAAUGGAAUUAUGAAGAUCGUUAAAGGCGUGCUUGUAUUAAUGAAGGCAGAAAAGAUCGGCGCUAAUUUAUUCAUGCUUAAAGGAGAAACACUACAGGAGGCUGAUCCGUGUGUCGCAUCAAAUGGAGAAGAGUCAAUGAUGAUGUGGCAUCCCAAACUUGCCCACAUGUCAGAACAAGGUUUGAAGAUUCUCUUUGAGCGAAAAUUGCUUCCAUGGCUCAAAUCGGUAAGUUUACUAUUUUGCGAGCAUUGUGUUACAAGUAAGCAGCAUAGAUUAAAUUUCAGUAGAUCUAUUGCUAGAAGUAAAUACAUUCUAGACUUGAUUCAUUCUGAUGUUUGGGAAUCGCCAGAUAUGUCCAUGGGAAGUGCAAAGUACAUGGUGACUUUCAUUGAUGAUUAUUCCAAGAGAUGUUAGGUGUAUCCAAUUAAGAAAAAGUCAGAUGUGUUUCCAGUGUUUAAAGAAUACAAAGCGCAGGUGGAACUUGAAUCCGGCAAAAUGAUCAAGUGCUUGAGGACGGAUAAUGGUGGAGAGUAUACAGACGGUGAGUUUCUUGCUUUCUGUAAACAAGAAGGUAUUCAAAGGCAGUUCACGGUGGCAUACACUCCUCAACAAAAUGGAGUGGUGGAGCGGAUGAACAGAACUCUUACAGAAAGAAUAAGAGCUAUGUUGAGGACUGCUGGUCUAUCCAAUUCAUUUUAGACAGAAACAGCUAAAACUACCUGUUAUAUAGUAAAUCGGUCUCCAUCCACAGCAAUUGGGCUGAAGACAGCGAUAGAAAUGUGAACUGGAAAGCCAGCUGAUUACUCAUACCUACAUGCAUUUGGAUGUUCUAUGUACGUGAUGUAAAAUGCCCAAGAAAGAACAAAGUUAGAUCCAAAAUCUAGGAGGUGUAUCUUCUUGGGGUAUGCUGAUGGAGUAAAGGGGUAUCGUCUGUAGGACCCCACUGCCCACAAGAUCGUCAUCAGCAAAGAUGUUAUCUUUGUAGAAGAUCAAAUGCAAAGGAGAGAUGAGGAUGAUAGCACUGUAAAACAAAAGUCAGAGACUGUACCGGUGUAUGUGAAAAAUAAUCUGGAAAAAGAAUAUUCAAAUUCUUCUGAAGCAGCACCAAAGCACGAGGAACAAGAACCGGUUAAGUCCGAGGCUCCAGAAGUUCGUCGGUCAACUCGUGAGAGACGACCGCCAACGUGGCGCUCGGAGUAUGUCACAGAGAUCAACAUUGCAUACUGUCUUCUAAUAGAGGAUGGAGAACCAUCAACUUUCCAUGAAGCUUUAAACAGCUCAGAUGUUACUUUAUGGAUGACAGGAAUGCAGGAAGAAAUUGAAGCUCUACACAAGAACAAGACAUGGGAACUUGUACAACUACCACAUGGAAGAAAAGCCAUUGGUAACAAAUGGGUCUACAAGAUCAAGCAUGAUGGUAAUGACCAAGUAGAGCGGUAUCGUGCAAGAUUAGUGGUGAUGUAUGCUACAUUUGACCUACAAGAUCAAGCAGGCUAAAAAAGAAGGUAUUGACUUCAAUGAGAUAUUUUCUCCGGUAGUUCGACUCACGACAGUCAAAAUAGUCUUGGUGAUGUAUGCUACAUUUGACCUACAUCUAGAGCAGUUAAAUGUGAAAACUGCAUUUCUUCAUGGAGAACUUGAAGAAGAAAUUUAUAUGCUCCAGCUAGAAGGUUUUGCAGAAACAGGAAAGGAGAACUUGGUUUGCAGGUUGAACAAAUCUCUAUACGGUCUCAAACAGGCGCCGAGGUGUUGGUAUAAGAGAUUUGAUUCAUUCACCAUGAGUCUUGGAUACAACAGACUCUGUUCAGACCAUUAUGCAUAUUACAAGAGGUUUGAAGAUAAUGAUUUCAUCAUUUUGCUGUUGUACGUGGAUGACAUAUUGGUAGCAGGCUCCAACAAAGAUCGAAUCCAAGAAUUGAAGGCACGGUUGGCUAGGGAGUUUGAAAUGAAGGACUUGGGACCAGCAAACAAGAUUCUAGGGAUGCAAAUUCACCGAGACAGAAUAACAGGAAGAUUUGGCUUUUUCAGAAGAACUACUUGAAGAAAAUCUUGUGGCGCUUCAACAUGCAAGAUUAUAAGCCAAUUUCUACCCCACUUCCUGUUAAUUUCAAAUUAUCCUCAAAUAUGUGUCCUAGCAAUGAAGCAGAGAGAAAUGAGAUGUCUCGAGUACCGUAUGCAUCAGCAGUGGGAAGUUUAAUGUUCGCUAUGAUUUGUACAAGACCUGACAUUGCACAAGCAGUGGGAGCAGUCAGUCGAUACAUGGCGAAUCCUAGUGGAGAGCAUUGGAUAGCUGUGAAGAGGAUUCUAAGAUCUAUCAGAGGAACCUCAGAUGUUGCAUUAUGUUAUGGAGGAUCAGAGUUUACUGUCAGGGGCUAUGUGGAUUCAGAUUUUGCAGGAGACCUUGAUAAAAGAAAAUCCACUACUGGCUAUGUGUUUACACUUGCAUGAGUAGCUGUAAGCUGGGUUUCAAAACUGCAGACCGUUGUGGCCCUAUCUACAACAGAAGCAGAAUACAUGGCAGCUACACAAGCUUGCAAGGAAGCUAUUUGGAUACAAAGGUUAUUGGAGGAGCUCGGGCACAAACAAGAGAAAAUUUUAUGUUUUGUGAUAGUCAGAGUGUCUUACACAUUGCAAGGAAUCCAGCCUUUCAUUCCAAGACAAAGCACAUAAGAGUUCAGUAUCACUUCGUUCGAUAUGUAGUGGAAGAUGGAAGUGUGGAUUUACAGAAAAUCCAUACCAAGGAGAACCUAGCAGGUGUUUUGACCAAGCCAAUCCAUGCUGACAAGUUUGUCUGGAGUAGAUCCUCUUGUGGCCUAGAAGAAACGUAGGCAACAUGACAAUGGCGAAACAAAAAGGAUGAUGUGGAGAUUGAUUGGUUCUCAAUCAAAUCUCCAAGUAGGAGAAAUGUCAAACAAAGUGGGCAUCUAGAUGGUAUAAAGUGGCCAUCUAGAUGGUCAACAACAACUUUGUUUGAAGAAGAAUUUGGCAGCAGCAAAUUUGGAAUGAAGAAAAAGAAGAAAGAAGAAGAUGGAAGAAUAUGAUGCAGCCCAAGAAAAAAAUAAUAAUAAUUUAAUAGCCAAUUUUGGCUAUAAAUAGAUAGGCUCCCUCCUCAUUUUAUUCAUUCCAUUUUCUUAAGUUUCUCUUCUCUGUUUUGUAAAAGAGAAAGAGUUGUGUGAGAGAUUAAGAGUUUAAUAAACUCUUGAGUGAUUAGUGUUUUGAGAGUUUUGGUGUAUUAGAGUUUUAGGUAGUAAGCUAAAAUACCACAAUAGUUGUAACUCUUUUUCACUAGUAAAUUAUUUUCCUUUUGUUUUCGCCCGUGGACGUAGGCUAAAAGCCGAACCACAUAAUUUUCCGGUGUCCUCUUUUGUGCUUGUUCUUUAUUUUUCUUCCAAUUUCAUUUUAGUUGCGUGUCUGCUUCACCCACCAAUUUCCUAAUAGCACAUAUCUUUAAGGACAAUUGAAAAUAUAAGAGAGUUUUUAUAGAUCUUAAUGGAAAAUCAUGAAUUCUCAAAUACGCUUUGACACCAAUUGUUGAAAUUUUUAUAAUUCUCAUAAAGCAUAUAAACCCUAAUUUGCAUAAACUUUAAUUCCUAAAAUCAUAGAAUAUCAUGAUUUUCACAUCAUCAUAAUUGAGAGAAAACAUAUUUUGAUCCAUAGCAAUUUUCUUGAUUAAAUCUCACUAUAAAGAAUUAAAGAUUACCAAAAUUGAUUUCUCUCUCUUGACCCUAUUAGAGUGACUCACUUUUUAAUGGAGAGAAAAUUAACGUGAUAUCCUUUUUUUAUAUUGAGUGGAGAGAAGACCAAUUUUAAUAACACUCUAAUUCUCAUUUUUCUUCAAAGUGGGCAAUUAGUUUUUUCCAAUUGACCAAUAGGAUUUCAAGCCAUAACUUAUUUUAACUUUUUAAAUUCUAAAUUAUUAUUAAUUUAAUAAUGUGGCACGUGGGCCACUAUAAAAUAUUCCAACAUACUUAAGAGCAAAGUUGUAAAAGCACUUGAAAUUCCCAAAAAAAAAAAAAAAAAAGGAAGCAUUUUCUGAAGGGAGAGGUUAUUUGAACCACUAAAUCAUGUAUUAAACUCACCUACUAAUAAACUCAUUCUUAAAUUGUAAAAAUUUGAAUUUUACUUUACUAAUCAACCUAAAUACCUAAUAUAACCUUGCUAAACAAAAUUAUUAUUAAACCAACUUUUUUAGUUAAGAGAUUCAUAAUUAAAAUCAUAUAUAUAUAAAACCUUUAAUUUUAAAAGUACUGUAAAUUUUAAAAUCAAUCGUAUACAUUUAGUAAAUCUUACUGUUAAAUUGUUGUAGGAAUGUAAUUUACUAAAAACUGAACAUAAUUUUGAAUAAAAUUUAUUUAAACAUGUAUAUAAAAUAUUUUUUAUUGUGUAUAUUUAAUAAUUGAUAAUUAAAAUAAGCACUAUAUAUUAUUAAUUUUAUUUUUAUUUCAUUUUAUUAAUAUAAGCGAUAAUGAUGAUGAUAAUAACAAUAAUAAUAAUAAUAAUAAUAAUAAUAAUAAUAAUAAUAAUAAUAAUAAUAAUAAUAAUAAUAAUAAUAUAACAACAACUUUAGAAUUAACCAUUUUAUUUCCUAAUUAAUGAGGAUAAUUUUGGAUUUUUAUAAUAUAUAUGAGGAUAUAUAUGGAAUUGUAUUAAUUAUAAAAGUAAUUAUCAAAAUUAAAUUUUAAAAGACAUUCUUUCUCUACUUUUCAAAAUCUGCAGUAAGAUGGAAUGAUUUUAUCAAAAAUAAAUUUUAAAAGAAUUUACCAAGCACCAAAAAUGAUUAUGGGUUCUUUGCAGACUCCAUUAUAGUAUAUUCUACUUUGUUUCUUAUAUUAGUAAUUCCACCACUGGUCAUCGUCAUGCAGUUUGUAUGACUCUUAUGCAGAUUCACUCUUUCCUAAUGUUAUCUCUGCUUUGAUAAAAUAGUGAAGUGUAUGCCAAUGCAACAAGGAUUCAAUAUAUUAAAUAAGUGGCCAGGCAUUAUCCCACUGUUUUAAGCUUUUUGAUUUUCUAAAUAGAAUGUAUCAUGGAUGAAGAAGAGCAAUUGUUGUUUGUAUAAGCAUCAGUUUGCUGUCAGAUGUGUUGUAAAAGUUGAUAAUCCUCAUUAAGAAGGCUCUCUGUGUAUAAGCACGCUUAUUUUAGUUUUUGUAACUGUAAAUCUAACAAGAAAGGACUGACUUCCUUCCUUCCCUAAGUUUGUAUUACCAUAAAAUGCAUCUCUCACUUUUAAUCUUUUUGCCUUUUUCAGCAAUUUUAUCCCUUGUGAUUAAAUUGAAAACAUAAAAUGAUUCUCAUAUUUGAGGACGAAAGAUAUAAAUGAGACUCUUUUAUCCUUUUCAGUGGUUUCAACAUUUGCAUAUACUCAUGUUUUUGGAAAUGCUGACCGUGUACGAGAAUUUUUUUUCCUUUGAUAUCCCUUGCUCAAAUAUUAUAUUUAUAGUUUUUGGGACGCAAGAUAUGAUUAUAUUUAGAAAAAUAUUAUCCUUUGGUUAUUAUUAACUCAGAUAUAUAUAUAUAUAGUUCAAGCAUCUAAGAAAACUUAAAUUUAGCAGUUAGCACCUAGGAUUUAGGAAAGCCGGUUUUUAUAACUAAAACUAGACUUUGUAUUGGUAAUUUUUAGUAUUUUUAUUAAAUAAGUUUAAAACAAUCAUAUUGCUUGAUGACAAAUCCAAUAUGCUUUUUAUCAUUUAAGUAAGGUUUGAACUUCAAAUCUUAGGUGCUAUCCUAAAAAUUAAUCAAAAUAAGUUAAUUAGUCGAUAGUCACUAAGCCUUUGGCUCGAUACUAAUGAAUUUUUGCUCUCGAUUUCAAGGUACAAGUUCAAGUCUCAGCCUCUGGGAGAAUCAAUGAAUUUUCUCCUCCCAAUUAUAUAAUUGGAUAUCCUUUCAUUAUUAGUGGCAACAGAUAUAUUUGUGCUGUUAUAUAGUAGAAUAGAUCUAGGGAAGUUCCAGAUGAUUUCUAGUGAGGAAUCCUUCACAUAUCAUCCGCUCGCCUUCUCUAUAGAUCUAGAUUAAAUGGAUUUCCAAAUAGGACUAAGCAUGAGCUUACCUGCCUGACUAAAUAUAUAUAGAUUAUGAUUGAUUUCUAUACGUAUACUUUUGAUUGAUUUUAAUCACUCAUCUAUAAAUUCUAACCUAUAUGUCCUCUUUUAUCAUCACAACAACCACAGCGUGAAUACUAAUGCAGCUGAUACUAAAAUGUCCAAUACCUACUUGCCCGAAAAGCCUGAACUUUCACCAACUUUGAUUUCAGAUGAUGAUGCUGUUAGGCUUCAAUAUGCUUAUGGCGCUGUGAAAAAAUCUCUGGAAGCAUAUGUUACGCUUGCAGGCGGGUAUGUUAUUGAAGCUCAGUUACCAUUUCCUGUCAAUUCUGAUAGUGAGAUUGUCAGUGAAUUUCGGAAAGCUUUACAAAGAGGGAAAACCAAUGGUAGGAAAGUCAGAUUGACUAUGAUUGAUCAUGUGACAUCUGUUCCUGCAGGUGUUCUUAUUCCUGUCAAAGAAUUGAUCAAGAUUUGUCCGGAAGAGGGUGUCCAUAAAGUAUUUGUUGAUGGUGCACACGGGAUUGGGUGUGUUGACGUUGACAUGAAAGAAAUUGGGGCUGAUUUUUAAACUAGUACUUUGAACAAGCGGUUUUUUUACCCGCCUGGGGCAGCGUUUUUGUAUUGUGAGGAAUCAGCCGAAACUGAUGAUUUGCAUCACCCUGUGGUGUCUCAAACCCCAGAUGUACGUCUUGUAACAACCCAAGAAAUUUUACUGAGUUAACUAGCUAGUUGGUACCCACUUGCUUUGUAGAGUACUGUUUCUUCCUAAUAUAGGACCGGAAAGAAUACGCGGCAGAGGUUUGAGAUAUAUGUGAUUUGAGCUGCAUGCGGACCUCUUAGCAUUCAUGAAGGUCCGUAAUUGUGUGAAAAAAAUGCUAGGUGAUUAAUCUUUGGAAGUGUUCAUAAGUUCCUUUUGCUUCCUAGUUCCUCGCAAGUUCUAUGCUAAUUUGAUUCAGUUAUUUAGAACGCUAGCUAUUCCCUCAGACUUAUUUUCGAUAUAAAAAUGCAAAUUGUAUCUAUUCAUUUCCUGCAGAGAUACAGAGGAUGUUUGCGAUUGGUUUAGAUUGUCAAAUAAGCUAAAAUCUAAAAAAUUGUUUGGUAAACACAUUUUAAAAUUGAUUAUUUGAAAAUUCGAUUCUCAAAUAAUCUACCACGCAGCCCAUGCUUCACAUGCAACAGUCUUUAUUGGGUAUGUAACUGUCCGAAGAAGAAGUCGCUCAAUGCUCUUGCUGUCCAACUCAAGAGCAACCCCACAAUGUCCACGGAAGAACCCCAACUCAGCAUGGGUUCUCUUCAACGCCUCAGCGCACUCAAUCACCAAAGAGUCAGGGAGCACUUUUUAAAAAAUCUGAUUCAUUUUAGAAUUUGAUUUUCUAAGAUAUUUUACCUAAAUUAUCCUCUUCUUUCAAUCAUAUUCCAAAUAUGCCCUAUACAAAAAUAAGUUAAUUUAUUUAUAUUUAAAAUUUUUAAUUGAAAAAUAAAACAUUAGUACUGUUGUUGCCGGUAAUUUCCUCCAGCGAGUUACUUCUUUAAUUGACACUGCCCAUAUGUUUAGAUUCGAAAUUAUUCACUGUACACAACGAAGAUGGAAUCGUCGGUGGUAUGGAAUUGGAUGCAAUGCAAGCGCCCCCAAUAUAGAGCAGCCACCACAAUGCAGCUAUCAUACGAAGGUGAAUGAAGUUGAGUUGCCGUCACCAUCUGAUAGAUCUGCAAACCCCGACCUAUAAUCAAGUGGUUUUACACCAUGAGACGCCGCCACUGAACGGCAACCUCGUGAUUCUCAUGCACACUUGGAUGGUGCAUGCUCCUUCACCAAGCCUCCGUUGCCGAAGAAAAUUCUACCAUUGAGUAGAUCACAAGAUUCUCGAUCCUAUGUUACCAAUUUUCGGAGCAUAUGUCAACAAUUAGUGUCGCCGACAAUGUUAACGCCGGUGACGGAAAUCUACUUUUUUAAAUUAUUAAAUAUUUGUACAAUUUAAUAAAAAAAUAUUUUUAUUUAUUAACAUGCUCUUAUUUGUUAAUAAAAAUAUUAACUAUUAUAUUUUUUGUAAUUAUUUACUAAUAAUUAUUUGAAACUUAAUUAAAACAAUUUAACAAAAUUUGGCAUUUUAGUAAUUAUAUAUGAAAAGAAAUUAUUUCAUAAUCUAAGUUUACUAAAUAUGUUAUAAUUUAUUUAUAAAAUAAGAUUGUUUUAUCCUUUUCAGUGGUUUCAACAUUUGCAUAUACUCACGUUUUUGGAAAGUGUGGAUAAAGUGUUUAUUGAUGGGAUCCCUCUAAGUUACAUGCAUGUACCUUACAUCCCUCUCACAUGAAUAGUGUCCAUACACUAUUCAUGUGAGAGGGAUGUAAGGUACAUGCAUGUAACUUAGCAUUACCCUUAUUGAUGGUGCACAUGGGAUUGGGUGUGUUGAUGUUGACAUGAAAGAAACUGGGGCUGAUCUUUAUAUUAGCACUUUAAACAGGUGGUUUUUUUUGGCCCGCCUGCGGCAGCGUUUUUGUUUUGUCGGAAAUCAAAUGAAACUGAUGAUUCGCAUCACCCUGUGGUGUCUCAAACCCCAGAUGUCUUGCAACAACCCAAGAAAUUUUACUGAGUUAACUAAUCGGCACCCACUUACUUUGUAUAGUACUGUUUCUUCCUAAUAUAGGGGAAGAAUACGUGGCAGAGGUUUGAGAUAUAUAUGACUUAAGCUGCGGACCUCUUAGCAUUCAUGAAGGUCAGUAAUUAUGUGAAAAAAUGCUAGCAGCAAAUUUAACUUAUUUCUUCUUAGGCAGAUUAUUCCCUAAUGCAGCCUUUAGUUGUGGUUAUCUUUGGAUGUGUUCAUAAGUUCUUUCUGCUUCCAAUUUCCUGGCAAGUUCUAUGCUUUGGUUCAGUUAUUUAGAACCCUCUUCCCUCAAUUUAUUGUCGAUAGUGCUUGUGCAUUUUGUUAGUCACAUUUAUAUGUACUGUGGAAAGCGAAGCCCCAUCGUAAAACCUGCACAAGUAACAACUUGAGACAUACAUAAAAGGGUAAUUAUCUAAUGACCACCUGUUUUUUUGAACUUUUUUAAAAGUAUAAAUUUCUUUUUUUUUUUGCUGAUUUUCACCAGAAGUUACAAAAUAUAUUAUUUUUCCACUUCAGCCUAAACUCCGGAGAAAAGUUAAUAGAAUAUUAACAAAAUUACUAUUUAACCCCCCCUUAAUGUAAAAUUACUAUUCAACCCUAAUUAAAUGAAAAAAAAAUUAAAUCACCUCAAAUUUUUCUUUGCAAUUUGGACAUUAGAUAAUAAGUUAAACAAUCUGGAAUAUUUUUACCUUUUUUUUCCUCUUUCAACCGCGUUUAAAUGACAUUAAUUUUUGCUAUGCAAGUAAAAUGACAAUUUUACCCCAGUAAGGUCAUAACAGAAUGCAAACGGAAGAGGAAAAGUGCAAGAAAAUGUAACUUCUAGUGGAAAUCAACCAAAAAAAAAUAAGAUAUGUAUAUUUUUUAAAAAAUAAAAAAGAAUAGGUGGGUGGUGGAUAAUUUCCUUACAUAAAAAUACAAAUUAUAUCUAUUCAUUUACCGGAUAGAUUUAGAACAUGUUUGUGAUUGCUUCAUAUUAUCAAAUAAGCUAACAUCUAAAAAUUGUUUGGUAAACACAUUUUAAAAUUGAUUAUUUGAAAAUUCGAUACUCAAAUAAUCUAUUUUUGUAUUAAACAUUAAAAGUCACGCGCCCCCCAUAUACGAAGGAGAAUGAAGUUGAGUUGCCGUCACCAUCUGAUACCAUCUGAUAGAUCUGCAAACCCCGACCCAUAAUCAAGUGGUUUUACACCAUAAGACGCCGCCACUGAACGGCAACCUCGUGAUUCUCAUGCACACUUGGAUGGUGCAUGCUCCUUCACCAAGCCUCCGUUGCCGAAGAAAAUUCUACCAUUGAGUAGAUCACAAGGUUCUCGAUCCUAUGUUACCAAUUUUCGGAGCAUAUGUCAACAAUUAGGGUCGCCGACGGUGUUAACGCCGGUGACGGAAAUCUACUUUUUUAAAUUAUUAAAUAUUUGUACAAUUUAAUAAAAAAAUAUUUUUAUUUAUUAACAUGUUCUUAUUUGUUAAUAAAAAUAUUAACUAUUAUAUUUUUUGUAAUUAUUUACUAAUAAUUAUUUGAAACUUAAUUAAAAAAUUUUAACAAAAUUUGGCAUUUUAGUAAUUAUAUAUGAAAAGUAAUUAUUUCAUAAUCUAAGUUCACUAAAUAUGUUUUAUGAAUUUAUUUAGAAAGCUUAUUAUUAUGAAAUAUAAUUUAGAAUUGAUUAAUUGAGAAUCAAAGCAAAUCCCAAACAUACCUUAAUCACGGUCAAACCCCAAGACCGACCGUGCAAAGAUCAAGCCAUCAGAGACUUUAUGAGCAAUUAGCAAUAUUAUUGCUUUCAUUAAUUUGGAACCAAGAAUGAGGGUAAAUUAUUAUUUUCAGAUAUAAGCACUUCAUGUCAAUAAGAUUUGAUUGGCAAUAUUGUGAGCACUUUCUAUCGUGUAGAGAAUUGUCAUGGCCCUGGGUUGGUUCGUACGUUCCAGGUCUAUGGUCAAACAUUUUUAGCAAAUAUCUUAGAAAUUCCCUCAAUAAAUAAGAUAAUGAUUCCGUGGUCCAAUAUUUUGCGGUACUUGUGGAUCUACUUCUCAUAAGUUGUUUCUUAACUAUAUACUUCUCUGUUUCUCAAUAGUUGAAGGAUGGGCAGCAGCAAUCUUCCGCAUACUUACAAAUAAGGUCAAUUUGCACUCCCUGGAAGGCGUACAUGGUCUCCUUUGACAUGGUUUCAAAUAGAGAUGGCCAAAGGGCCGAGUGGUACGACACGGAUAUGACACAUGUCUAUACAGCACAAGCACGUAGGCGCGUGACGCGACACAGCACGGCAUGAACAUGGGCUAGAUUAGACUAAGAAUUUUAGGUACGUGAGUCUUAAAAGCAUAGUGCAAUUAGAGAUGAGAAAAAACAUAUUAUGUGGAAAGGCCCACAAUAAGUACGUUCACUUUUUAAUGAAAAUAAAUUUAAAAUUUUAUUAUUUUACAAAAAACUUAAAAUUAAAUCUUUUAGUAUAUUUUAUUAGCUUAAGUUUUCAAAUUCAUUUGAUUCUUAGUUUUGAAAAAGAAAAAAUCUAAUUGUUUUAUAUUUAUAAUUUAUUAAAUGAAUAGUUAAUAUCAUGAUUUUAAUAAAUAAAAUUAUAAAUAUCAUGAUUUUAUAAAAUGUAUGUAUUAAUGUUAUAAUGGACUACGAUCUAUGAUCUGCGUAAGUCUAAGUUAACAAUUAAAUUAAUUCUUAAGAAAAAUUUAUUAUUGUUAUUAUUGUUGUCCUUAAGUAUUAAUAAAAAAAAUUCUAAUAUCGUAGUAUCUAACUUAAUAAUUAGUACUACAUUCUCUUAUUAUUAUUAGUUUAUUAUUAUUGAAUAUAGAUUUAAUUUUUAAACUUUCUGAUUCUAUUGAAUUUGACUAAAACAUAUAGACCCAAAAAAGAUACAUGGGCUUAAAAAAAAUAUGCUACUAGCUUGGUCUGUUCUCUUAAAAAAAAUAAAAAAAAUAAAAAGACUUGCUGUGCUUUUUUCUUAGGAAUAGCCCAAGACACGGUACAGUACAGCGACUGAGCUUAGACCUAAGCAAAAAAAAAAAAAUAUUAAAAACAACACUAUACAGCAUGACACGAUGCAUACAGUGGAUAUGGCAUGGCAUGAGCCCAUACGAGCCUUCCUUUGAUGUCGGUCUGGCCCCUUGGCCAUCUCUUGUUUCAGUACUAACUAUGAACACCAUAAAUGAGUAGAGAAACAAACUGGAUAAUACUUAUAAAUGUAUGUAUAUAUAAUUCUAUAACGUAGUUUAUCAGAGAAAUAAGAAGGUCAAACAUGAUUUCUUUUUUUUUUCUUGGCUUGUUUGUUGUGCUCCAUGAGAGCUAUUCGUCCACAUGUUCAAAUUUUCAUUUUCUGAGGCAAACUAAUGGGAUUAUGUCAUAUAACAAGCAAGUGAUUAAUAUUAAUAAAAGGACUUUAUACUUGGAUUGAGAUUAAGAUUCUCCCAUAAUCUUAACUUAUUUAACCUUCUUUAUUGAUUUGAUUUGAUCGUGUAUAAUUUUUAUUUACGUGUGGUCAAAAUUUAUUUAUUUUUUUAAUAAACCUUAACGUAGCCUUUCAAGAAUUGAAUGGUUAAGGGAAAAAUUGUAAAAGCGCUAGAAAUACCAAAAAGUGGCACCUUUCUGAAUUCUGAAUGUUUCCCAUGUUCGCGAUGUUGCCGCUUCUUGUAUAGAGGAAACUUUGUUUAAUUAUCAUCAUAAUUCGUAUUUUGAAGCAUUCAAAUGGUUUGACUUUGUGUUGUUAGUUGACUUUUAACUCUCAAAAUUAAGUCAAUUAGAGUGUUUGUAUUGUAUAAAUUUUUUUCUCUACUGUUUAAUUGACAAUCAUAAUUUACAGGCAUUUUUAUGCAUGAAAUUUUUUUGUUUCUAAUAUUUUAUUUAGCUAAGGUCAAAAAUUGUCCUUGAAGCGUAACAUAGCUGGCCAUAUAAUUACCUAAGUUUGAAUAAUAAUAAAAGUAAUCAUUAGUGUUUAGUGAUAAGAUUUCUCAUCGUCUUCAAAAAGAAAACAAAACAAAAAAUAAAAGAUCAGAGAUCAACAUAAGAAGUCGGCAUAAUCCCACAAAAAUUACACAAGUUACAAGAGUUUUAGUACUGUUUAUACCGAUAAAUGUUGGCAAAAGAAAUAUUAUAAGUUGGUACGAAGUAAACUCCAAGCAAUUAACAAUGUAACACAUAUAUAAUAUGCCAAUGCCACGUCACUAUCCUUAAUUUUUUUUCCUUAAUAUGAAUGCAGUAUGGUCCAUACUUCAGAUUAUUUAAUAUGCUAAUGUAACCUACCUACCCAUUUUUCACUAAAGGCAAUUACAAUGCAAUUUGUGAGAUAAACUUAAGGAUAAGAUUUGACAAUAAAAUUAAAGAUAAGAUCUUUUGAUGUACAUAAAUGUCGUGCACUGAGAACGAUUGAAAAUGAUAUGAAUCUUUGUCUUUAAUUUUUUUAAUGCGAAUAUAUUAUUAAACUGUCUAAUUUAAUAAAGUCAAUUUUUAACAGUAUUAUAAAAUUAUGUGGUUUAAUAGCAUAUCUGCAUUGACUCUAUCAAAUGGCACAAUUCAACAACGCAUUUACAUAAAAAAUGAAGGUGCCCGCAUGAGAGAAUGAGACUAUAUAUAUUUUAUACUGAUAACACAAUUACAUAACUAUUGAUAUUUAUAAUCAAAUAAUUAUUGGACUACUAUUUUACAUUAAAUCUUAUUAAAUGAGAUAUUUUACAUCAGACAACUACUGUGUUACUAAUUUAUAUUAAAAUUUAUGAAAUACUGUUUAAAUUUUUUUAUUCUCACUAAUAUUUAAGAAAAAUUAUAAAUUAUCUUCAGUCAAUUAUUCUUUGAUUGAGAGAGAAAUUAAGUCCCCGCACUCUAAAACAGCUCACCAUUCGGUCGAGUGGCUCAUGAACAUUUCUAUUUUUUAAGCUUGACAAAGGAAUAAUUCCUACAUGUUGCGGGGCAAAAAUAAAACAACUUUUAGUUAGUGGGUUGAAUUGAAAUAUAUCAAAAUAUCACAUAAACUUUCUUUAACAAUUCCUCACAUUUCUAAACUAAAUUUUAUAUUGCAAUAUUGCGAUUGAAACCGUAAAUACAAUUUCAUCAUCAUCUUCAUCAUCUCAAGCCCAUUAUAUUACUAUUAUUAUAAUUUUUCAUUCCGUGAAGCUGUAAAGCAUGAACUUUUUUCCAGUUAUUUUCUUUCUACAUUUUCAUAUAGGGUUUGUAAAGCAUCAUCUCAUCAUAGUUCAUAUGAAUAUUAAUAACUGUAGACGCUGCAUUUGACCAAUACUUUUUGUAAAGGAAAUUAAAUUUGAUUAAUUUAAUUUUAAAAAGUAUUGUUGUACUUAAACUUAUUGAUCAUAAGUUUAUCAAAACCUAUCGCCCAUAUGUUAUGGUUUUUAGGACCCCACAUGAUUAUAUAUAUUUAAAAGAAAAUAUAUUAUUGUAUUACUUUCUCUUAGAUGACAAAUUCAAUGAGCUUCUUGUCAUGUAAACAAGGUUUGUGCUUUAUUUAUUUUUUUGGUUUACUAUUUUCGAUAGGUUUAUCCAAUAAAGUUAAGUUGGUGAUAAAAAUUAUGCGAAAUCAAGUCUCAAUCCAAUUCAAUUCAAUUCCAUUAAAAAAAAAAAUAAUGGCAACUAGAUCUGACUAAUAUUGUAACUCAUGACAUGACUUUAAAUGACAAUAAAUUUGGGAAAUAAAAGUAAUUAAUUGGUAAUUAUUUCCCUCGAUAUGUCACCAAUCCACAAUCUCUCUCACGCUCUGUACUUCCUCUCUCUUCACACCCAUCAUCACAACCUCCCUUCAAGCCCAGCUUCCAACCCCAAACCAAAAUCCCCAUUUUUCUUCCAUGUCUUCUUGUCAUCACAACCACCACAACAUGGAUAUUAAUGGAUGUGACGCUAAAAUAUCCGAUACCCACUUGCCCAAAAAGCCGAAACUUUCACCAACUUUGAUUUCAGACACUGAACUCGAAUCUGAAUUCUCUCACCAUGUGCAAAACAUAGCGAGAAUCAAUAAUGGAAGCUUUGGUUGCUGCCCAAAGAGUGUUAUGUCAGCACAGCAGAAGUGGCAACUCGAGUUCCUCAAACAACCUGACGACUUUUACUUCAAUCGGCUGAAAGAAGGGAUUUUGCAAUCAAGACUCGUGAUCAAAGACUUGGUCAAUGCUGACCAUGUUGAUGAAAUAUCAAUUGUUGAUAAUGCCACCACCGCUGCCGCCAUUGUGUUGCAGAGUGUUGCUUGGGAC